RNAcentral lists this long non-coding RNA (113080 nucleotides) under Malus domestica (apple). RNAcentral's name for it is "long non-coding RNA (MDOM_LNC003517)". The record is from RNAcentral. Lineage: Eukaryota; Viridiplantae; Streptophyta; Magnoliopsida; Rosales; Rosaceae.
CAAUUGCUUUUAAGGCUUCCGGCUCUAGUGCAUCGAACGUGUUCACUAGAAUGGUCGGGUGGGUUUCUCUCUCCAGCAGAUCCAUAUGUUCUUGAAGCAACGGGAGGACGAAAGUGUACGGAUUUGUAUCCACCAUGAAGGAGGGAAGGUCUUGGCUUGUAAGAGAUAAUGGCAAACCUGGUAACUCUAUUGCACAUGGAAGGGCAUCGUUCGUACCAGAACUAGUAUUAUCCCGGAUGAGAUCUUUGUACCCGUUAAAGUAAUAGUAGUAGAUGUCGAAAACCGUGGCUGGUUGAAUCCAAAGCAGCACAUUUGGGAGGUGAAGUUCAUGUGCCACGUCCGCGGCCCAAGGGAGAAGUAUUGUGUAGACUAGGCAAGUAUAAGGGUGACCCUCGUUUGCACUUGAGACUACAAGGUCGGUGAUGGCUUGUGCUCCGCGGCGCCGCAACUCCGACCAGUAGUGGUCGAUGUUGUCGCCGGGCUUAAACCCGUCGUCGUACCCAUCAGAGAAGGGCGCAUAAGUCAAUCCAUCUGGAAUUGAGCCAUUGCCUAUGCGAUGAUGGGCUGAGAAACUGGUAACGAAGGUGACGUGCGCACCUGUAGUGUUGAUAAGGCGCUUGGCGAAUUGGAGGGAAGGGUUGAUGUGGCCUUGAGCCGGAUAUGUGACAAGUAGAAAGCGGUGUUGCACCAUGGCAGCGUAUGCGAUUGCGGAGGUGCGCGGUGGAGCGUGGAGUUGUUGGAAGUAGAAUAAGUAGGUACCUAGUUUACUGGUGGAAAAUUUGGUGCUGUGGGCUUAUUAGCUUAGUGAAGUAGAAAUUCUUGUGGGAGUACGUAUUCAAGGUGGGGAAUGCGGUGAGAGGAUGGUAAGGCUUAAAUAGGGGCUUGGGGGCAGAAAUGUUACGUUUGUGCUGACGAAUUGAAGGCGCUGGAGAAGGACAAUUGUAAUUUGUGGUCAUCUCGAUGCAUGCAUAUAAUAUUAUGGGUAAUAAUACUCUCACUACAUAUUUAUACCAUCAUUUGUAUUAUUUUUAUAAUAAUGAUGAGAUCCACAUGUUCUUGUGGAUCCUAUCUUUUGAGAGAUUAUACCAAAUGUGGUAAGUGUAGCAUUAUUCUUAUUUAUAUCAUAUUUUGUAAAUCAUAUGAUGUAAUUGUUGAUGAUUUGAUUAUUACUUAAGCGUUAAUUUUCGUGAUUAUUUUUUAUAAUUACACCUCACAUAAUGUACAAAUUUAGUCUAAAAAAUUAGUUUACCUAACAUUACUUUUUUAAAAUUGGUUUCAUUAAACUUCAUAGCACAUCACAUGGACUAAAUCCAAUCUAAUGUGGUAUAAUAUACAUAUUAAUCUAUCACCGAAAAACUGAUAAAUACACAUGUGAGUAACUUGACCAUGAAUAAUGUUAGGCCUCGUUAAGUUAGGCUUCGUAAUCGUCAGCGAGGCCAUGAAUAAUUGGGUUCCUACAAAGGAGCCUAUGCGGUUCAUCAUAGAUGUGAGCAACUUCACCUUGAGGUCUUGUCCUCAAUACUAGAAAAAAACUCAGGACCAAGACACGAUCUGAUGGUGGCACGCUUCCGCACCCUAAAACUAAAGUCCUAAAACUAAAAGGACCAAUUUUUUUUUUUUGUGGUCCUAAGCCGAAAGGAGGCGUGUUGAAAUAUGUUAUUACAUCGACACAAUGAAGGAGAAAAUAAGAGUUCAAAUAUCAUAAUUUUACUCCAAUUAAUAUUGAGGUUUUUUUGUGAUAAAAACCUCACACAUUAAACUGUGCAAGUGCUAAUUAACAAGUUUGAGACAAUAUCGAUAUUGCUGGAAGUUGAUCUUCAUCCCCUAUUUUUUAUAAUUUGACAAGGCGAUAUGAAGCGCAAAAUAAUAAGCAACCAAAUAGUUUUGGUGAAAUGGAAUAUGAAAUACCUCAACCGUGGGACUCAUACUCUAUUUUAUAUAAUCUAUUGCUUUAGAUAUCUUUCAUCUUAUAAGUACAUUAUCCUAAAUUCUUAAUCCUGGUAAGAUUCCUAGUCAGACUAACUUCCCUAAUUAAGCUAGAUGGUUGUAGUAUUGACUUCAGUCAAGCAUGCAUGAUGAGUGCAUGAAUUCACUUUCUAUUUCUCAUAAAGUUCAUAGUACAUAACCUGGACUAGUAGGUUUGACGUGGUCAGAGAGACGAGCGAAUUUGGUAACCACAAACUGAUUAAUACACACAUACAAAUUUGUGAUUUCUCCAGUUAAGGGCCUAGGGCCCCGUUUAUCAUAUGCCGAGUUUGAUUGGUCUAGCUGCAUCACACUAAAAUUGAUUGGUCUAGCUGCAUCACACUAACUUUCGUUUGAUAACAACGAUUGAUGACGUAUUUAUAGGAGAGGUGAGCAUGCCAAAAAGUACAAAAAGUGUGGCAUGACCGUUGUCACGAUUUUAGUAAUAGCUACUCUAGCAACAACACGCUUGCUUUGUGGCUAUUGCUCCCUUUUCUUGUAUUGCUGUUGAUUCUAAAAAUUAUCAAACUUACGUGACGUGCAUGCCAAGUAACUAAGAAUUAACUACGUCCUUUUUGUGGUUGAUGCGGGUGUGCCACCUCGCCGCCGAGGCACUAUUCUAAAAAUCCCCGUCUAGCGCCGCCUAGAUGCUAGGCGGCUAGUCACCGUCCCGAUUAAUACUUAGGCAUUUGAAAAUUAAGAAAGGAUGCCUGGACCUGCUAAGGUGCCCGCCCAAACCACCUAGGCACCUGCCUAACUUGCCUAGACCAUCCUAGGUUGCGAUUCACUUAGAUAGAAAAUAGAUGACUUUCAUUUUGUAUUUUAUUUUUUUAAUAAAUUGUAAGAAACUUGUUGAAUACACACAUUAUGUGCGUUGUUGAUGCACAAAAUCAGUGGGGACUUUGGUACAACAGAAAAUGUUAAGUUUGUGACCUUCACUAGAUUGCUCCGAUCACUAGUGUAGAUAAGUAUGUAAAUGGAUAGAGACAGAGAAGCAAACACAAGAUGUACGCGGUUCACCCAGAUUGGCUACAUCCACGGAGUAGAGGAGUUCUCAUUAAUUGUGAAGGGUUUACACAAGUACAUAGGUUCAAGCUCUCAUUUAGUGACUAGUGAAUGAUUUAGUACAAAUGACAUUAGGAAAUAUUGUGGGAGAAUGAUCUCCUUUUAUAGAAGAGAGUUUCUAGCUUUGUUUUGACAUUGACACGUGUCGUGUUGUGAUUGGCUUCUGAUGUUGACACGUGUUGCGCUAUGAUUGGCUUCGGAUGUGUCUCCUGGUUGGAGGGAAACUCUUCUGGGUCGUUGACGGUAUAACGUUGACCGGUACUCGGUAGUUUCGGGAUUGGUCAAGUAUGGUACAAACAGUGCUCCCCUAAGUUCUCGAGUGAGGGAAACUCCUCGGUUGGGGACUUGCAAGAUCCAAGCCGCUGAGUAAUCACGAAACUUCUAAGCACUGAAGUGUGGUAUCGUUUUCAUUUGCCUUAUUUGUCUCAUAGAUAGAUGUGGCAUCUUCUCUGGAAGUAUUUUUCCUCCAUCUAAGGGUGGUAUCUUUAACAGGUGGAGAUGCACAAGGUAAUGUAUUAAUUUCACUUGAAGCUUACUUGUAGUUUCAGACUUGGUCAAGCGCGAUACAAACCAUGUAGUAGGAGUUCCCCAAGUCGCCGAGCUAGGAGAUCUGCCUAAAGAGGUGACAGACAAGGUAAGCAAUUAGAGUUCUAAGCAAUCAGUCCCAGAUCAGGAGUUUGAUUUUGAGUUCUGGCUGAUUGUUCUCAUUCUCCCUAUCUUGCAGGCAGUAAAAAGGAUAAAGAGAAGAAAAAGGAGAAGAAAUAAUAUGAGAUACUUUUGCUUUUGAAGAAGUAACUUUCCACAUGCUUAUUCUUGAACUGGUUAGAGGGUUUUCUGGUUUCCUCUAGAGUAUAAGGCCGACUCAAGAAUUUGAGGGUCAAAACAAGUUUAUCAAAUCUAGAGUACAUUCAACCCUGAUGAUAUGGGAUACCCUUACUGUUGACAAAGUAGUGGAUGUGGCAUGGCGAGGCUUUGCUCUUUGGCGACGGUGUCAGCGAAAGGCUGUUGAAGCUUCUUGAGCUAUUCGGAUAGGGCAACGAUAUCGAGCUUAGAUUUGACUUAAACUCCUCCGUCUGGAUUAUGCGGUUCUGCAGGGGGUCGUGCUAUAGUGAUCUAUUCUAGCUCAUCAUUGAACCUUCUACUCCAAUCUUUUGCAUCGCAAAAGUGGUAUGCAACCUUUGCAUUUGAAUGGUCCUUCAGAGUACUACUUCUCAGCGACUCAUCCAUGCUUGGCAGCUUUAGUGUAAAGAGCCAAUAUUGUAUCAACUGUUCUAAGGUAUUUUCUGAAAAAAUUCGCGACCUUGACAACAGUUGAGGAUGAGUACUCAAGAGCAAUGCUAGGUGAGCAACUAGGCAAAGGUUCCGAGCAAUCAGUUCUAGAUCGGAAGUUUGAUUUCAGGUUCCAACUGAUUGCUUUCUUUCUCCUUGUCUUGCAGGUAAGAGCAAAGGCAAAUGGAAAGGCAGGGAAAAAGCAUGAUAUGAGAUACUCUUGCUUUUAACUCUGAUGAUAUGAGAUACUCUUGCUCUGGUGUAGCUUAUUUGCAGAGGUAUUAUCAGGGGGAAAUGAAGCUGAGUAUAUCGAGAGACUCUGCUGAGAGUGCCCUCUCGGAUGUGAAGAAAAGUUGAGCAUUUUUUUUAUUUGCAGGUCUGCCUGGCUGUGGAUGAUGAAGGUCGGCAUAUAUAGGGAUUGUCCCAACAGCGAGUAGUAACGUUGUUCAUUUAUCCUUCUCGGUUAUAGCAAUGUAGUGGGAGUUGCAAGAUUCACAUGUUUUAACUUUGUCAGAGCACUUUGAAAAAGUGGUCUGUGGUAUCUGAAAAUCUGAUGUUGAGUGUGAAGAUUGCAGAUAAAUUUUAUCCAAGGAAAUCUGGCUCUCGAAGUUUGAAGAGUGGUGUCUUUUCGAUUUUCGAACAAGCAAUCAUGUUGGGGAUCUGACUUUCGAGAUUCAGAGAGUGUUGUCUCUUUGAUUUUUGAACAAGCAAUCAUAUUAGGGAUCUGGCUCUCGAGAUUUAGAGAGCGGUGCCUCUUCAAUUUUUGAGAAAGCAAUCCUGUUAUGAGUCUGGCUUUCGAGAUUCGGAUAACGGUGACUUUUUUAUUUUUGAGAAAGCAAUCCUAGUGGGAGUCUGGCUCUCGAGAUUCGGAGAGCGGUGAGCCAGAGAUUCGAAGAGCGGUGCCUUUUCGAUUUUUGAGAAAGUAAUCCUGGUGGGAGUUUGGCUCUCGAGAUUCGGAGAGCGGUGCCUCUUCGAUUUUAGAGCAAGCAAUCCUAUUGGGAGUGUUUUCUCGAUGUGGGUAAAUGUUAGGCAUUUUUGCCAGUCUGCCUUGCCACGGAGCACAGAGGUUGACACAUAUAGGGACUACCCAUUUAUCAAGCAGUGGUGUUGUUCUUUUACCCUUGUGGGUAAUGGUAGGGUAGCUGGACCUUCAAAAUUUAUGUGUCUAAACUUUGUCAGAGAUCUUUGGCAAAGUUAUAUUUGGUACCUAAGGAGUUGAUGUUGCGUGUGGGGAUUGUCGACAUAUUUUACCUAGGAAAAUCUGCUUCUCGAAAUCCGGAGAGUAGUGCCUCUUCAAUUUUUGAACAAACAGCCCUGCUGCCCUUUCGUUUAUAGGGGCACCAAUUGUGUGCAAGAAGUAUGUUCAGAGAGUUAUUGCUUGUAGGAAUUUUUCCCUUAUUUUCGUACUUCAGAGAUUUAUUGGACCUCAUUUCUCCUUCAUCAUUUCUGAAAAUGUCUGGCCCAUCUGACCGUCGUUUUGACUUGAACUUUGGUGAAGAGGCAGCCAUGCCUCCUCAAGACAAUAAAUGGCGCUUAUCCUUCUUAUCCCCUACUGGUCCUCUUACCGUUGGGGACUCUGUGAUGAAGAAUGAUAUGAAAGCUGUGGUGAUGGCCAAGAACCUUCUCACUCCCAAAGAUAACAUAGUACUUUCCAAACGGUCUAAUGAGUUGGCUGUUAAGGAUUCUCUGGCUUUCUGUGUUCAGUGUGCAGGUUCUGUGUCUAAUAUGACUUAACGCCUAUUUGCUCAAACCCGCCAAGUUGAAUCAUUGGCGGUUGAAGUGAUAAGUCUCAAACAGGAGAUUAGAGGGCUCAAUCAUGAGAAUAAACAGUAGCAUAGGCUCACACAUGACUAUGCUACAAACAUGAAGAGGAAGCUUGACUAGCUGCAGGAAUAUGAUGGUCAGAUUUUACUUGAUCAUCAGAGGUUUGUGGGUUUGUUCCAAAGACAUUUAGUGCUUCCGUCUUAUGGGGCUGUACCGCUUAAUGAAGCUCCAAAUGAUCAACCUCCCAUGCCUCCCACUUCUGGGGUUCUGCCCAGUACUGAGUCUCCGAAUGAUCACCCUCUGGUACCUUCUCUUUCAGGGGCUCUGCCGACUGCUGAGACUUCUCUUGAGCAACUUUUGUGAAGGCUCCCUCUUGUUUGUUUAUUUUGAUUCAUGUAUAUGUACAUAUUUGUAACUUAUCGGAGAUAACAGUAAAUAAACUUUGCUUCUUUUCAACGUAUUGUGUUAAAUACACCAAAGCCUUCUUAACUAAGUUCUUUGAAUUUUUUCUUUUGUUGAAGCUUGUAUGUUGAAGCUUGUAUGUUGAAGCUUGUAUGUUGAAGCUUUGUGAGUGAAGCAUGUAGGUUGAAGUAGUACUCCCUUAAUUUCUCGAGUGAGGAAAACUUCUUGGUUGGAGACAUGAAAGAUCCAAGUUACUGAGUAGUCGUGAACCUUCUAAGUACCAAGGUGUAGUAGCAUAUGGUAGGAGUCCCCCAAGUCUCCGGUCGAGGGAGUUGACGUAGAAGGUGUCUUGCUAGUAGUCAAGUUUCCAAAGUAACAAAACUUCACUGUUUUCCUUUCUAAGUGGUAGCCCAAAACUCCUCAUUCAUAUAUAUUUGUUAUGAAAGUUGUUAGGCCCAAAGAAGAUGAGGCCUAGGCCCUUUUUUUUUUUUGAAUUUUUGAAUUUACAAAUUUCUGAAUAUAUAUAUAUAAGCUUUUUAGGUGAUGCUUUGUAGGUGAAGCUUUGAGGUUGAAGCUUUGUUGGGUAUCAUAAAUUGAUUUUGCUUCACAUUAUCUAGAUCAAAAGUGUGUGAAGCUUUUGGCAUUUGUAGUUGAAGCUUUGUAGGUGAAGUUUGUGUGUUGAAGCUUUGUAGGUGAAGCUUUGAAGUUGAAGCUUUUAUAGGUGAAGCUUUGGACUUGAAGCUUUGUGGGUGAAGCUUUGGAGUUGAAGCUUUUGUAGGUGAAGCUUUGGAGUUAAAGCUUUAUAGGUGAAGCUUUUGCGUUGAAGCUUUGUAGGUGAAGCUUUGGAGUUGAAGCUUUUGUAGGUGAAGCUUUGGAGUUGAAGCUUUGGAGUUGAAGCUUUGUAGUUCAAGCUUUUGCGUUGAAGCUUUGUAGGUGAAGCUUUUAUGUUUAAGCUUUGGAGUUGAAGCUUUGGAGUUGAAGCUUUUGUAGGUGAAGCUUUGGAGUUGAAGCUUUGUAGGUGAAGCUUUUGUGUUAAAGCUUUGUAGGUGAAGCUUUUGUGUUGAAGCUUUGUAGGUGAAGCUUUGGAGUUGAAGCUUUUGUAGGUGAAGCUUUUGUUGGCAUCAUAAAUUGGUUUUGCUUCACAUUGUCUUAAUCAAGAGUGUGUGAAGCUUUUGAGAAUUAUGGUUGAACUCCAUUGAUGAAGCUUUUGUUGGCACCAUAAAUUGGUUUUGCUUCACACUAUCUUGAUCAAGAGUGUGUAAAGCUUUUGAGAAUUAUGGUUGAAAUCCUUUGAUGAAGCUUUUGUUGGCACCAUAAAUUGGUUUUGCUUCACACUGUCUUGAUCAAUAGUGUGUGAAGCUUUUGAGAAUUGUAGUUGCCCUCCAUUGAUGAAGCUUUUGUUGGCACCAUAAAUUGGUUUUGCUUCACACUGUCUUGAUCAAGAGUGUGUGAAACUUUUGAGAAUUGUAGUUGCCCUUCAUUGAUGAAGCUCUUGUUGGCACCAUAAAUUGGUUUUGCUUCACACUGUCUUGAUCAAGAGUGUGAAACUUUUGAGAAUUGUAGUUACCCUUCAUUGAUGAAGCUCUUGUUGGCAUCAUAAAUUGGUUUUGCUUCACACUGUCUUGAUAAAGAGUGUGUGAAGCUUUUGAGAAUUAUGGUUGAACUCCUUUGAUGAAGCUCUUGUUGGCACCAUAAAUUGGUUUUGCUUCACACUGUCUUGAUCAAGAGUGUAUGAAGCUUUUGAGAAUUGUGGUUGCCCUCCAUUGAUGAAGCUCUUGUUGGCACCAUAAAUUGGUUUUGCUUCACACUGUCUUGAUCAAGAGUGUGAAGCUUUUGAGAAUUGUGGUUGAACUCCUUUGAUGAAGCUAAUGUGUUCACCUCAUCCCCCUCCAUUUUUUUUCUUUUUCUUUUUUUUUUGAGGGGGAGAGAGGGUGCUGUAAGUUUGAAAUUUGAAAACUCCCUAGCUUGUGUGGAAGUUUGAAGAUUUUCCAUGUGGGGUUUUCUCAUGGUUUGAAUUUUGAAUUUUGAAUUUCUUUGGCCAUGUUGAACCCUAUAAGAAUGAUAAGUUUCCACUCUUUUCAUUGUCUUCAUUUGCUCAUUUUGUAGUGAUUUUUAGAGACAGUGUGCUCUUAUAGUUGAGAGGGAUUCCGCAAUUGCUUUGCACCAUCUUCAGGUUGGUAGUCUUCUCCAGUAGAUCACAUGCUUUCAUUCUUGUUGAAUUGUUUGACUGUUCAUGUAUUUGGUUGAGAAUAUAAUGAACUGAUUGAGCUUUUCUCCAUGCCCUAGGAACUUCCUUAUAUUUUGAUUUUUCAUGUGGUGAUAGAGUUUGUUUCUGUUUGUUGCAGAUGUCAGAGUCUGGAAGUCCUAGUGAUAAGGGCUCCCUUAACUCUAACUCUAGGUUUGAGCUUGCAAUGUUGGAGUCUUCAGGGCCUUUGUUAGAGUCAUGUACAAAAAAUUCGAGAUUGGGUGAUCUUCACAGUUAUCAAGCCUUCUUCAUGUCAGUGGGUGAAGGGGUUGUUUGUAAUGCCAUACCUAUAUUUCGUCUGAGUUCACAACAGACCAUUUAGUGCAAAAAUUGUUAGAUAGCGAAAAGCAGCUUAAGGCCCUAAGGCAGUCAUGUAGUAUCCCCCGUAGUGUAGGAAUGCGUUUGGUGCAUUAUGAAGAAUUAUCCUCUGAACCUCCCAAGGGUCAUGUUAUGUUCUAUACCCAGAUAUUAUUGACUUUAAGGGUGAAGCUGCCUUUGCACCCGUGGUAGCAAUGGAUGCUGUCUUUCAUUGGAUAUGCGCUUGGGCAACUCUACCUUGGUUUUUGGGAUACCUUAAUCGAGUUUUAUAUUAUUUGGAUGGAAUGUGGAUUAGGUGAGCCUUCCUUUCAUCAGUGGUGCUACUGCUAUAAGAUGAGCCCGGUGAAAGCAUGCACCGGGUAUGCCGAGUAUGCAUGUCGGAGUGAGAGAGAGCAUAUUGUCUUUGGUAAGAAAAAGGCGUACUGCACUUGUUAAAUUGUUGGUGCUUUCUUUAUAAUGAUUGGGAGUAUGCUAAGGGUGUCACACCUGAGCGACGUGUUCCUACUCACUUCCAGACUGUAGGUUGUACUGUAUCCAUUGUUUGCAUUAUUUGCUGUUUGUUGUGAUUUUCUCUUGCUUCUAACAUUUUUUUUCGUGUAGUGACGCGAAUGACCAUCAAGCUGUUCGAACGGAAGCUAACUGACGUAGAGAAUGUGUUGAGGGUGCCCAAAGAGGAUAGACAUUUAGGCAAACUACGACCCUUAUUUCGAAAGUACGGUUUCCAAACCCUAGUGUCGGAGUGCCAGAGACGAGCAAGUAAGUUGUAUCUUUUAUUUCACUCCUUUUUUCUUUACAAAGUUGCAUUCCUUACUUUGAUUGUUCUUAUUCAGUGAAGAAAGUGGGCAAGAAAGGGAAAACUGGCGCCAAGAAAGGGAAAACACCAAUGUUAAUUCUCGUAAACGACAUUUUGUUUCACAAGGGAGCUCGUAAGCAUCGGGUGAGGCCAGCCCCUAAACCUAAGUCGCAAGAGGAGGUCAUCAAGAUUGCUACCUCAAAGAAGGCUGAAGCUGAGGUCAUCGGGUGUGCUACUGCCAUAGUUGUAGAGGAGAAGAGACAAUUGUUGCCUCUUCUUCCUACCAUCAAUCCUAUCUUUCCUCCAACCAUGGAGUCUGCUGACCAAGAAGGUGACCCUAACUUCAGCCGUAAGAGGAAGUACAAGCAAGAGGUUGGCAGCAUUCAUUGGAAGGACUUGAAGGUUGCCAUGCAGCCAAGUAGUUUUAGGUAUAUUAAUAAUUGCCUGGUAGGAAGUUCAUCCACUGUUAAUGAGCUUGGCGAGCCGCUAAAUGCGAAUGAAUCAGAUCGUGACCGGAUGAUGAAGCUAUCUUCUUAUGUAAGUGUUACUCUGUCAUUUCUUUACUUUCUCCCCUCGUUUUCCUGAUAGUGACGAUCAUCUUGUCAUAUAGGUCAUGACCGAGUACGAUGACAGAUUACGAGAGGUCGAGCGAUACAAGGCAAAGUUUAAAGAGAAUAAGCAGCUUGUGAAUGACGCCAGAAAAACGUGCAAAGCUUUGGCUGAUGCCAUCCGCCUUAAGGAUCAAAACUUUGAGAGUUUGAAGAGGCGGAAUGGUGAGAACGUGAGGCUCAAGAAACAAUUGGAAGCGACUAAGGAACAGUUGGAGACAACCAUCCUUGAGGUUUCCAAGGUUAAAGGGGAGUUGGAUAGUGCCUUGGUUGAGGUUUCUGGGCUGAAGAGGAGUAUCAUAACUGAGAGGGAUGCUGCCGUGCAUGAGUUCUUAGGUUCCCAGGCCUUUCACGAUACCUUUAGACCUCAUUGCAUCCAGGCGGCUAAUUUUGACAAAAAGGAAAUUGAUGGUCGUCCUUGAGCGUUAUGACAAUGGAAGCAUUAUUCGAAGGUACUGUGAUGAGAUGGAUGAGUAUCGACAAAAAGGUGACGCCUUCGUCCUCGCAGUUGAUCUUAGUAGUGAUGAUGACUCUGAUAAUGAGGCUAGUAUCGGUGAGUAGUCUCAGGAGAGGGAGGAUGGUCAUGGAGAUGCUGAAGAAAGUGGUGAUGGCGAUGGGGUUGAAACGUAGAGUGAUAUUGUCAGGGGUUCGGCCUCAGAUAAGGAUGACUCGUAGUGCCCUCUUUUUAUGCAUGUACUCUGGAUGUACGAGUUUGUUGUUUGUGUGACAUAUGCCAUGUACUCUGGAUGUACUAGUUUGUUGUUUAUGUAGCAUGUGCCAUAUACUCUGGAUAUACUAGUUUGUUGUUUGUGUGGCACGUGCCAUGUACUCUAUAUGUACUAGUUUGUUGCUUGUAUGGCAUGUGCCAUGUUGUAAGCCUGAGAGCUUUUUAUUUAUAGAUGCUUACGACUUUGUGCCAUAUAGUUUGAUGUUAAUUACCAAGUAUUUGUACUAUCAUUGAUGAAUGCCUGGCUAUGUUUGAGCAAAUCCUUUGUUUGGAUAUAAGCCAUAACUUGGGUAAAAUUGAAUGAAUAUACUGUGGAGCUGUUCGUUUAUUUGUAUAGUCUUGUUGAAAUAUACUUAGACUUUAUUUCCUGUUGGGAGCAUUCAUGUUGAAGCUUUGAACCUAAGUGUUUUCAUUGCUAGGAAUGUAAGAGGAUUAGGACUGAGUUGUCUAAAUCACCUAUUUGUUGAAUUCAUGCCAAAUGGUCUUCGUUACAUAGGAUGUCGAACAGCUGAAGCUUAACACUUGUACAAUGUGAGUUUACUUGUAAUAGUACUUCAAGUGAUCAGCGUUCCAUAGAUGGCCAAUGAUCUUGCCAUCGGAGCUUAUAAGCUUGUAGGAGCCAAGGCGACUGAUGCCAACAACUUCAAAUGGUUUAUCCUAGUUUGGACUAAGUGUUCCUUCACUCGAGACUCCGUCUUAGAGUAAUAUUUUCUUCAAUACCCAGUCCCCCACUUUGAAAGAACGAGGUUUGACCCUUGAGUUAUAGUAGUUGGAGAUACGCUGCUUGUAGGCGACAUUCCUCAAGUGAGCCUGGUUUUUGUGUUCCUCGACUAGAUCUAAGUUGAGGGUAAGUUGUUUGUCAUUUUUGCUUUGCACGUAGUUCUGGACUCGGAACAUUCUUGCUCAAGCUCAACUGAGACAACUGCCUCUGCACCAAAGGCAAGUGAGAAUGGGGUUUCUCCUGUUGACAUUCAAUACGAAAUACAGUAUGACUAAAGAACUUGGGGUACAAAUUCUGGCCAACAACCUUUAGCCUUGUCCAAGCUGGUUUUCAAAGUUCGCUUGAUUAUUUUGUUGAUGGCUUCAACUUGUCCAUUAGACUAGGGAUGAGCUGGGGAGGCAAAACAUAAGUUGAUGUUGAACUUAGAGCAGAACAUCAUGAACUUAUUGUUGUCAAACUGUUGCCCGGUGUCAGUGAUUAUCGCAUUAGGAAUGUCGAAUCUGCAAAAGAGGUUAUUCCAUACGAAGUCUUUUAUUUUUGCCUCAGUAAUAGUUACCAAGGGUUCUACUUCGACCCACUUUGUGAAGUAGUUAACUGCAAUGAUUGCAUAUCAGACCUUGCCCUUCCCUGCAGGCAUUAGGCUGAUCAAAUCAAGUCAUCAUUGAGCGAAGGGCCAAGGGCUGAUUAUAGGAGUGAGCGGCUCGGGAGAGGAGUGAGGAAUGGUUGCGUAGCAUUGACACUUAUCACAUGAGCAGAAUAUUUUGAUGGCAUCUUGGUGGAGUGUUGACCAGUAAUAUCCUUGGCGAAAAGCCUUGUGUUUUAGGGAUCGAGAUCCAGCAUGAUCUCCGCAGACUCCUUCAUGUAUUUCCCUAAGGACAAUUUCCGCCUCCGCAGAUGUAAGGCAUCUUAGGUAUAGUAGGUUAAAACCCCGCUUGUAUGAGUUGGUCAUUUAUGAUCAAGUAACGGGUAGCUUUGUAUUGAAUCUGCUUAGCUUGGACUUGAUCAUUUGGGAAGGUGCCAUACGCAAGGAAUUUAUAAAUCGGGGUAAUCCAACUAUCCCUUUAUUGUAAGUUGCACACUUCCGCGGCCAUGGUGCUUGGUGCUGCCAACAAUUCGACCUGAAUUUUUCUCCUAAUUUUGUCUUCCACUGUUGAGGCGAGGCGAGCCAAAGUGUCUGCAUGACUGUUUAUCGCUCAAGGAACUUCGGUGAUCUGGUAGUGGAAGUGCUUAAGCAACAGUUGUGUUUGUUCAAGAUAUGCUGCCAUUGAGCUAUCCUUAACGUCAAAGGUGUUGGUGACUUGGUUAACUACCAAUUGGGAGUCACUGAAGAUAUCAAUUAACCUCGAGGUGUUUGGCCAAACGUAAGCCUGCUAGGAGAGAUUCAUAUUCGGCCUCGUUGUUCGACGCCUUGAAUUUGAAACGAAGAGCAUACUCCAUCGCCACUUUGUCAAGGUAGUAAGGACUAGUCCUGCUCCACAACCAUGUUGGUUGGACAAGCCAUCAACAUAUAGACUCCAUGCUAGGGUUGUUGGUUCUAUUUUAUGAGCUUUCGAGGGUAACAAAGCCACUGCUUUAGGCGUAGAAGCAAUGUCAAUUGGAUAUGUGAAGUCGGCGAUGAAGUCUACCACUGGUUAGCCCUUCUCAGCUGGCUUUGGUUGGUAGGAGAUGUUAAACUCACUCAAUGCUAUCGCCCAUUUGAUCAUUUGCCCCGAAGUGUCAAGACUUUGAAGUAUCUGUCGAAGAUGAUGAUUGGUAAGCACGAUGAUGGAGUUUGCUUGGAAGUAAAGGUGAAGUUUUUUAGUAGACAUGACCAAUGUUAGAGCCAAUUUCUCAAUGUUGAAGUAUCGUGUCUCCGUAUCUUGUAAGGUCUUGCUAGUGUAGUAGACAUACUGUUCGACAUUACCAUCAUUUCAAAUGAGAACAGAACUUACUACUGAAGCCGAUACCGAUAGAUAAAUAAUGAGAGUGUCACUAACCUCUGGUUUGGAGAGCAAAUGAGCUUUACUCAUGUAGUCCUUGAGGUUCUUGAAUGCCUCAGCACAUUCAUCAGUCCAUGUAAUGUGCUUCUUAAUUCCCUUAAGUGCUUUGAAGAAAUGAGCACAUCUGUUUGUGGCCUUAGAGAUGAACCUGGUUAAGGCUAUCACCUUGUUAGUAAGGCUUUAGAUGUAUUUUGAAGUUAUCGGUUCCUUCAUGUUGAGGAUUGCUUUGAUGUUCUUGGGAUAGCUUUAAUGCCUCGUUGGCUAAUCAUGAAGCCUAAGAAUUUGCCAGAGCCUACGCCAAAAGCACAUUCGUUGGGGUUCAACCUCAUUCGAUACCUCUUCAGAAUGGUGAAAGUUUCAAAUAGGUUGGUGAUGUGUUGGUCAGCAUGUUUACUCUUGACUAACAUAUCAUCAAUGUAAACUUCCAUGCUCUUCCCAAUCUGUUCGGCGAACAUCGAAUUGACUAGUCUAUGAAAAGUCUUCCCUGCAUUCUUUAGGCCGAAUGACAUGACUUUAUAGCAAUAUAGUCCCCUGUCAAUAGUGAAAGCUAUGUUCUUGGUCUGAAGGGUUCAUGAGGAUUUGAUUGUAUCCUCAGUAAGCAUCCAUGAAGUUCAGGAGUUCACACCCUACUGUAGAGUCUAUAAGUCUGUCAAUGAGAGGAAGAGGAAAGCUAUCCUUCAAGCAUCCUUUGUUUAGGUCGGUGUAGUCGACACAUAUUCUCCACCAGGCCUUUUGGAGCAGAAGACUUUCUUUGGUUGGAUUUUUUUCUUAACAAAGACCACAUUUGCUACCCAUGUUGGGUAAUUGACUUCGCGGAUAAAGCCUAUGCCUUUGAGUUUUCAACUUCUGCCUUCAUUGCUUCGUAUUGUUCAAUGUCAUAAGAUCUUCGCUUAUGUCUCACCAGCUUGUUCUUAGGGUCAAUACUCAAACGAUGACAUGAUAUUGGGAGAGAUGUCUGGCAUGUCCUCGUAUGACCAGGCGAAGACCUUAGUGUUCUCUUGCAAAAAAGAAAUCAAUGCUAACUAAAUGGGUGGUGACAAAGUGGUGCCAAUCUUCACCAUACGAUCUGGAUAAUCUUUUGAGAUAGAAACCUUCUCCAGCUCUUCAGCAGGUUGUGUUUGCUGGGUGAAAGAGUCAUCUCGAGGAUCGUCGGGGUUGACUGUUGCUAUUGUGAAGAUCCAAGUUGGCUUCAUCCGGCUAGUCUUUAUGACUUGGUCAUGUAUAGAAAAGGUUUCCUUGGGCACAGGCAGGUGAUGUUGCUUGACCGAAGUGUUGUAACAUGACCAUGCACUAAAUUGAUCUCCUCUGAUGUAACCAUUGCCAUAGGAGGUUGGAAAUUUCAUCAACAACAUAUGUGUGGAUACCAUAGCCUUGAGAUCAUUGAUGUUUGUGCGUCCAAAGAUAACAUUGUAUGCCGUUGGGCAAUCAACCACCAAGAAGUUAGUGGUAAUGGUAGCUGUGUGAGGGUCUGUACCAAUGGUGAAAGGUAAGUGUAUGCUCCCUAAAGGUUGCACGAUAUCACCGGAGAAGCUUAUCAGAGGAGAAAUCGAGCGAUCGAGUAAGUGUUUAGCUACAUUAAGUGCCCUGAAAGCUUUAACAAACAUGAUACUGACCGAAACCCCUGUGUCUACCAGGAUUCGUCGUACUUAAAAGUUGGGUAUGUGAGCCUCCACGAUCAAUAAGUCGUUGUGAAGGUAGAUGAUACCUAUUUCUUCCUCAGGGUAGAAACAUAUUGGAUCCCAGUUAGGCUUUUGAUACUUGCCUCCUUUGAUGUCUUCCACGUGAAACACUUGGUGGCCUAGCCUUAAAGCUCAUUUGCUGUUUUUCAUGGCCCUAUUAGAAGAUUCAGAUAUGGGUGUGCCGCCGCUUAUGGAAUAUAUCAUAUUCACUUAGCGUUGGUUACGGUUAUCCCUUGAAGGGUGAAAGAGGAAUUGAUCAAUUUUUUCUUCAUGCGCCAAAGCUUCAAUAUGAUCAAGAAGGGUGAUACACUUCUCGCCGUCAUGGCCGUUAUGCUCGUGGUAGCAGCAAAACGUGCCGUGUUCUUCGUGGGCUUAUAACCUGACUACCUCGGCAUUGGCUUCGGUAUCAGGUGUGUUAUGUUGGGGUAAAUGACAACGCAUGUGGCGUUCAAAUGUGUGUAUGUCUCAUACCUCGGGGUAGGGCCUGUCCUGACACGUGUUUAGCCCACUGUGUUGACUGCUUGAGGGCGGGCAUUAUCGUGGCGAUACCCUUGGUUAUCACGAUAGUGUCCCUUACUUCUUUACUCAAAUGAGACUGGUGAGGAUGGAAAUCUUUCCUUUUGCCCUGAAAUUGAUAUGUCUAUUGACUUAGCGAAGUAUUAUGUAAGGUAAGGGGAGGCACCGCUGCCGUUUGGAAGGUCGAGGUCUUCUCAUUUGGUUGGAUUUGGCUUCUACUCCCUACUUGCUGAUAAAGGGUGGCUGUGGAGGGUUUCCCUUGUUAUGUCUUUGCCUUGGCGGAGGCUUAGUUGUAAGCCUGUGCCAUGACCUUAGAGUAAGUCUUCCAAGUGUUGUCAUUGAUCAUGUACUUGAAGAAACAAUCACGUAGGCCUUGAUGGUAGUCUUGUCAUCUGCCUCAGCGCAGCGAGAAUACUUAUGGCUGAAACGACCGGCAUACUCUCAUAGUGACUCAUCCGACUUCUGUCGAAUAGUGUACAAGUCAUCCGUAGAGUGUAAGCGAUCGGUCUGGAAAAUGUGUUGAGAAACAAAUAGUUUCCUCAAUUCCUCAAAUGAGUCUACCGUCUCAGUUAGAAGACGGCAAUACCAGUUUAAAGCUUCGCCAGAGAGGGUGGAAGGGAAGAGAAGACAUCGUUCUUCGUCGGUGUGCAUCCGAUAUGCCAUGGUAGACUCAAAGAGGUUAAAGUGUUCAAUCAGGUCCUCCUUUCCAGUAUAGGGUUGCAAGCCAAGCUUCUGCUUUGUCUUUGCUUUAAGGGGGUGUCGAGGAUCCUCCUUGUAAGAGGGCCAGGCCUAGGUUGGUUCCAAUCAGGUAUCUCAGCUUGUCGUUCGGCCUUCAACUUGUUUACUUCCUUAAGGAGUUGUAGGACAAAAGGGUCCUGAGUGGAGUCAUGUACCAUUGGAGCUUUCUGUCGUAAAUCUCCAUCUCCUCUUGGAAGUAGGAAGGUUUGAUUAAGAGCAUGUGAUUUUUUCUUGGACUCGCUGUACUGACUUCCAAGGUUUGUCUGUCGAAACAUCUCUAAAUCCCCUAUACCUUCGUGUUUCUCUAGGACUUGUUGCCCCUUCCCCAAAUUGGUAGCUGGCCUGGGACAUGGGAGGGGACCGAGUAUUUCAGAAACCCUUGGGUCAUGGAUCUUUAAGCUUACAUGGAAGAGAUUGUCUCGACGUUGCUUUAGGAAGUCUCGACAAUCGUGAAAGAUGGUUUUCCAUCCUUCCAUUCAUUCUGUAAGGAGGUGCCUUCCUCCACUCCUCCUGCUUCGGGUCGAAAUAGCUGGGUUAAGAGAAGUCUCAUGUUGGUCACCAUUUCGAUGAGUAGCUCGCUCUUCAACAGGAAUACCCAUGUCGAGGGCAAAUGACCCUCCGUGUUGGGAGGCACCCAGUUGAUGGUUGAUUUCCACAGGGGUGAUGAGCUCAUGUGUUUUAGUAUAUCUAGCCUCAUGGAGCAUUUCAAAGACCUUCUUAUACUGCUCUUGGAGGAUCUCAUUCUUCAUCACCAUCUUGGUGUUCUGAGACUCCAGCUUAUCGACUUUAGCCUGUAGAGCAAACUUCUUUUGUUCAUUCUUUCGCUACUUCGCACCAGGUGCGAAAGGGGUGUCGUUCUACGUGUUGUGGCUUCCUUCGCUCCCCAUGUUGGCGAGGGAUGCCUGGUCAAAAGAGAGUGUACGAAUGGUGGAAACCAGCUUGACAAAGCUGAAAAGAGUAGGAAUAAGUGCGAUUCCCACAUACGAUGCCAAAUGUUGAUGCACAAAAUCAGUGGGGACUUUGGUACAACAGAAAGUGCUAAGUUUGUGACCUUCACUAGAUUGCUCCGGUCACUAAUGUGGAUAAGUAUGUAAAUGGAUAGAGAUAGGGAAGCAAACACAAGAUGUAUGUGGUUCACCCAGAUUGGCUACGUCUACAAAGUAGAGGAGUUCUCAUUAAUUGUGAAAGGUUUACAUAAGUAAAUAGGUUCAAACUCUCAUUUAGUGAGUACUAAUGAAUGAUUUAGUACAAAUGACAUUAGGAAAUAUUGUGGCAGAAUGAUCUCCUUUUAUAGAAGAAAGUUUCUAGCUUUGUUCUGACAUUGACACAUGUCGUGUUGUGAUUGGCUUCUGAUGUUGACACGUGUCGUGCUAUGAUUGGCUUCUGAUGUCAACAUGUGUCGCGCUGUAAUUAGCCUUCUAGUUGAAGGGAAACUCUUCUGGAUCCUUGACGGUAUAAGGUUGACCGAUGAUCGGUAGUUUCGGAUUGGUCAAGUAUGAUACAAACAUGCUUGAAUAAAUAAACAACAAGGAUAUGAGAGUUGUUUAACCAAACUAAAGGUCUCCUAAAUUAGGCAUGUUCUACCCCUCCAAUGAUGUUUAACCAACCUAAAGGUGUCGCCAGUUGUUGACACAAUGAUAUUUAACCAAAUUGAAUAUUUGCCAACGGGGAGGGGUUAAUGAGUAAUUAGGAUUUUUUUUAGGUUGUGGAGGGUUUCUCAUAAAAGGGUUGAUUUGUGUGUGAGCGACUACAACUGAGGAAGGAAUGCCUCUAGACCUAGGGCUCUAAAACCUAAACACAAGGUUGCUUAAUUCACUACGAAUUUCAAGAUAUUUUGCCCCAGGUUCGGCAACUUCAACUAUAUCCUUGAAAAUAUAAGUAGCCGAAUCGGUAUUAGGCUAUAAGGACAAAGAUAUUCAAAGGAAAUGAGAUCUUUAUGGUGAAUGUUGUUCAGCAGUCUGAAUGUCGAACUUCCAAAUGCACUUGCAAGUAACUACUCAUAGAACAUCUCACUUCGCUGGGGGAGCUAAUAAAGUGACCGCUUUCAGCGAAAGUAUCAAAGACUCUUCAUUGGUUGAGACUUGGAGGUAGCCAACUAAACCAAAAGUAGUACUAUUUAACCAAAUUGAAGGUACUCCUAGGCCGACUAGUUCAAUGGCUCCAAUGACUUUUACCUGAACUAAAUAUGUUUCCGAUUAGCCAACCCAAUGAUGUUGCAACGAAGUAAACAUGUACCGACGGAGGGAUUAGGAUAAUUGAUAUUUUUUUAGGGUUGUGAGAAAAGUUUCGAACAGAGCAAGGUUAUUUUCGUAGAGCGUUUGAGUUGUUUGUUGAGUUGAAGGAGAAUUUUCACGUUGCAGAGCCUCUCAUAUUUAUAGGACGACAAUACUUUAGCUAACAAGUUCCGAAACCAAUUCGAACUGCAGCACGCUCUUGGAGCUUUAUCCCAUUUUACUUGCUAAAUAUCUGAUGCUUAAGUCCAGAUAACAUCUCAUGAGAAACAAUUCUCAUUUGGGGUCAUGUGCAUGAUGAGGCCUACUUCCCUCCUAAGAUGGGACUCUAUCAUUAGUUACAUGGAAGAUAUCAUAUCCCUUGCCCCUACAUGUUGCAUGCAUAUCCACAUAAGUUACAAAUAACAAACCUAUAUGAUGUGCUUCUCACCGUGCCCAUCUUAAUAGUCAUUUAUCUUCUUUGAAUUUGUAGAAUUGGAAAGCAAUCACAUUGCCCAUAAACCUCAAAUGCAGCUUGUGCUUCAAAAGAAAGUCCAUAUAUUGGAAGUCUUGGACAAGGUUGUCUUUUAUUUUUCUUGUGUUUAGCACUUCUUAUAUAGUGGUCAACUUCUUAAUUCAAGGAGCUGCUGUUAGCUUUCCUAAACCUACUGUUAGCUUUCCUAAAGCUGCUGUCAGCUUUCCUAAAGCUGCUGUCAGCUUUCCUAAAGCCACUCAUUAUGGCAUAAAUUAAGGAAGAAGGGAUAGCCUCCUUAUAUUUGCCUGUAGAGUUACGUUGCAGAUAAGAAAAAUAAAUACAAAACAAUCUUUAAAAAGCAAUAUGGUAUCAGAGCAGGGAAAAUAACCUGCUUCUGCAUUACUAUCAUCCGAUCUUAUUCAACCUUCAAUAUGGCGAAAGAAAAUCCUUCUGGGUCUGAAGCUGAAAGUUCACAGGUCAUUUCCUCCUUGAAUGUGUCUGAGAUGGAUGUCAACCCUAAUCAAAGAUUAAGCUCAGUCUUGUUGAAUGAGUUUAAUUACUUGCCUUGGUCAAGAGAAGUAAGUCUUGCCCUAGGUGGAAGGUCUAAGUUAGGGUUCAUAAAUGGAAGCAUCGAAGUUCCUGAUGCUUCCUCUUCAACUUAUGAAACCUGGCUUUGCAAAGAUCAGCUAGUUAUGUCAUGGCUCUUAAAUUCCAUGAAACGUAAACUAGCUUAAAUAUUCAGUUAUUCUGAAUCAUCAUUCAAGCUAUGGGAGACUGUCAAGGAAAUGUAUAGCAGUGAGAACAAUGCUGCACGUAUGUUUCAAUUAAAGAAUGACAUUUCCAACCUGCAACAAGAAGGAAAGCCCUUUGUACAACUUUUAGGCAGCAUGAAGAGCAUGUGGAUUGAGUUGGAAUUGUAUCGACCCCAUAUAACUAAAGCGUAUGUGCUAUUGAAGAAGGCAGAAGAAGACAAGAUAUUCCAACUCUUGUCAAGUCUCGAUGCAGAAUAUGAAGACCUACGAAGCCACAUACUCAUGAACACUGAACUGCCUUCCUUCACCAGUGUAUGUGCAACAAUCCAGCAUGAAGAAGUGCGAAGGAAAAUCAUGAACAUUGGUACAAAGACCAAUGUAUCUGAAGCUAGAGCCUAUCUAACCAACGAAAGAAAAUACAAAGGGAAGAAUCCACACUUGAAGUGCCAACACUGCAACUAUACCGGUCAUGUUAAGGAGACAUGCUGGAUUUUACAUCAAGAAUUAAAACCUGGUUUUAUGAAGGACAACAAGGGCUUUCAGAAGCUGAACCAAGCUACACACAGAGCCAACCAUGCAUCUGCCUCAACCUCAAAUAGGUCUGACACACUCAAAAGCUUCAUAGCAAAUCCGGCUGCACUCAUAAAUGAGUUUACAGCGUAUCUUUGAAGUAAGAAAUGAGGGAAUGAAAGUGAUCAAACGGUCAGUUUUGAAGAUGGAAACUCAACAGCUUUGCUAGGCAAGUUUGCUGGUUUCCUGGCAGACACCGAACACAUACCUUAAGAAGACUUGCAAUGUAUCAUGAAUUCAUUCAAAACUGCUCUUAAUGUAAAUAUGUUGCAUGAUUUUUGGGUUGUUGAUUCGAGUGCCACAUAUCAUAUGACCAACCAAGUUUCUACGUUUCAAAAAUUAUCAAAACCUUCUCAAGUGUUAACUGCAAAUGGUGAAAGUGCCGAGGUUUUAGGAAAGGGAAAAAUCAACUUAAUGUCGGAAAAAAUUGAGUCAAUGGCCUUAUAUGUUCCUUCUUUUCCUUUCCAACUCCUAUCUGUGAGAAAAAUCACCAAUACCUUGAAUUGUUUAGCCAUAUUCUCUUCUCACAAUGUCAUUUUUCAAGAUUGUGUCACCAAGAAGACGAUCGGUGAAAGGUUUUAUCUAGAUGGUCUCUAUUACAUAUCAAGGAGCAGUUCCAAAGGGUUUCAAGCCAAGUCCAAUUCAUCCCAAAAUAAUCAAUUGUGGCAUCAACGUCUAGCUCAUCCUUCUCAACCUAUUUUGUCUUCUUUGUUUCCAAACUUAGGGAAAGUUUUAAUUCCAUGUGAAACUUGUCAUUUAUCUAAGGCCACUAGAUUGCCUUUUAACUCAUCCUUAUCUAGGGCCAGUAAGUUGUUUGAACUUGUUCACUCAGAUGUAUGGGGACCAACGUGUGAAUCUUUUGACGGUUAUAAAUAUUAUGUAAUAUUUGUUGAUGAUUUCUCUAGAACCACAUGGUUGUACCUUUUAAAGUCUAAGAGUGAAGUGAUGGAAGUGUUUAAGGAUUUUAAUAAUCUUGUUAAGAACCAUUUCUCCUCUCAAAUUCAAACUUUAAGAUCUGACAAUGGCACCAAAUACAUGUCCCAUAUCAUGACACAAUAUUUGAGCAAUCAUGGCAUCAUGCAUCAAACAAGUUGUGUUGGCACACCUCAACAAAAUGGUGUAGCCAAAAGAAAAAAUUGUGACAUCCUUGAAAAAACUAGAGCAUUAAUGUUACAAAUGAAUGUACCAAAAAGAUUUUGGUCCCAAGGAGUCAUGGCUGCUGUCUACAUCAUCAAUAGACUUCCUAGCCGAGUCUUAGAUUUUAAAUCUCCUCUUGAGGUCAUGAAAGGAAGGAAAAUUGACAUUUCACAUCUUACAGUCUUUGGUUGUGUUUGCUUUACUCAUGUUCAACCACAUCAUCGAGAUAAAUUGGAUCCUAGAGCUCUUAAAUGUAUUUUUCUUGGUUAUUCAUCAACAAAAAAGGGAUAUAAGUGUUAUGAUCCUCAGCUAAGAAAAAUGAUUGUAUCUAAAGAUGUUCAAUUCCAUGAAACUAAUCAUUUUUUCAACAAGUCCUUUGAAACCAUAAGUCAGGGGGAGUGUAUCUUUGAUGUGUUUCCUCUACCAAGAAUCGGGCUCAAUAAUGCUUCAACAAGAAAAUGUUCCAAUAAUGAUGAACCACAUGCACCACCCACUGAAGGUAACAAUGAAGGUAUUCAUCCUGAUGGUUUUAUGCUUGAUGAUGACCGCGACAACCAAGAUAAUCUUCAAAGUGUGGCUGAAAAUUUGAACGAGUGUGAGACAACUGUACCAGCACCACGACGCAAUCCUAUGCAUAAUAGACAACCUCCUACAAGGUUUCAAGAUUUUGUCACAUACAAUCCCAAGCAUCCAAUCUCCAAUUAUGUGUCGUAUCAAAAGUUGACUCCAUCUCAUGCUGCAUUUCUUAGCACCAUCUCAAGUCACAGUGAGCCACAAAACUUUCAUGAGGCUAACAACCAAGAUGUGUGGAAAGAAGCAAUGAGAGAAGAACUCAAAACAUUAGACCUACACAAAACCUGGAGCAUUACCAAACUUCCAAAAGGUAAAAAGGCAGUAGGUUGCAAAUGGAUCUAUAAGAUCAAGUUUAAUUCAGAUGGUUCAAUUGAGAGGCAUAAAGGGCUGGUGGCUCGGGGAUUCACACAAACAUUUGAGAUGGAUUACAAAGAAACUUUUGCACCUGUUGCAAAAAUGAACUCAAUUAGGGUUCUAUUAUCCGUUGUUGUUAAUAAGGGUUGGUCCAUGUACCAAAUGGAUGUGAAGAACGCCUUUCUACAUGGUGAUCUUGAAGAAGAGGUCUAUAUGAAAUUGCCACCAGGGCAUCCUUAAAGCCAUGAGCAUGAUUUAGUGUGUAAAUUGCACAAAUCAAUUUAUGGACUGAAGAAAUCUCCACGAGCUUGGUAUGCCAAACUAAGUUCAGUGCUUAAUAGCGUUGAUUUCACAAGAAGCAAUGCAGAUUCAUCAUUGUUUGUUCGCACUGGAGCUGUGGGUAAAUUGGUUGUGUUAAUAUAUGUGGAUAACUUAAUAAUUACAGGUGAUAAUGCUGAAGAGAUUUCCAAACUCAUACAGUCACUUCAAUAAAGAUUUGCAAUUAAACAUCUUGAGGUGUUGAAGUACUUUCUUGGAAUAGAGAUGGCAACUUCUCACAAGGGACUAUUUCUUAAUCAAUGCAAAUACAUCCUGGACCUACUCAAGGACGCUAAAAUGAGUGAUGCUAAGCCUGCAAAUACUCCUCUCGAUAGCAAGCUCAAACUUGACUUGGGGGGCAUGCGACUCUCGGAUAUCAGCCACUAUCAGAGACUGGUUGGUAAGUUAAUCUAUCUAACAAUCACCAGGCAUGACAUCACAUAUUCAGUGAGUAUCGCCAGUCAAUUCAUGCACUCUCCCACAAUUGAUCAUUUGAACCUUGUCAAAAGGAUCUUACGUUACUUAAAAGGGUCCGUGGGUCGUGGCAUUAUCUUGAAGAAGAAUGAAAACACCCAAAUCAUGGGGUACUGCGAUGCGGAUUGGGCAAGAAAUGCAAUCGAUCGCAAGUCCACAACUGGUUACUGUAUCUUUGUCGGUGGAAACUUGGUCACGUGGAAGAGCAAAAAACAAACUAUCAUCGCAAGAUCAAGUGCCGAAGCUGAAUAUCGUGCAAUGGCAUCAAUCGCGUAUGAGCUGAUAUGGCUAAAGGGACUUCUAUGCGACUUAGGUGUGUUUACGACUCAACCUAUGAACUUAUUUUGUGACAACCAAGCAGCCAUGCACAUAGCAUCAAACACAGUGUUCCACGAGAGGACAAAACACAUUAAAGUAGAUUGUCACUAUGUACGUGAACAAGUACAGUCGCAGGUGAUUCAGACGCAUUAUACAAGAAGCUCCGAUCAAUUGGCCGAUAUAUUCACCAAACCCUUGGUCUCUCAUCAGUUUCAAAGGCUUCUGUCCAAGCUUGGAUCCGUCAAUCUUCUGGAUCCAAGUUGAGGGGGAGUAUUGGAAGUCUUGGACAAGGCUGUCUUUUAUUUUUCUUGUGUUUAGCAUUUCUUGUAUAGUGGUCAACUUCUUAAUUCAAGGAGCUGUUGUUAGCUUUCCUAAAGCUGACCUAAAGCUGCUGUCAGCUUUCCUAAAGCUGAUGUUAGCUUUCCUAAAGCCACUCAUUAUGGCAUAAAUUAAGGAAUGAGGGAUAGCCUCCCUAUAUUUGGUUGUAGUGUUACGUUGCAGAUAAGAAAAAUAAAUACAAAACAAUCUUUGAAAAGCAAUACCAUAACUCCAGGAGCUUUAUUUCUCCCCCGAGUCCAUCGUCAGUGAAACCGUGGUACACUAAAUGGAAAGAGGAUUCUUUUCGGAUCCUUUUGGUGGGGAUCAUAGAGAUCCUCAUAUCUUAACCGUUUGUCAGAUACUAUUUAUGUUUAAUUUUAAAUAAAAAAAUUCAAAUGAUUUCUAAUCGCAUGAUGUAUGAUGAAUGAUUAAGAUAUAAGAUUUUCACUAUUUGAAUCCGGAUAAGAUCCAAAUCCUGCUAAAGGAUAGGACGAGAUAAAAUUGUAUUGUGUUAGAGAAAGAGUCUGUCAGCUUUUGCUUUUGUUGCUGUCGAAAUAAUUUUAACAAAAACUCCAACAUAACUAUCAUGUAUAAUAAAACCAACGACAACAUCUUGAAGAAGUUAUUAAAAUCUCUUUAUUUGGGAGUUAUCCGACUGCUCAAAAUUUUGUUCAUUCAAUAGUUUUGAUUGCACGUGCGGGACAGAUGGGUCCAAACAAGUUUAUUCUAAAAGACAAAGAAAGAAACUGUGAAUAGCGCAUUCCCAAGGACAAAGAUAAUCUGCUCUUUCACUUUUCGUGCCCUCUCAUACGUUCUUGUUUUGUGUGAUCACGGUUAAGCCACGUCAACAUUUUAUAUUAUUUUUUUAUAGAGAUAAUAAGAUAAAAAUAAAUAGUAAUAUAAAAUAUUAACGUAACUUAUCCGUGACCACAUUAAUAGAAACGCACGAAAAAUAAGAGAGCAGACAAUCCUUGUCCCAUCCUUAACCGGUUUACUAUCGGUCACAAGUGAUCAUUUGCAUGUCUUACGAUGCUAAAAACAAACAAGAGUAAAUCAAAAAAACCCCAAAUUUUCAACAAUAUAGCGACGUAACAAUGCAUGGUUGCCUCUUGGUAUAUAAAGACAAACUACAGAAAAAAAUCUUGGAAUAUUCUCGAUCCCCAAACAUUAAAAAAACACGUCAUCCAUGACGAUAUCUGAAAAUUCAGAUUGCAACCAAAAUUUACAAUACAUCUUUUAGGGAUGUGGAUUCUCUCUCCUCCUAACAUCUCUUAUCUUUCCUCUUCUUCUAUUUGAAUGAUCACGGUUAAGUUAUGUCGUUAACAUCUUAUAUUGAUUGUUUUUAUAAAGACAAUAUGACAAAAAAAUAAAGUAUGAGGAGGGGAGGGAAGGGGAUGGAAAUACGAGGGGGGAGAAUCAUACUCUAAUUUUUAGCUUGUCUUUUGCUUGCAUAUCACGAAAAACACAUAUACACCUCACAGCAAAUGAAAUUUUAGCAUGUGUAUAUUCAUUAUGAAUACUACCAAAGAGUUCAAGAGGCUACAUGAAGGAUUUAACUAAGUUGAGCAGCUAAGCACUCAAAACUAGCUAAAGGGGAUGAAAGAAGGGGAAAAUGGUUAGGAUUAUGAUAAGUAAAUAUUGCAGUUCUUUUCUAAUGUCAUAAAAAAUAAAUACAAAAAUAGUUACGACUAUAAUAGGUAAAUAGUUCAUUGAUCAUUUUAUCGCGUAAACGACGGAUCCUUCGACACCUCAAUAAUCAAAUCUAAGCUAAAGGGGUAGAUGUUGUGAUUCUUCAUCAGUCCUAGCAAGGUUAAUGUGCCUAGAGGAAAAUAAUUUUUUUAUUUUGAAUGAAUGUUUUUAUUCUCGAGCAAUCUAUCUCCUACCUCCAAAUUUAUCAUAUUUUUUAUUUAUUCUUUCUAACUUACCUUAAAAAUAAUAACUCAUGUACUUCAAUUCAUUUCUUUGUACCAAAUGAGAUUGUAGUUACUUAAGAAAUGUUAAGGAAACUCUUUUAAAGUAUGACCUUUUAUGCACUUUACUGUUUCACAUCAAUUCUCGUAUCAACAUUUUAAAAUAUAAUUUUAAAAUAUAAGAUGACAAAUAAUCUAAAAAGGUUACUUUUGAGAAAGUUUAUUUAGCAUUUCUCAAAGGGGAAUCCAACUCGAUUACUAGGCACUAUAACUUGCGUAAAGGGGGAUGAAAAUGACUACUUAACAAGAAGAGGGCGAAGGAUAGUACCUUAUUAAGCCAUUAAGAUUACUGUUGUGUUUCUUUGAGCUCAUUUCGGAACAAAAGUGAACCUUUAUGGUGAGGUUGACGACUGUCAGUUCAUUCCAAUACCUUGGUCCUUGGUCGACACUCAAAUUAUUUUUUCCAAUUAAAUCCAAGUAAGUGACUAGACAGUAGAGUUCCUGCGGAAUUUUCUCUCUUAAUUUUCCUCUUUCUUUUUUUUUUUCAACAAGGGCUUUGGUUUCUUCUGUGAGAUAGAGGUUGUUGAUUGAUAGAUGUCUCUUACAUUUCUUUUGAGAGUAUUUGAUGCCAAUAAUUAUCCACUGAGGUUCUUUUUUGGAUAAAAUUUAUGGGGCCCCAAUUUAUCCAAUUUGAUAAAAGACUAACUGAAAUUAACAUUUGGUAUCUCUUGAAGGAUAAAUAUUUCAGUGUGUCAAAAACACGGUUAUGUAUAUCCAGUGUUAAUACAAAAGUGGUUGAAGUGUUUUUUCGAGGAUCUAACUACAUGUCUUAUGACAUUUUGUGUAUGUGUUUGGAUCCAAAAUUACACCAUCUGCCCAUCGAGACUGUUGAGUAAGCAUGGUUCUAGACCGUUGGAUAAGAAGUUAAGAUAAUUUUGUUUUGAGAUAAUGUUAUGGUUUUUAAUCAUAAUAAUUAUCUUUUGAUAAAUCAUCUUGAUUUUCUUAUACAAAAUAAAUGGGAUACAAAUCAUAGCCCCAACUCAGAAGCAAAAAGAACAAUCCAAAUUAAUUUGGAUUUGUUAGCAGUGCACCGUGUGAAGAGCAGCUUGGAUUGGGACUCCUAGCACUGAUGUGGUCAUGAUGGCUUUUGCAUUGCAGAUGAAAUAAGAAAAUAGUUGCGUGAUGCGGUAGAAGGUUAUUAUGCAUGCAUGGAUAGAUCAUUAAAAAGCCUAAAUAGGCCUAGCUUUUGGUGAUGAUGUGAUAAGCCUAGGAUUUGAUGGUCUUGAAUAGUGGUGAAAUAAGAAACCUAGGUAGGCUAGGCCUUUUUGCAUGGUGAUGGAAGUUAUCAAAUGAGUUUAAAGGCUUCUCAUGGAGGUUUUUUAUGAGAUAAGAAGCUUAAGUGGACUAGGUUUCUGAUGUGAUGUGAUAAAGCCUAGAUAGGCUUUAUUUUGUUUGAAAAGUCACGAAAUCUGAAGGAUAUGCCUUGGCAUUUGACACGGAUCAAUUUCAAUUCCGCGAGGUAGAGUUGCGGUUGGACUCUACAAAGUUAUCAAGCCGUGUGAAGCAAAAGACAGCCACUAUAAAUACAGAGUCGUAUGCAGCAUUGGGCCCUGCUCCAACUCAACACACAAACUGCUCUGCGCAAACCCUUGCUCUAUAUGAAACCUCUCAACAACCUUGAGAUUUUUAUUUUCCUUUUUCUCCAACACAUCUUCAGUUUCGAUAAACAGCACUGUGAAGAAAAUCGACUAACAUCUUUAGUUUGGAUAAACAGCACUGUUGCUGUAAAAUCAGCCGACCGCGAAACUACUUCAGUUUGGAUAAACAGCACUGCUACGAGGCCGACUGGUUAUCUAUCCAAGUCUCGGUCGAGAAGGAUUUUCAAAUUUUUAUUGGCAGAGGUCAUCUCAUUAGCCUUCUAGGUGAAGUGAGGUGUUACCAAGUUACUACAUUCGGCACACUGAGAGCCGAAUUUGAUAUUGAACUUCGUAGAACUAGCAUUCUUGUCUUCAGGCUCUAGAACCAUUCCUAGGAGAAGAGGAAGGUCCAUUCCCAGGUGGUGGGUGUUUUUGUUGCCUCUCUGGUGGAGCUCAGAGGUGAGAGGGAAGGUUUGUAGAGAAAGAGAGUGCGAGAGGUUUGAGAAAGGGAGAGAAGUGAGGAAGAAAGAAAGAUAGAGAGAGUGUGUACUAUGAGAGGGAGAACACAGGAGAGGGUAGAGAGGAAAGAGACCAGGAACCAAAAAGAAGGGGGGUCCCACCCGGCUCACUAUUUAAUAACCAAAAUAAUAUUUAAAAACGAGGGUGGAGUGUAACAUGGUCAAUGCAAACAUUACAGAUACAAAAAACCAAAGUCUUAUAGAGCUUCCUUAUACUAAUCACACAACAAAAAUUACGAACAACAAAACAUGAAAAAAAUGAAAAGGAUACGGCAAUGCAUCGUUGGUAGGAUCCAGACUAACAACUGCUAUUUUUCUGGUAACUAAAAAUGAUGAAAUGGUCAAUGCAAACAUUAUCGACAGAUUCAAAAACAAAAACUAAGGCCAAGGAAAAACUUGAAAACCAACAAAAACUCGAAAUCUUAUAGGAGUCCUAUCUUUCCACAGUUUUCCUUCUUCAAAAUAAGAAUAGAAACCUCUAAUUUGAGUGCCUACACAUAUAUACAUCGGAUAAAAAUCAAAAAUAAAAAAUUCGAAACACCACCAGAAAUAACAAAAAUGAUGAAAAAUAAACCAUAAAAAUUUUCAACAAAAAGUUUAAGACUUUAACUCACAGGAAAUCCUGUAACCAGUUGUAAGUGGAUGCACCCUCACUGGUGACCAAUUGCAAAGUGGCCCUUUUGCCCAGCUCUGUAACCAAUUGUAAAGUCGACUUUUUGCCCAGUUCACUACGGUUUCAUUUCAUUUAUUUUCAUUCGUAUGUAGAUAUAUUUGAAUCAUUGAUUGCUAUAUGAACUCUAGAAAGCCACGAAUGGGAGUUGGAGUAUUAAAGGACUCAACACUUACUAUUUAGUUUAAAUACUCUAUUUGCACGUCUGCAAGUAAGCUGAAUUCACAACCUAUGCCAAUUCAAGGUGUAGAGUUUCACCUUCUUCGGACCCAUAAAUGGUCGAAAAGUUCUAAAAUCAGCCAGAGAAAACUGGGAUCCUCAUCAGAAAAACCCACCAAGGUGCGCUUAUGGAACUCCUCGCCUUUUAAUCUGCAUUACCAGAACAAAAUGUAAAUUCACCAAUUAAAUGCGUAUAUCAAUUUCAUAAUGUAGUUUAUUACAAAGAUUAAGAAGCGAAAAUUACCAUAGCAGUAGUGGCAGCUCCAAAAAGGGCAAUGAGGGAUGGCACAGCUACUUGGCCAACUUAUCUGGCUAGGACUUCAAACACCAAAACCCCGUACAAUGCACAAAAGGAUGCUGCAAAAGAAUUAACAAAAGAAUAAUGAUCGCAAGAAACAGUUCAGUAUAACUUUAAAAACUUUGGGAAGUUGAUGGGGGCAUAAUCAUCAUAUACCAAUUGAUUCAUGUAUCGUGACCAUCCAUCCAAGCAAAGGCAUCUACAUACACUGCGGUAUGGUAGAUAUUUUAUGUGCUCCAGAUUCAUUAUCUGCAAAAUAUGCAUCUAUCGAACAACAUAGUAAGUCUUUAUCUUAACGGAAAAAAAGAAAUUACAAAAUUUAAACUUCGAUCUAAAAGUUAUUCAUUAAUUUCUUUAUAUAUAAGAAAUUAUUGCACAAAAUGAAUGUAUCCAGUUCACCACAGAGUAGUAAUCGAUUCUAAUUUGAUCUACAUGAUCGAAUAUGUGUGUGUGUACAUAUAUAUAUAUCUGCAUGUAUAUAUAUAGCCAUUGUAUGAAAAGCGCUAACAGAUUAAAGUGAUCUCUUAAAACUCGAUAUGGAGCAUCGUUCUCUUCCCAUGUUUGUAGGAUAUAUUACAUGGUUCCACUUCAAGCAUUCUGGCCAACAGCUAUGCGGUCCAUUAGACAAAUUAGAUGGUUUAGUAGGUCCUACAUCGUCAAUCUCUAGCCCUAUAUCAAUAUUGUGUAGUGGGGAACCUUUAUUUGAAUCAAGCAAUUCAUAGAUACAAAAAUUACUUAUAAAAUAACUUUGAAAGUAAGUAAAAAAAAUAUGUUCUAUGCCUAUUGCUUUUGCCGAACUAAAAAAAAAGUGGGAAAUGCUUGAAAUUGGCCAGAAAAAACUCGCAUCUUCAUCGGAAAACCCACCGCAAGCUGGGCUUAUUGUACUCUUCGAUAGAGGGGUAAAUUCGAACAUAAAAAGCUCGAGUCUUGUUGUUAGGACUCUUCUGAGUCCCGGGAGAACUGCGAGAGGAAAGAGAGAGAAGGGAUAAGGAAGAAUUAAAAAAUAAAAAAUAACAGUGCAUAUAUUAUGCGAUCCAGGGACACCAUUGGAAUAAGGUUAAAACUGUGAGGUUGAGACUCACCCAGAACUUAAGAAAUAACUGCAUAUAGUAUUAACACACAUAAAUGAUCAAUUGAAGAUCAUAUCAUGUGCAGCAAGCCAAAACAAACAAUUUGAAAUCAAACCAACCAAAACAAACAAAAGUCAUUUCCCAUGGAAGAUUAUCACAAAAUUGCAAGACCUAUACAAUCUAAAUAAAGUGGGUUCUACGGGGUGGAAGAAAGCAUAAAAGCUGCAGUGGAGCAAACCCGGGAAGGUAGGGUAGAGAAUACGCCACCGAGAGAACCUGAGAAUGGUGAAUGGAAGGAUGCAAAAUAUUGUAUACCAACAACAAAAUAUCGCAUAAACUUAGGAAUUGGAUCAUGCUUUUGAUUUUAUCUUUUACCUACAAACAAUCAUAUACAUAGUACUUUAUAUAUUUUUACCAAAAAACGUCCCUAAUAGGCUAAUAUAUGUAAUAAUACAUGAAAAAUAAUUUACCUACCAUGUAUACAAAAAUGUUAUUUGAUUCAAAAUAUAUAAUCCGGGUUUUCUAAUAUAUAUAUGGGUAAAUUACAUAAUACCCCCUCAGGUUUGAGGUCUAUUACAACCUCAUACAACAUCUUUAAACAUUUCACUUUCAUACAUCACCUACUAUUUUAUUUCAAUAUAGUACAUCCGUUACAUUUUUCAUUCAUUGAUCCGUUAAGAGUUGACGUGGUUGCCACAUUUGUGCCACAUGGCUGCCAAAUUUAUGCCACGUGGCAAAAAAUUAAUUUUUUUAUACAUUUAAAAAUAAUUAAUUAAAGAAAAAUUAUUAUAAAAAAUAAUAAAAUAAUAAUAAUCACUAGAACCCAUCUCCCUCUCCUGCACCCCACCCACCCUCCCUCCCGUCUCUUACCCCAUCCACCCUCCCUCCCUUCUCUUUCCACAGCCAACACCCAGAAGAACUCACACCCAUAAAAAUGACGCUCGUCUCCUCAGAUCCCACAGAGCCCCAUCUUUCUCCACAAUCCCUCACCUGCGUCAGAACCCUCGCCGGCACGGCCUCGUUUUGGCUUUUCUUCAACGCCGAGCACAGCGACAGCAGCUUCCGCCGUGUACUCCGUCACCCAUUCCGAGAUGGGUUGAGGUUCUGAUCUGGGUUUUUGAUUGGGGGUCCGAUUGAGAUUUGGAUCGGCUUGAAGUUAGAGAGAGAGAGAUGAAUGGAGUUGGGAGACAAUGGCAAAGAUCUGGUGCGGCGGGGGUGCACCACCAGCGGCAAUACUCUGAUAACUUCUUGGAGACUUCAUCCAACGGGAUAUGCUUCAGUCAGCUGGUCUUCAAUACCUUUCAUCUUCCAACUCAUUUGAUCCUCCUCCUCGGGUAUUUUUUUGCUUUCCCAAUCAAAUCUAUCCGAAUUUAAUCAAAACGUUGUAACAAAUCUGAAAUUUGGGUACAUUGUAAUAAUCAUUUAUUUUGUGGGAUAUGAGUAGGAGAGCACCAUUUUUAUGGGUGUGAGUUCUUUUGGGCGUCGGCUGUGGAGAGAGAAGGGAGGGAAUGAGGGAGGGUGGGUGGGGUGCAGGAGAGGGAUGUGACUCGGGGGGGGGAGAUGGGUUCUAGGGAUUUUUUUGUUUUUUUUUAAUUUUUAUAAUAAUUUUUCUUUAAUUCAUUAAUUUUAAAUGUAUAAAACAAUUAUUUUUUUUGCUACGUGGCAUAAAUUUGGCAGCCACAUGACACAAAUGUGACAGCCACUUCAGUUCUUAACGGAUCAAUGGAUGGAAAAUGUAACAGAUGUAUUAUAUUGAAAUAAAAUAGUAGGUGAAGAAUGAAAGUGAAAUGUUUUUAAAAUGUUGUAUGGGGUUGUAAUAAACCUCAAACCUGAGGGGGUAUUAUGUAAUUUACCCUAUAUAUAUAAUCUAGGUGUAGUGUAUAUAUAUAUAUAUAUUUAUAUAAUUGGAACAAAUUAAUUUACCUACCUACAAAUUAAUUUCCAAUAAUUUACCUACAAAAAAUUAUACCCCAUGUGUAAUAUAAUAUCUUUUUUUUCACUAAUACAUGGAGAAUAAUUUACACAAAACAAGAAGAAAUAUAUUUGAUGUAUUAUAUUGAAAAAUAUUAUGUCAUACCUAUAUUUAUACAACAAUGAAAUGUGCCUAAUAUAUGUAACAAUACAUGAAAAAUAAUUUACCUACAAGGUAGAUAAGUGUUAUUUGAUUCAAAAUAUAUAAUACGGAUUUAGUAUAAUUUUUUUUAAUAAUUGGAACAAAUUAAUUUACUUCCAAAUUAAUGCAAUAUAUAUAUCACAAAAAAGGUAAUUUUUUGGUAUGAUAAGGAUACAAUUAAUGCAAUACAACAGUUUAUAUAUUUUAUUUCACUUUUUCUACAACUUUUAAUUUAGAAUAAAUUUAGGGAUUUGGGAAAGUGGCAUGAGUGUAAAUAAAUUGUAUUAGUCGGUCAAUAGUGUUCCGAUGUGGCUGCAGAUUUUAAAUUUGGGCUUUUAUUGGACAUUUAUAUGUAUAUGAGUUUUUAUCUAGGAAUCAUGAAUUGUAAGGACCAAAAUCUAAAGCACCUUUUAAAAAAAAAAAAAUGAACUUGAGUGUAGAAGGGAGUGCACAUUAUUCUAACUAAUAUUCUUAUUUGCAAUAACAAAGGAGACAACUGCUCAUUUUAAAAGUAAAAAAAAAAAAAAAAAAGUACAUGUGCAUGCAAAUAUAUAAGACGAAAAAAAGUACAUGUGCAUGCAAUAUAUGUGAUGAACAAUACUUGGGUAUUCAAAGAUAAGUAGGAAUUUCUAUUCAAAAUUCUUAGUGUUUUAAUCACAGAGUUUUGUGCUUAUGAUCGGAACAGUUAAUACUAUGAAUCAUAUUGUAAAUAUCAUCUUUGCAAAAAAUAAAUAAAAACUAAGGUCCUUUAGUCAAUCUAUUGUAGUAAAUACAUAAACGGUUUAUAAUGCUUUUACCAAUACCGUUCAUUUGUUUUUAAAUAGUUUGAUAACUAAACAACCUUAGUUUUAAUUCAAUUUUUGCAAAGACGGUCUUUAUAUGAUGAAUAAUAAUAUGAAUAGUUCUGAUUAUAAACAUAAAAUUCUAUAAAUUGACAACGAACAAUUUUGAAAAUUUUUUAGUAGGAUUUACUACUAAUAGUAGCCAAGCAUUACAAUUCCAAAAAGUCGACCAGUUGUGUUUACGUGGCUGUCUAAAAUUCUACAUAUAUACACAAGCUACUACCAAACCAAGAAACAGAAAAAAGGACAGCCAUAUGUUAAGAUAACAUCAAUUUAUCCGAUCCAAGAAAGCCUUGAGAUUCUUGUCAGAAGACCCACCUUCACUCACAGCCUCUCUUGCCAAAUCUUUCCAUUUCUUAGCAUUCCUUCUCAUCUCUUCACCAAUCUCCCCACUUCCCAUGACCAACUCCAAACACCUUUUGAGCUCGUCACCCGUAACAAUCCCCUUCUCAUUUGGUGUCACCCUCAAUCCUGUCUUCCAAGCGUCCUCUAUCAACUUGGCAUUCGUUCCUUGGUCCGUCCACUGAGGAAACGCCACGACUGGCACCCCCGAAGCGAAGCUUUCCAAGCUUGAAUUCCACCCACAAUGUGUCACAAAGCAACCCAACGAAGGACUUGACAGAACCUCCACUUGACUACACCACGGCACUAUCCUCCCUAGCUCUUCCAAUUCCUCUCUGCAACUCAACAUCUCUUCUUCUUCCUUCGCCUCAUUAUCUUCUCCCUUCUUAUUGACUUUAUCUCUAAUAACCCACAAGAACGGACGGCCGCAAUCCAACAACCCUUUGGCGAUUUCCUCCAUUUGGGCCUUUUCCAACACACAAAUGCUUCCGAAGGACACAUAAAUCACCGACCCUUCCGGCUUCAAGUUCAGCCACUCCAGGUACGGAGAGUCCUUGGAUUUUUUGAGAAGAUCGCCUCCAAAUGACUUGUCCGAUGGAUCCUUGCCGUCCAAGAAAGUCGUCGGAAUCAAUGGCCCGACUCCAAUCAAAUUGUACUUUUCAGUUGCUUUUAAGGCUUCCGGCUCUAGUGCAUCGAACGUGUUCACUAGAAUGAUCGGGUUGGUUUCUCUCUCCAGCAGAUCCAUCUGUUCUUGAAACAACGGGAGGGCGAAAUUGUAGGGAUUUGUAUCCACCAUGAAGGAGGGAAGGUCUCGGCUUGUAAGAGAUAAUGGCAAACCUGGUAACUCUAUUGAACAUGGAAGGGCAUCGUUCGUACCAGAACUAGUAUUAUCCCGGAUGAGAUCUUUGAACCCGUUAAAGUAAUAGUAGUAGAUGUCGAAAACUGUGGCUGGUUGAAUCCAAAGCAGCACAUUUGGGAGGUGAAGUUCAUGCGCCACGUCCGCGGCCCAGGGGAGAAGUAUUGUGUAGACCAUGCAAGUGUAAGGGUGACCCUCGUUUUCACUUGAGACUACAAGGUCGGUGAUGGCUUGUGCUCCGUGGUGCCGCAACUCCGACAAGUAGUGGUCGAUGUUGUCUCCGGGCUUAAACCCGUCGUCGUAACCAUCAGAGAAGGGCGCAUAAGUCAAUCCAUCUGGAAUUGAGCCAUUGCCAAUGCGAUGAUGGGCUGAGAGACUGGUAAUGAAGGUGACAUGCGCACCUGUAGUGUUGAUAAGGCGCUUGGCGAAUUGGAGGGAAGGGUUGAUGUGGCCUUGAGCCGGAUAUGUGACAAGUAGAAAGCGGUGUUGCACCAUGGCAGCGUAUGCGAUUGCGGAGGUGCGCGGUGGAGCGUGGAGUUGUUGGAAGUAGAAUAAGUAGGUACCUAGUUUACUGGUGGAAAAUUUGGUGCUGUGGGCUUAUUAGCUUAGUGAAGUUGAAAUUCUUGUGGGAGUACGUAUUCAAGGUGGGGAAUGCGGUGAGAGAAUGGCAAGGCUUAAAUAGGGGUUUGGGGGCGGAAAUGUGACGUUUGUGGUGACGAAUUGAAGGCGCUGGUGACAAAGCAAAGAUGAGGACACUUGUGAUUUGUGGUCUUCUCGGUGCAUGCAUAUAAUAUUAUGGGUAAAGACACGCUCAUUACAUAUUUAUACCAUUAUUUGUAUCAUUUCUAUAAUAACGAUGCGAUCCACAUGUUUUGGUGGACUUUACCUCUGAGAGACUAUACAAAAUGUGAUAAGUGUAGCAUUAUUCCUAUUUAUAUCAUAUUUUGUAAAUCAUAUGAUGUAAUUGUUGAUGAUUUGAUUAUUACUUAAGCUUUGAUUAACGUAAUUAUUUUUUAUUAAUAACACAUCACAUAUAUAAUGUACAAAUUUAGUCUAAAGUUAAUCUACCCAACAUUACUCUUUUAAAAUUGGUUUCAUCAAACUUCGUAGCACAUCACAAAGACUAAAUCCAAUCUAAUGUGGUAGGAUAGACAAAUCAUCGAAAAACUGAUAAAUAUACUUGCUAGUGUUUGAAUUGUUAGUUUAUUAAUUAUUAUUUCGAUCUGGUUUGGUUGGCCGAAUAAUAUAUUAGGCCUCGUUAAGUCAGGAGUGAGGCCAUGAAUAAUUGGGUUCGUACUAAAGAGCCUACACGGUUCAUCAUGGAUGUGACCUUGAGGUCUUGUCUUCAAUACUAGAAAAAAACUCAGGACCAAGACACGAUCCGAUGGUGGCACGCUCCCGCACCCUAAAACUGAAGGGAAAGAGAUUAUUUCUAGAUUUCUUCCACCCAGUCUACCAAAUCCACUUAUUUGAAUUAUUGAAAUUUGAUCUAACAGUUAAAGUUAUUAUAACUUUUAAAGGGUCUUUCUGUUUGUAACCGUUGAAUCAAAUUUCAAUGGCUCGGAUAAGUGGACUUUGUGGACUUAGUGAAAGAGAUCCGGAGAGAAUCCCUUUUCCAAACUAAAGUCCUAAAACUAAAAGAAGGGCCAAAUUUGUUUCUUGUGAUCCUAAGCCGAAAGGAGACAUGUUAAAAUAUCUCACAUCGAUAUAAUGAAAGAGAAAAUAAGAGUUUAAAUAUUAUAAUUCUACUCCAACUAAUAUUGAGAUCUUUUGUGUUAAAAACCUCACACCUAUUAAACUGUGCAAGUGCUAAUUAACAAAUUGGAGACAAGAUCGAUAGUGUUGGAAGUAGAUCUUUAUCCGUUUUUUUAAUAAUUUGACAAAGCAAACAUACAUACGCUCCAUAUGUCGUAAUUUAGUACGAUAUGAAGCGUAAGAAAGAAAGAAAAAAAAAAAAGCAGCCAAAUAGUUUUGGUGAAAUGAAAUAUGAAAUAACCUCUACCGUGGGACUCAUACUCUAUUUUAUAUAGUCUAAUACUUUAGAUAUCUUUCAUCUUAUCAGUACAUUAUCCUAAAUUCCUAAUCCUGCUAAGAUUCCUAGUCAGACUAAACUUCCCUAACUAAGCUAGAUGGUUGUAGUAUUGUCUUCAAUCAAGCAUGCGUGAUGCGUGAUGAGUACAUAAUAAGGACUAGUAGGUUUGACGUGGUAAGAGAGACAAGGUGAAUUUAGUGACCACAAACUGAUUAAUACACAUACAAAUUUGUGAUUUCUCUAGGGCCCCGUUUAUCAUAUGCCGAAUUUGAUUGAUCCAGCUGCAUCACACUAAAAUUGAUUGGUCCAGCUGUAUCACACUAACUUUCGUUUGACAACAACGAUUGAUGACGUAUUUUAUAGGAGACGUGAGCAUGCCAAAUGUACAAAAAGUGUGGCAUGACCGUUGUCAUGCUUUUUGUAGAAUUUUUCAGAUCGACAGGCCAAAAGUCCAUUCCAAUAAUAUCGAUAUUGUUCCCACUUAACCGUUUGCACAAUCCUCAGGUGUGGGGUUUUAUCACAAAAUGUCUUGGUGUUAGUUAGAGUAGGGUAUUUCUAUUUAAAGUGCUUUCUUUCUUGGCUUUUAGUUCUACUCCAGCAACAGCACGCUUGCUUUGUGGCUAUUGCCUCAUUUUCUUGUACUGUUGUUGACCCUAAAAACUAUCAAACUUACGUGAUGUGCAUGCCGAGUAACUAAGAACUAACUAUGUCCUUCUUGUGGUUGAUGCGGGUGUGCCACCUUGCCGCCGAGAUGAAUUGGGCGAGUGCAAUAAGUGUGGUGGUGGUGUCAAUUGCGUAGCUGGCUUCUAGACCUAGGGUUUUGCUAACUUGAAGACAAUGUUGCUAAUCUCACAGUGAAGUUCAAUCAAGAUUCGGCUUUCGUUGUGCCAAAGGGGUAACCUAAGAACACAUCACUUCGUUGAAGCUGAUGAGAUGAUCUCUUGAGACAAAAGAAUAGAGAAUUCCUUGUCCGCCGAGACUUGAAUAGAUAACCAACAAGGAUAUGAGAGUUGUUUAAAGGUCUCUUCAGUCAGGCAUGUUCUACGCCUCCAAUGCUGUUUAACCAAACUGAAGGUGUCGCCGGUUGUUGAUACAGUGAUGUUUAACCAAACUAAAUAUUUGUCAACAGGGAGGGGUUAAUGAGUAAUUAGUAUUUUUUUUCAGGUUGUGGAGGGUAUCUCAUAAAAGCGUUGAUUUUUGUAUGAGCGACUACAGGCGAGGAAGGAAUGCCUCUAGACCUAGGGCUCUAGAACCUAAACACAAGGUUGCUUAAUUCACUGCGAAGUUGAGGAUAUUUUGCACCAGGUUCGGCAACUUCAACUAUAUCCUUGAAAAUAUAAGUAUGCCAAAUAGGUAUUAGGCUAUAAGGACAAAGAUACUCAAAUGAAAUGAGAUCUUUAUGGUGAAUGUUGUUCAGCAGUCUGAAUGUCGAACUUCCAAAUACACUUACAAGUAACUAAUCAUAGAACAUCUCACUUCGCUAGGGGAGCUAAUAAAGUGACCGCUUUCAGCGAAAGUAUCAAAGACUCAUCGUUGGCUGAGACUUGGAGGUAGCCAACUAAACCAGAAGUAGUACUGUUUAACCAAAUUGAAGGUACUCCUAGGCCGCCUAAUUCAAUGGCUCUAGUGACUUUUAGCCGAACUGAAUAUGUUUCCUAUUAGCCAACCCAAUGAUGUUUAAACGAAGUAAAUAUGUACUGACAGAGGGAUUAUGAUAAUUGGUAUUUUUCUGAAGAUUGUGAGAAGAGUUUCGGGAAGAACGAGGUUCUUUGCGUAACCCGUUUGAGCUGUUUGUUGAGUUGAAAGGGAAUUUUCACGUUGCAUAGCCUCUCAUAUUUAUAGGACGGCAAUGCUUCGGCUAACAGGUUCCGAAACCAAUUAGAACUGCAGCAUGCUCCUGGAGCUUUAUCCCAUUUUACUUGCUAACUAUCUGAUGCUUAAGUCCAGAUAACAUCUCAUGAGAAACAAUUCUCAUUUGGGGUCAUGUGCAUGAGGCCUACUUCCCUCCUAAGAUGGGACUCUAUCAUUAGUUACAUGGAAGAUAUCAUAUCCUUUGCCCCGACACGUUGCAUGCAUAUCCACAUAAGUUACAAAUAACAAACCUAUUUGAUGUGCUUCUCACCGUGCCCAUCUUAAUAGUCAUUUAUCUUCUUUGAAUUUGUAGAAUUGGAAAGCAAUCACACUGCUCAUAAACCUCAAAUGCAGCUCGUGCUGAAAGAGAGUCCAUAACUCCUGGAGCUUUAUUUCUCCCCCGAGUCCAUCGUCAGUGAAACCGUGGUACACAAAGGAAAGAGGAUGCUCUCCGGAUCCUCUUGAUGGGGAUCCUAAGGAUCUUCACAUCUUAACCGUUUAUCGUACGUUCAGUUUUCAUCAGGUACUAUUUGUGUUUGAUUGUAAAUAAAAAAAUUCAAAUAAUUUCUAGCUGCACGAUAUACGAUGAAUGACUAAGAUGUGAGGAUUCUUAAGAUUUCCACCAUUUGAAUCUAGAUGGAAUCCAAAUCUUACUAAAUGAUAGGAUGAGACAAAAUUGUAGCUGUGUUGGAGAAAGAGUGUCAACUUCGCUUUUGUUGCAUGCGGGACAAAUUGUGUAAUAUUGGGUCCAAACAAGUUUACUCUAAAAGACAGAGUGAAACUGUGAAUAGAAAGAGUGCCUCCUCAACCGGUUUACCAUCGGCCACAUGUGAUCAUUUGCAUGUCUUAUGAUGCUAAAAACAAACAAGAAUAAACAGAAAAACCCCAAAUUUUCAACAAGAUAGCGACGUAGCACUACAUGGUUUCCUCUUGGUAUAUAAGCCAAACUACAGAAAAAAUAAACGUCAUCCAUGAUGAUAUCUGAAAAAUCAGACUGCAACCAAAAUUUACAAUACAUCUUUUAGCUUGUCUUUUGCUUUGCAUAUCACGAAAAACAUAUAUACACCUCACAGCAAAUGAAAUUAUAGCACGUGUAUAUUCAUUCUGGAUAAUACGGAAGAGUUCAAGAGGCUACAUGAGGGAUUUAACUAAGUUGAGCAGCUAUGCACUCAAAAUUAGCUAAAGGGGAUGAAAGAAGGGGAAAACGGUUAGGAUUAUGAUAAGUAAAUAGUGCAGUUCUUUUCUAAUGUCAUAAAAAAAAUACAAAAAUAUUUACGACUAUAAUAAAUAAAUAGUUCGUUGAUCAUUUUCUAGCGUAAACGAUUGAUCCUGGAACAUCUCAAUAAUCAAAUCUAAAGCUGAAGAGGUAGAUGUUGUGAUUCUUCAUCAGUCCUAGCAAGGUUAUAAUGCGCCUAGAGGAAAAUCAUUUUUUAUUUUAAAUGAAUGUUUUUAUUAUCGAGCAAUCUAUCUCCUACCUCCAAAUUUGUCAUAUUUUUCCUUUAUUCUUUCUAACUUACCUUAAAAAUAAUAACUCAUGUAUUUCAAUUCAUUUCUCUCUGCCAAAUGAGCCUGUAGUUACUUGAGAAACGCUAAGAAAACUCUUUCAAAGUGAGACUAUUUAUGCACUAUCUGUCACUUCACUGUUUAACGUCAAUUCUCAUGUCAAUAUUAUAAAAUAUUAUUUUAAAACAUGAGGUAACAAAUAAUCUAAAAAAAUUACUUUUGAGAGAAUCUGUUUAGCAUUUCUUAUAGUAACUUAUUAAACCAUUAAGUAUCUUUGAGCUCAUUUCGGAACAAAUGUGAACCUUUAUUGUGAGGUCGACUACUGUCAGUUCAUUCCUAUACCUUGGUCCUUGGUCGACGCUCAAAUUAUUUUUUCCAAUUAAAUCCAAGUAUAAGUGACUCGAGCAGAGUUCCUGUGGUAUUUUCUCUCUUAAUUUUCCUCUUUCUUUUCUUUUUUCAACGAGGGCUUUGGUUUCUUCUGUGAGAUAGAGGUUGUUGAUAGAUAGAUGUCUCUUCCAUUUUUUUUGAGAGUAUUUGAUGCCAAUAAUUAUCCACUGAGGUUCUUUUUUGGAUAAAAUUUAUGGGGCCCCAAUUUAUCCAAUUUGAUUAUAGAUUGACAGAAACUAACAUUUGGGAUUUGUUGAAGGAUAAAUAUUUCAAUGUACCGAGAACACAAUUAUGUAUAUCUAUUGUUAUUACAAAAGUGGUUGGAGUUUCUUUUCGAAGAUCUAACUACAUGUUUUAUAACAUUUUGUGUAUGUAACUGUAUUUCUCUUAUAUUGAAAAAUCUAUCAUAUUAGUCUAGAGCCCGGAGCAUUAUCGGUAUGAAAAAAUGGACAAAGUACUACAAUAUUCUAGAGAAUUAGAACCAUAUCUUAUGGGUUUAAAUUUACAAUCGUGUUUUAAUUUUAAUUUUCUGUCAUUCAAUGGAGUAGUGGGCCUUCAAAUAAUAAUAGAGUUCUUGCUCAAAAAUGCAGAUUCAUUUAUUUUAGGGAGGCUUUAAAUUCGAUCUCCAGUCAUUAACACUCUUUAAUUAAAAUCUUUAUGGUAUAUAAUUUUUUUUUUUUUUUAUCAAAGUCCAUUGACUUUGUACACGUCGUUAUAUUACUAUUAGUAUGUAUAUUUCUAUAUGGGAUCAUGCUAGGGAAAUCAAAUUUUUAAACCAAAUUGCAAACCAAAUGAUGUGUCAUCUCGUUAUAUUCCCUAAACCAAUAAGAAACAAACACGUUAAUCGAUACUUAAUUAAUAAUUUAAUCAUAUACAACCACAUUGUGACAAACCGUCCCUAAUUUUACAAUUUUAUAAAUUUUAAAGGCAUGAUUUUACAAAAAUACCCUUAGAAGUGAGGGUGUUGACUUUCGUUGAUCAAUGUAUAGUGAGACAUACGACUUAUUCUUUCAGCGUAUUUUGCGUAGUACCUGUUGAUACGAACGCAUAGACACAAGCGGAAGUGAACUUGGAACUACGUUUAAAGUUUUACGGAGCUACAAAUCCGAAAAGUACGUUUCUAAGGAUUUCCAUUAUUUAUUAUUUUAUACUUUCAUAAGUAUUAUUAAAUUAGUUUAAGGUUAUCUUGUGGAAAAGAAAAAAGAAAAGAGAAGAAGAAGCUGCAUGAUGGUAGCGAGUAAAAUGAGAAAAAGAAAAAGGAGGAACAAAUCGAGGAGCUGCCCAAUCAGGAGAAAGGGAAGAAAGAGGGAGAGACCAAUCAGAAGAAGAAAGGAAGGGAAGGGAGAGAAGUGUGAUGUACAGGAUCGGAUUCCCGACCCAUUUUGGUUCGACCCAACUGGCAGUAGCACCAAGUGUCUAGAGCCAUUCAUGGCGUUUUUCGGUGGAUUGCAGACACCCACCAUCUAGAACCAACUCAUCAUCAUCUCCUCUUCCAUAUUCAGCCAUAAAUCAACACGAAUUGAUCACGUUCUUGUGAGAUAGCACUAGAGGGGUUCGCGAUGUACGGUGGCGAAAUCCACCAUUUCUGAAAUGAAUACCUUCUAUCUCCACCACUAUUAGACUCUCCUUAAGCCUUGGAACAAAGCCCAAUUGGUUGUAGGGGCGUCGGAACACCAUGGAAGGUGAAUCGAAGAACACCCAUUCUAGGGUUUCCGUCGGGUGCGAGCCAAAUUGGAGCCUUUCUCGGUCAAAUUGGGCUUGGCCACAGGCGAUGAUGGUUUGUGACGCCUCAAUAUUCGUGCUAGAGAAUUGUAGCGCGGACUUCAGGUGAGUGGGUCUUUUCUUUUUAUAAUAUAUAUAUAUAUAUAUAUAUAUAUAUAUAUAUAUAUAUGAUUGAUAGUUCCACAAAUGCUUUUAAAUUGAUUUAUGCAUUUUAUGUCAUGUCAUAUAUAUAUAUAUAUAUUUUAAAUACUAUGAUAUAGUUGAGUUUUAGAUUGCAUCAUGGCAUAUCUAUAUGCAUAUUACCUGCAUAUAAUUGUUGUCUUUGAAGUGCUAUGGUGAAUGCGGGACGCGUAGGUAAGUUCAGGUGAGUUUAGGGUGUUAUUUGAAAUGAUUGAGUUAUGGCAUGACUAUAUUUAUGUUUUAUGCAACUCCGACACUGUCGUACAGGUUGCAAUGAUGGGCAACUCCGGCACUGUCGUACAUGUUCCAAUGAUAGGCAACUCCGGCAUUGUCGCACAAGUUGCAAUGAUAGGUAACUCCGACACUGCGGCACUGUCGUACAUGUUGCAAUGAUAGGCAACUCCGGCACUGUCGCACAAGUUGCAAUGAUAUUGAUUUAUGAGUCGUAUAAGUUGCAUUAGGUAACUCUGACUCCUGUGUCAGCAUAGAUUGAUGAACACCUGAUUUUAUUAUGUUGCUGUUGAUAUGUAGUGAUUUGGAAUAUUUUUGGAUUUAUUGUUGUUUUGCAUUUGAUUUCAUACUAUAACGUAGUAUGACUUUCUGGAAACUAUAUGGGUUUUACAGCGAGGGGUUAUAAUGUUUUCAUAAGGUUUUUAUUAAAAUUUUAUUUUCAGGCCCACUCACCCUUGUUUUUUGCCCCUCCAGGUUUUAAUAGGUGAGCUUUCUUAUCGACGAGGAUUUGUGGCAAAUCUUGGUAUUGGAGAUUACCUUCAAUGGUAUGAUUCUCAAUCCACUCUACUGUACUUUACUUAUGCUCUGACGUCACGUGUGAAAUGAGUUCAUUCUCGCUCACAAUGCAUUCUUGUAUUUUGGCAGUUUUAGGUUUAAAUUUAUUCACAUUUUCCACAUCACUACACUUUAUGGCUUCGUCACCUUGUAGGUGUCGGCCAUUAUAGCUUGAUUCGGAGUCCUAGUGGACAUUUCGGGUCGGGGUGUGUCAACAUCAUUUGGUUUGCAAAUUUGAUUUAAAAAAUUUGGUCUCUCUAGAUUACCCUUCUAUAUGUUUGACAUUUUAUGAGAUUUAUGAUCCCAUAUUGUGUGUAUAAUAUGACAUACAAAUGUCAAAUUUAAAAUCCCUCUUUACAUUACUAUUAGAAAUGGCUACAAUAAAAAAUUUUCAAAAAAUUUGAUUGAAUAAAAAGUAACAACAUAACAAUACAAAAUAAUAAAUGGCAAAGGAAUGUAUUCAUAGCAUUAAAAAAUUGGUACAUUUUAAAUAUAAAAUUUUACAAAAAAAAAGGGUAUUUUUUACAUAACAAAGUGGUACAUUUAUAAAGAAGAAUGGGUACAUUAUAAAUAACUUAUGGGUGCAAAUAAAAGAUUAAAAAGUCAUGAGUACAAAUGAAAUUUUAAAAAAUAUGGGCUCAAAAAGAAAUUAAUAUAUGGGUACAAAUUAAAAUUAAAAAGAAAACUAGUACAAAUUAAAAAAAAAGGGCUGCAAAAUAAAAUAAAGUACAAAUUAAAAACAGAAAUAUAUGAUUUAAAUUUUAGUUAUAAAUUAAUAUAAUAUAUCAAAUGUAACGUCACCACCCGUCCCGAAUUAUUUUAUCGAUAACGUGGAAAUUCCUUUUAUACCCUUGAGCGUUGUGUGAUGUCGUGUGUUAUGAGUUUUAGAUGUGGACCAAAUAGGUUAAGUUCUAAUUGUUUGAACCCGAUUAGAACUAAGUUUUCAUUAUUUUUUAUUGGUGACAAGCUAGACCACACCCUCACACACACACAUAACUCACGUGUACCCUCUCUCUCCUCCCUCUCCUCCCUCUCUCGGAUUUUCUUACCAUUUUACAACUUAUAUGGAUAACCCUCAAAACCCUUUCAAACUUCACAGAUCGAGGUUGUGAUUGGUGUUUUUGGACUCCUUGCAAGCUCAGGAGUCGAAUGGUGGUGGUGGUUGGACGUGAAAACCUUGAAAACCCGAGAACCCAGAAUCUCAGAUUUUGAGCACUGUUCAUGCAGUCAUCAUCGUGGCCUUUUCUUCUAGUUUUAAGGUUCUAGAAAGCUUUAGGACAUCUUCACGAAGCUCAGGGAAGAAAGUUUGAGUGUUUUGGACGUCGAGAAGCUUAGUUUGAUGAGUUUCAAAUUUUGGCUGGAUUAUCGAGGUUUCUCCGACAAGGUUCCGUGGGAUUUAGGGCUUAAAAUUGGUAAGGUUUUGUUCUACUCGUUGUAAGCUUCAUUUUGGUACAAAUUUCAUGAAUUUUGGUUGAGAAAUGGAGAAGAUAUUGAAGUUCUAAGAUUUUUCUAGUUUCUGGCGAUUGCAGCAGUACCGGCGUCGGACUCCAGUGAACCAAGGAAAAAGGAGGAGAAUAUUCCGUCAAAGUUGACGAAAUAUUCUAACGCCGUCAGGUAAUUCUAACGGUAUAUGUUGUUUUUAACGGAAUAUUCCUAAUGCCAUCAGGGAAUCCGUUUGGUGUGACAGGCACGUGCUUGCGCGUGAGCCGCGCGUCUGGUCCUGCCUUGGCCGGCGCAUGAGGGCGCGUGGGUGUUCAGAAAUUUUUUCUAAAAAUAUGGGGAUGUUCUUGAGGUUGAGUAGGUUAUGGUGGUAUAUUCAAAUACCCCAUUUGAGCAAUGUAUGAGAAGUUAUUUCCUAGUUUUGUGUAUGUGCUUUAAAUAAUGUUUAUUUAGUUAUUUUGCAUAUAGGUGAGACCUAUCCGGAGGACGAGCGCCAUCAAUCGAGGCUCGGGGGCUACGACCCUUUGACAUAUCAGUGAGUGGGCUUUUGGUUUUCAGUAUAUACCUAUAUACUUGAGAUUUUUCCUAGAAAAUGAAUUUGAAUGAUUAUACGUUUUGAAAUGCCAUGCAAAGUAUCUGCCUAUUUUAUUUAUGCAUUAGUAGUUGCAUAUAUUUAUGAUUGGUGCUGCGGACGCACAGGUAAGUGCCAGGUAAGUUCAUAAAUUAAAGAUAAGAGAUUACUUCAGUUAUGCGAGAUAUGAUGUGAUGUAUUGAGAGCUCAUAAACUUGCACCCCGGUGUUAGUGCUCCCGCCCAUAGUUAGGGCACAAUCCUUCAUGUGAUUGUUCACCUCCCACACCAUAUGCUCACCUUGGAUCCAAGUUAGGUGCACAGGCUUGUCGUACAGACCACUUUAGGUGGUUCCGACUGGUAGGUGACCCGCGAUCAUUCACACAGUCUUCACGUGAUCGUAGCACUAAAGCAUAUUUAUUUUACACCUAGUCCUGUCGUACAGACCACUUUAGGUGGUUCCAACUCUUGUGCAUAAUUUGAUAUGGUUGAGAUUGGUUAUGAGAUAUAGACUCAGCCGUGCAAAUUAAUUGAGGGCAAUUCGGCUGAUAUGAUAUCUGACAUUGAUAUAUUUUAACUGGAUUACUUAUAGCAUUUCAUUGAGAUACUUUGGCAUGGUAUAUUUCUAUGGAUUUUUAUCCUGAGCAUAAUUUCUGAUAUAGCAUAUAUUAUAUUUCUGGGAAAUUAUACAGGUUUUACGGCAAGGGAUUAGAACUUUUGAGAAAUGAAAUGAUUUUGAAAAGCUUUGUUUUUGCCCACUCACACUUUCUGUUUUGCGCCCCUCUAGGUUUUAGGUAGAAGUGCUUUGGUGGCUCACGGGGAUUUCGGCGGUGGUUCUGACAGAACAUCACAAAUGUAGGAUUACCUUUGGGUGUUAUAUAUCUAGUACUUGUCCAGUGGGAUUGCACUUAGGCUAUUUACGCUCUGAUGAUGUAUUUCACACUUAAUCUCGCACUUGUACCUUAUCUUAAUUAGUACUCUAGUUGAUUUGAUUUUUGUUAAUUCGUAUUUCCUUAUAUCUUUAUUGCUUCCGUACUGUGCACAUGGCUACGUCAUCUUCAUGUGACGACCAUCAUACCUCGAUUCAUGUCAGGGUGUGUCAUAACGUUUCUAACACCAAAUGAAUAUAUUUUAGAAAUAAAAUUUAAUUAUGCUACUAUGUAUAUUUUAUUAUUGAAAUGAUGACGGUCAUUAAAACCUAAGAACCUUGAUAAAAAUUAAAUUGCAAAAAGAAAAAAAGGUUUUAUUCUCAAAAAAAUCAAUGAAAUAGAAAAAAGAGGGAUGGAAACCUAAUUUCUCCAUCAACUUACUUCAAGAUAAUAAAAUUGAAAACUGUGUUAACUAUGUUGGCAUGUGAUUUAGACUACUAAGAAUCAAAAUCAUGUGUUUUAAAAGGGAAAUGUUUUUGCACUCUAGAAAUCUUAUUCUAAACUCAUCAUAAAUGCAUUUUGCUUUCUAAUUAUAGACGAUUUGGAGUGUAAUAUGAGAUUUUUGAAGUGCCAAUAACAAUUCCCUUUUAAAAUUCUUUAAAUAGAAAUCACAAACUUGGUGUCAACUUCACCAAUGGACAGAAUACUUCAUUAAACAAAUCCAAAUAGACACAGUACAACUUGCAACUAGCCUUUAGAAAGGAUUGUCAUACAUAAAAGGAUGCCACUUUUGUAAACAAAGCAUGAGUAAUAGUUCUUCUCUGCAACAUUUACAAAACAGUAAAUAAAGGAAAUACGUAAAAAGGUUUCAACUCAAAAAGAAAAAUCCUCCUUAUAGGUCCAAGAGUGGCUAGUAGAGAAAACCUAGAGACCUAAUUGAGGGAUGAGAUGUUGUUGAUGCCCUAGAGACGACCAACCACCCACACCACCAAUUUCGCACCAUAAAAUAGACCUCUAGAUAGUAUCAUAUACAGACUUUCAAAAGCCCCAAAUAAUAAAAAAGCUAAACCACAAACAUACAACAUUAUAGCACCCAUCACAAAACUCAGAUUUAUCACCAAUUAACCUACUGUUCGAUUGGAGCAAAUUUGUAAGAAUUAGAACUUAAGUGCAGAUGGGAUAGCACAUUACGAUCUAAUUCUUAUUUGCAAUAACAAUGGAGACAACAACACAUUUUAAAAGUAAAAUGAAAAAGUAAUUUUUUUUUGUCGAAAAGAUAGAAAUUUAUUAAAGCCAAACGAUAAGGUUUACAUCAACUGCAAGAAUAUUAAAUAAAUAAUCCGAGCCAAUCUUAUCCCAAAGGAACUUGCCACCAUAAUUGGUAGCAAACGAAGCCACCUCAUGGGCAGCAAAGUUACUAUCCCGCGGAACAAAUCCAAACUUUACAAAAGUCGACCAGUUGUGUUUACGUAGCCGUCUAAAUUCUACAUCUAUGUAAACUACUACCAAACCAAGAAACAUAAAAAAGGACAGCCAUUUGUUUAAGACAACAUCAAUCUAUCUGAUCCACUGUUCUAAAAAUCCCUGCCUAGGCGCUAGGUGGCCGGCCACCGCCCCAAUUAAUGCUUAGGCAUUUGAAAAUUAAGAAAGGGCACCUAGACCUACUAAGGAGCCUGUCUAGACCGCCUAGCCCGCCCAGACCUGCCUAGGUUGCGACUCACUUACAGAAAAUAGAUAACUUUCACUUUGCAUUUUAUAUUUUCAAUAAAUUGUAAGAGACUUGUUGAAUACUUAAAUGAACACACAUUAUAUGCUUAUUCCCACUUUUCAUUAUGUUCCAACCGCUCAUAAUAGAUAUGUCAUUCUAUUUUGUUGUUUAUGAUGACAUCAUAUAUAUUUUAAGCAUAAACAUACACUUACUUACACGAAAUAUAAUAGAUUUAAUCGAAUCCGUCUAGGCGCCUGCCUAGACACCUAGCCGCGUAGUUGCCAGGCCCCAGGUCCUAGGCCGCCACCCGACUAGUGCCUAGCAUCUUUUAAAACCUUGAUCUGAUCCAAGAAAGCCUUGAGAUUCUUGUCCGAAGAGUCCCCUUCACUCACAGCCUCUCUUGCCAAAUCUUUCCAUUUCUUAGCAUUCCUUCUCACGUCUUCACCAAUCUCCCCACUUCCCAAUACCAAAUCCAAGCACCUCUUGAGCUCCUCACCCGUAACUAUCCCCUCCUCAUUUGGUGUCACCCUCACUCCUGUCUUCCAAUAGUCCUCUAUCAACUUGGCAUUCGUCCCUUGGUCCGUCCACUGAGGAAACGCCACCACGGGCACCCCUGAAACCAAGCUCUCCAAACUUGAAUUCCACCCACAAUGUGUCACAAAGCAACCCAACGAAGGACUAGAGAGAACCUCCACUUGACUACACCACGGCACUAUCAUCCCGAGCUCUUCCAAUUCCUCUCUGCACCUCAACAUCUCUUCUUCUUUCUUCGCCUCGUUAUCGUCUCCCUUCUUGUCGACCUUAUCUCUAAUAACCCACAAGAACGGAAGGCCGCAAUCCAACAACCCUUUUGCGAUUUCCUCCAUUUGGGCCUUUCCCAACACAGAAAUGCUUCCGAAGGACACAUAAAUCACCGACCCUUCUGGCUUCGAGUUCAGCCACUCGAGGUAUGAAGAGUCCUUUGAUUUUUGGAAAAGAUCGCCUCCAAAUGACUUGUCCGAUGGAUCCUUGCCGUCCAAGAAAGCGGACGGAAUCAAUGGCCCAACUCCAAUCAAGUUGUACUUGUCAAUUGCUUUUAAGGCUUCCGGCUCUAGUGCAUCGAACGUGUUGACUAGAAUGGUCGGAUUGGUUUCUCUUUCCAACAGCUCCAUCUGUUCUUGAAACAACGGGAGGGCGAAAUUGUACGGAUUUGUAUCCACCAUGAAGGAGGGAAGGUCUCGGCUUGUGAAAGAUAAUGGCAAACCUGGUAAUUCUAUUGAACAUGGAAGGACAUUGUUCGUACCAGAACUAGUAUUAUCCCGGAUGAGAUCUUUGUACCCGUUAAAGUAAUAGUAGUAGAUGUCGAAAACCGUGGCUGGCUGAAUCCAAAGCAGCACGCUUGGGAGGUGAAGUUCAUGUGCCAUCCCUGCCGACCAAGGGAGAAGUAAUGAGUAGACUAGGCAAGUGUAAGGGUGACCCUCGUUUGCACUUGCGACUACAAGGUCGGUAAUGGCUUGUACUCCGCGGCGCCGCAGCUCUGACAUGUAGUCGUCGAUGUUGUCGCCGGGCUUAAACCCAUCGUCGUACCCAUCAGAGAAGGGCGCAUAGGUCAAUCCAUCUGGAAUUGAGCCAUUGCCUAUACGGCGAUGGGCUGACAGACUAGUAACGUAGGUGACAUGCGCACCUGUAGUGUUGAUAAGGCGCUUGGCGAAUUGGAGGGAAGGGUUGAUGUGGCCUUGAGCUGGAAAUGUGACGAGUAGAAAGCGGUGUUGCACCAUGGCGGCGUAUGCGAUUGCCGGAGGUGCGCGGUGGAGUGUGGAGUUGUUGGAAGUAGAAUAAGUAGGUAUGUAGUUGAUUGUUGAAAAAUUUGGUACUGUGGGCUUAUAAGCUGAGUGCAGUUGAAAUUCUUGUGGGAGUAUACAUUCAAGGUGGGGAGUGCGGUGAGAGGAUGGCAAGGCUUAAAUGGGGGAUUGGGGGUAGAAAUGUGACGUUUGUGGUGAAAAAUUGAAGACGCUGGAGACAAAUUUGCCAAGAUGAGAAGGAUACUUGUGAUUGUCAAUCCAUGCAUAAUAUAUGGAUAAUGUUAGGGAAACCAUCUAUUUAAAUCAUAUGACGUACUUGUUGAGGAUUGAAUUAUUAUUUAAGUGUUGAUUAACGUGUUUAUUUUCUAUUAGUGACACAUCACUUGAUUUUUAUUUUUUUUUGUUUAUCGUUAGGUAGGAUUUUGAUCAUGAAAAUAAAAGGACAUAGUCAUCUAUUUAGGAUUGUCCAAAGGUUUAUUAAAUUCAAUAUUUGAAACCUGUUCAAGAGGUUUAAUAUUGUCCAAAACCUAGAAGAUAAAUAACUACUGAAUAGGCUUAAAUCUUGAUAGAGUAGAGGGAAAAGAAGAAUGAGGAGGCAAGUACUACGCAAAAUAAAAUCUUCAUCUUGAGAACAAAUAUGUAAAACGAUCGUGCAAAUUUUUAAGAUGCAGACUUCAAGGGCACGUAUUGAUUUGAUAGGUUCAUGACGAAGAAUACAUGAAGGCAUGCACCUGGAUGUGGAGGGUAAUGGACAUUGCUGCGUGUUGGGUAGCUAUAUGAUUGAUUUCGUAGCUAGAGAGAGGAGGAAAAGAAUGUAGAGGUCUCUUGUGGCAGGCAUAAAAGAAGACAACUUAGAAGCAUUGUUCUAAAAAGCGACAUAGGUAGGUACUACGCGGAGGCUGGGUGCCCCGAUUAGGGCUUGUGCGUUUAAAAAAUCAAUGAAGCCUCUAGGCGGUAAUUGGGCGGCUGCUUAGGCGGCCCUGAGCCUACGCAGUCUAAUUUAUUUAUUUAAUUUUUUUUUAAGUUAACGGUUUGAAGAUAAUGUUCUUGUAAAUAACUCUAAAUAUAUAUUUCAUUUUGUGUAUUCAACCAGUUGUAGUCAUUUAUAUGUUUUUAUUGCUAUAAUAAAUUUAAUUAAAAUAAAAAAAAAUAUGUCUAGACCUAGACCUGACAUUCAUGUCGUGUUUUCCGUAUUCGUGUCGUUUUUGUGCCAUACUCGAUAUCUUAACGGGUCGUGUCGUGUAACACCCGUUAAAAUAAACGGGUAAAAUGAUCCGACCCGAAAUCGAUCCGAUAAUAUUAACAGGUAAUAUGACCCGACCUGUUACCCGUUAAGGAAAAUAUAUUUUAAACCAAUAAAUAAUCAAAUGAAAAAACAUAAUACUAAAUAAGUAUAUACAUACCAUAUUGUUACAUCCAAAACAUAAAAACGUAAUUUUCUUUUAAGUAUAUUUUCAAUAACCUAAAGUCUUUAAUAGUUUUUUAAUUAAUGUAGAAGUGUAAAAAAUAUAGAAAAAAAUAUAUAAACGCUCGUAAUAACAAGCUUUACAACUUUCAUGAAGAGCUUAACUUCGAAAUUUGCUACUAUAAUCAUAUAAAUCAUAGAUCAAAAUUUAACCGUUGAUUAUUGUUUACAUUUAUGCUUCAUUGUUCUCAUCAAAUUUUAUUUUUUCAGUUUUUCUUUUUUGAAAACUUGAUCUAUUAGAGGAUGCAGGAAGAUGAACGAUUUGGAUCGUAGAUAUUAUAUUCAGAGUUUUACGUUUAGUGAAAAUAUUGCUUGAUGUUUAUAAAGUUUCUACAAACUAUAUGACAUCAACUCAUAUUUCAGUUGAUUGUAAAUAUCGAAAUGUGAUAUCAAAGAUCUGAACCGUUUAUCUUCUUACAUCCGCCAGAUGAUUAUGUUUCAAAAAAGAAAAUUUUAAAAAUGAAAUUCAAUAAGAAGAAUAAAGCGUAAAUGGCAAUCGACGGUUAAAUAUAAAUUUAAGAUUUAUGAAUUAUAGUGUUGGAUUUCGAAGUUGACCCCUUCAUGAAAGUUGUAAAGUUUGUCACUAUGAGUGAUUGUAUAUUUUUUUUUUUACAUUUUUUUACACUUCUACAAUAAUUAUUAUUAAUUUUAUUAAUUUUGUCCUCAAAUAAAAAACAUUAUUUAUGAAGGUUUGGAGGAUUUUAAAAAUCUAAACGAUAAUGUAAGUGUAACCAUUAUCUACUCGUGGAAGAAUAAUGAUGAAUCAUGAGUGUUUAUAUAUUCUUUCACAUUUUUCAUACUUGUAUGUAUGUCUUCUUAGUUCUUGCCUAUACAAAUACUAUAUUAGUUUAUUUUAAUUUUGGACAACAACAUGUUAAGUAAAAUUUAUCCUAGUAAUGAUAAUAACGAACUCUCAUAAUAAAAAUAAAUAAUGACUAAAACUUUUUUUUUUUAAACUUAUAUAGAAUAAUAAUACAAAACUAUAUAUUUAAUAUAGAAUAUAUUGUAUAUAUUAAUAUGGCUAUUGUAUUUUAUAAUAAAUCUUUUAGUAAUUAAACUUUAAAUUAUCAAAAUAAAUUUUUUCUUAAUGGAUCGAAAUGACCACGUGUUAUCCGCAUGUAUACCCAUUAAGAACCCGUUAUUAAUGGGUUCUUAACGGGUCAUUCGAUAAUGACCCAAUAAGUUAUCGUGUUGACCCGAAACCCGUUAUUUUCGUGUCGUUUUCAUAUCGUGUCAGAAACUGCUGGGUCUAACUAGACCUUGCGACCCCGCCUAGGCCAAUCCCAUUAUUGGUGACUAUUUAGCUCUUCCAGCAUCUACCUGAUAAUAGUAUAAAAUGAAUACUCAGAUAGGGUGCCAUGUGUCAAUGGAUUAGUAGGGUUGGUAUAAGGUAGUUAAAGGUUGUUGAGAUUGUAGUGAUUUAGUGUGCAAGCAAGCUUUGUUAGUUAGAAGAAGAAUAUAUAACAGUUUGUAAGAAUUGUAUUACUCAUUAGAAAAUAUACAAGAAUUCAUUUUCCCUCUAUUUCUCUCUAUUAUCUCUCUCUCUCUCUAAAAACCUUCAUUGUUUUUCUGCAUUACUGCAACAUAAUCUGUUGCUUUACAUGGUAUCAUUCGCCUGUCAAUUUGAUCUUGGAUUUUGUGCUUUUGCCGCUCAAGAUCUUCUCCUUCUUUACUUCUGGAUCUCAUAAUUCUAAAAGUUUCUGAUUUUCUCUCCAUCUUGGUCAUGCACUCUAGGUAUUUGAUCAUAUCUCAUUCAUAAUUCUUCAAAGAAAAGCUACAAUGGUGAUUGCCAAUCAACUACAAUUCGUGCAAUCACCUAUCAUAUCUCUUAUCUCUAUCGUUUCUACGUCUGUUAAUGUCAAGCUCGAUGACUCCAACUAUCUUACUUAGAAUUUUCAGAUCCAGUUGCUACUCGAAAGCCAUGGAAUUAUGGGGUUCUUAGAUGAGUCUAAUCCUUGUCCUGAAAGAUUUGUUUCAUCUGGUUCAGGGGAAUCUAAAGUCGAUUAUAGGGAUUCAUCAUUAAGAAUUGAAACUGAUGCAUACAAGAUUUGGAAAAUGCAUGAUCGUGCCUUGAUGCAACUCAUUACUAUUACAUUAUCUUCAUCAGUUGUGUCUUGUGCUAUUGGAAGCACAAGUGCUCAAGAUUUAUGGAUUCGGCUCAAAGAACAGUUCUCUAUUGUCAAUCGUGCAACUAUAUUCCAAAUGAAAUAUGAGUUGCAAAAUAUCAAGAAAGGCACUGAUUCAAUAUCUCAGUAUUUGCAGAGAAUCAAUGAAGCUUGAGAUUAUUUGGCAGCUGCAGGAGUAUACUUCGAAGAUGAUGAUAUUGCCAUAUUAGCACUUAAUGGCUUACCAGGGGAGUACAAUACUAAAAGAUCUAUCAUUAGAAGUAGAGAAAGUGUUAUCUCUAUCAAAGACUUGAGAUCCCAGUUGCUUGAUGAAGAAGGAAUGGUUGAAAAUACUAUUGUUACUCCAUUUCUCUCUGCAAUGGUUGCCCAGAAUUCUGAGUCCAGUUCCAAGAACUCAUCUAUCUCAUCCUAAGAGUAUUCUGGUAAUCACAAUCAAGGAUUUUCUGGCAAUUCAAGUUAAGGGUAUUCAAGUAAUCAAUCUCAUGGCUUUUCUGGUGGGGGCAAUCAGGCUACCUACUUUGAGAAUAACUAUAACAAGAACAAGGGCAGAGGUAAAUUCAACUAAUUCAACUAUAAUUCUAAUUUUUGCAUACUUCUGUUUUUGGCGUUCUUGGUGCACCUCCAACUUGCCAAAUCCGUGGGAAAUUUGGACAUUUUGCUGAUACAUGUGGAUUUAGAAAUACUAAUAAUGCAUUACUUGAAGGGUGUCAAAUAUAUGGCAAGAAGAACCAUACUGCUCAAUUCUGUUACUUCAUAAAUGCAAAUAUAUCUGGAAAUACUCCUUAGAUGACUGCAAUGCAUGUGGCUUCCUCACAACCUACUCCAAAUUAUAAUGCUUCUUCUUAGCAAUUCUGGCUUACAGACUCAAAAGCAACAAAUCAUUUAACUACUGACUUGCAGAAUCUAUCCUUGUCUACUCUAUUCUCAUCCACAAAGACAAUUCAAACUGCAAAUGGUGCAGGUUUACCAAUAUCACAUAUUGGAUAUUCUCUCAUUCAUACACCUAUGCAACUUUAGAAGCUUAAUUCAGUCCUAUAUGUUCUAAGAAUUACUCAGAAUUUGUUAUCUAUGCAUAGGAUUUGUCUAGAUAAUAAUUGCUGGCUAAUCUUUGAUGCUUUUAAUUUCUAGAUUCAGGACAAACCCACAAAGAGGAUUCUGUACAAGGGGCAAUGCAGUAAUAGGUUAUAUCCAAUACCAAUAUCAAGACAUGUUGCAGUUCAUCAUCAAGCAUUCAAAGCUGCAUUACUUGGAUAACAAGUUAAUUCCAGUUUCUGGCAUAGUAGGCUAGGUCACCUAUCUAAUUCCAUUGCCUUAACUAUACUUAGAAAGUCUAAUAUUUCAGUACCUUUUGAUGUAUCACCUUCACUAUGUCAUUCAUUUUUACAAGGAAAAUUUAGCAAAUUGCCUUUCUCUCCAUAUGUCUCUAAGUCUGUAAUUCCAUUUGAAGUUGUUCAUAGUGAUGUAUUGGGUCUUGCUCCCUGUAAUUCCAUUGAUGGAUAUAGAUACUACGUGACAAUCAUUGAUGAAUGCACUAGAAAUUGUUGGUUAUUCCCUUUGCAUAAUAAAAGUGAAGUGUGUUUUGUAUUCAUUGGUAUAUAUCAGUUCAUUUUCAAUCACUUUGCAGUUUCAAUUAAAACUUUACAAAGUGAUGAAGGGGAAUAUACAAGUAAAGUUUUUCAAUCUUUCUUGUUAGACAAGGGAAUCACUCAUCAAAUAUCAUGUCCUCAUACCCCUAGAACAAAAUGGGUUGGCAAAAAGAAAGCAUAGACACAUUGUUGAAACCUCAAUCCCACUGUUACAAUCUACAUCUUUACCUGCCAUUUUCUGGUCUUUUGCCUGUCAAACUGCAAUAUACCUGGAUGCCAUCAUCAACUUUACACAAUCAAUCACCAUUUGAGGUCUUAUUUUAGUAUGUUCCAGAAGUCCAACAUCUCAGGAUAUUUGGUUGUGCAUGCUUUCCAUUAUUGAAGCCUUAUACCAGUAACAAGUUACAACCAAAAACCAAAAAAUGCAUUUUUCUGGGAUAUGCAUCUAAAUACAAGGGACACAUAUGCUUUGAAAUUAGUUCAAAGAGGGUUUACAUUUCUAGACAUGUCAUAUUUGAUGAGUGUGAUUUUCCAUAUCUUUCACUUUCACAAAAAACAUAUGUACUUCCAACCAGUUCCUUUUCUAAAGCUUCUUUAAAACCAGUGUAUGUCACAAGUGAAUACAAUGUUGUUGUAGCAUUACCAAAUCUAUCUAUGUUUAUUCCUAGCCUUACACCUAGACCUGCUAGUGCCAGUGAUCAAUCUUAAACACCAUCUAAUGUCAGUGGCUUAUUUGAGACACCAUUUGGUAAUGCCACAACAACAAAAGACACAAGACAAGCCAUUACUAGCACUUUACUUCAGUUUAUCUCCUCUACAAUCCCUAUGGCUCCUGAAUUCAACCAGAAAACUUACAAGUUGUUCUGCCUAUACCUCUAUUAAACUUGCAUCCUAUGCAAACAAGGUCAAAGAAUGGAAUUAUAAAGAAGAAAGCUUUUCUAGCCAUGACAUCUAAUAAUGCAUAAGUUGAUUUAUCCCAGAUUGAACCAGUUUCAUAUAAGUCUUCUCUUAAAUCUCCAGUGUGGUUUACGGCUACGGAAGAGGAAGUACAAGCAUUAUACUCUCAGAACAUUUGGUCUUUGGUCACCUUACCAUCAAACAAAAACCUUGUAGGGUGUAAGUGGAUCUUUAAGAUUAAAAGACAUGCAGAUGGAACCAUUUCAAGGUACAAGGCUAGAUUUGUGGAUAAAUGAUUCAAUCAAAAGGCAGGUAUAUAGACUAUGGUGAAACAUUCGAUCUUGUGGUUAAGCUUACUACAGUAAGGCUUGUUCUUGCAUUGGCUACACAUUUUGGUUGGUCUAUGAGACAGCUCGAUGUAAAAAAUGCAUUUCUGCAUGGAAUCUUACAAGAAUAAGUUUAUAUGACACAACCUCUUGGCUUUGUGGAUUCUCUACACUCUACCUCAAUUUGCAAACUUCACAAGUCCUUAUAUGAUUUAAAACAGGCUCUAAGGGCAUGAAAUGAGAGAUUUACUAAUUUCUUACAUUCUCUAGGUUUCCAAACCACUUAUGCAGACACAUCACUGUUUGUCAAACAUGUUGGUUCUGAGGUGAUGAUUCUCUUACUUUAUGUUGAUAAUAUAAUCAUCACAAGGAGUGCAAAUGAUGCCAUAAGAGAAAUCAUUUCUGCAUUAGCAACAAAAUUGAUAUCAAGGAUCUAGGACCUCUACACUACUUUCUUGGCAUUCAAAUUACACAUAAUAAAGAAGGAUUUUUCUGUCUCAACAUAAAUAUGUUAAUGAUUUGUUAACAAAAACAGAAAUGCAUCAAGCAAAGCUCUGUGCUACCCCUUGCUUACCUUAUAACAGACUUCUUAAAGAUGAUUGAGUACCUUUUAACAACCCUGAGUUAUACAGAAGCAUAAUGGGAACUUUGCAGUAUCUCACCUUUACAAGACCUGAUAUUGCAUUCUCUAUGCACCAGGCCUAUCAAUUCAUGCACUGUCCUACGGAAUCACAUUAUUUGGCUAUGAAAAGGAUACUUAGAUACCUCAAAGGUACAUAGAAUUAUGGCAUUCAAUAUGUUAAAGGAGGAUUGGAGUUAAAUGCAUUCAGUGAUGCUGACUGGGCUGGGAUCCCAAUGAUAGAAGAUCCACAACUGGAUUGAAUGUUUUCUUAAGAUACAAUCCAAUAUCUUGGUCUUCAAAGAAACAAAACACAAUGUCUCGUUCAUCCACUGAAGCUGAGUAUAAAGCAAUUGCUACAACAGCUGGUAAGAUUUAUUGGAUAAGACAGUUACUUGCCUUUUUACAAAUCUCAAUCCCAACUCCAUCUACAAUGUUCUGUGACAGUCUUUCAGUUAUUGCCCUUACCUACAAUCCAAUGAUGCAUCAAAGAACAAAGCACAUAGAGAUUGAUGUGCAUUUUGUGCGAGAAAGAGUUGCCAAACAACUAAUUCAAAUGCAUUUUGUAUCUUCCAAUGAAUAAUUUGCUGAUAUUCUGAUUAAAGCAUUAUCCGCACCAUUGUUUCAUACUCAUUGCUACAAUCUCAGGCUCCGUGGUUCCUCUCCUGAGCUUGAGGGAGGAUGAUAAUAGUAUAAGAUGAAUGGUCAGAUAGGGUGCCAUGUGUCAAUGGAUUAGUAUGGUUGGUAUAAGGUAGUUAAAGGUUGUUGAGAUUGUAGUGACUCAGUGUGCAAGAAAGCUUUGUUACUUAGAAGAAUAUAUAACAGUUUGUAAGAAUUGUAUUACUAAUAAGAAAAUAUACAAGAAUUCAUUUUCCCUCUCUCUCUCUCUCUCUCUCUCUAAAAACCUCCAUUAUUGUUCUGCAUUACUGCAACAUAAUAUGUUGGUCUAAACUACCUUGUAUUUUACAUAUUGUUGGCAAUUCUAAACAAAAAGCUUGAGUAUGUAAUGUCUUAGAUUAGUAUAUGUUUUCCGUUGUAAGUAUAUUAAUUUAAAUUUGUCUCUCGUGCUCUCAAUCACAAGAAUGUCAAGCAUUUCCAAGACAUCCACUCAAGUAAGUGUGUCAUGCAUAUGCAUUUACAUAGUAUAGGCUGUUUAGUUUUGGUGUUAACAAUUAAGUUUUGGGCUUGCAUGCAUGUUAAUUAGAAUGACAUGAUUUUAGAUCGGCAGAGAAUCCUAGUUGUGCUGCUUGUCUUAGCAUGUGUUUAUAUGCUGAUAACCCGUAUGUCCUUAUCCCAUUCAGUUUUUUAUCUGGCCAGGAUGAUAGGUCCUCAUCCUACUAAUUAGGUCCGCGUUUUUGUUAUGCCUCGCAUGCAUAUCUGGUUUGGUUGAAAAACCUUAUCUUGGUUAAUAACGUGUGAUUAGGUUUUGGUUGAAAACCUUUUUGUUCUAAGUCAGCACGUUUUUUAUGAAUGUGAAAUAUAUUGCAGAAAUAUAUCAAUUAUUUAUAUGAUCAAAUAUAUCAAAUCAAAUGUAUAAUCACUGUCAAACUUAUGAACUUUAAAUUAGGAAAAAAUGAAUAAGAAUAUCUGGCAUGUGAACCAAAAAGAGGCGCGAUGUCGCUGCCCUAAAGCCGUAUAUGCCUCCCUACAUGUAGGUUAUGGCGGUGCCUACAACUCCAAGAUACAACCCAAAGCCUCACAUGCACGCCAACGGCAGAAGGGAUUGUCAAGUAGUGAUCAAUUGACCAAGAAUUAUGAAGUAGGAAUGAAAAUUGAGAUGUGAAAACUGAGAGAGACAGAAAAGUUUUAGUGUAUUUUGUUUUGUGUCUGAGGUUUCAUAUUUAAAGAACUUCUCAUACCCUUUUAGAAAAGGAUUAUGACUCUUCAAAUAAAACACAACUCUUAAAUAUUAAAAAUAAAUAAAAUAAUAAUAAUAAGUUUUGAAUCUUUAAAAUAAAAUAUUAUUAAAAUAAUUAAAAUAACCAACAAUGAUUUGAUUGGAUGCCUAUAUAUAGGCAUUAGAUUAGGCUUUUAGGCCUCGUUUGGCACGCCGUAUAAGACCACCGGUGUAACAUCCCACAUUGACUAACGGAGAAGGGAUGAUGUGCCUUAUAUGUACAUGCCCACCUCCUAUAGCAUGAGGCUUUUUGGGGCCUCACUGACUUCAGAUUCUAUUGGAACUCAGUAGUUAAGCGAGUUUGGGCAAGAGCAAUCCUAGAAUGGGUGACCCCUAGGAAGUUCUUGCGUGAGUUCCCAGAAACAAAACUGUGAGGGCAUGGCUGGGGUCCAAAACGGACAAUAUCAUGCUUCGACGAAGUCGAGACUGGGAUGUGACAAAAUGGUAUCAGAGCCACUCUACCAUUCGGCGCAAGUGUGCCGACAAGAACGUCGGGCCCCUAAGGGGGGUGGAUUGUAACAUCCCACAUCGACCAACGGAGAGGGGGUGAUGUGCCUUAUAUGUACAUGCCCACCUCCUAUAGCAGGAGGCCUUUUGGGGACUCACUUGCUUUAGAUUCCAUUGGAACUUUGAAGUUAAGCGAGUUCGGGCGAGAGCUUCUCGAGUAGUUCGGGUGAGAGCUUCUCGCGUGAGUUCCCAGAAACAAAACCAUGAGGGCAUGACCAAACAAUAUCGUGCUACGGCGGAAUCGAGACUGGAAUGUGAUAACCAAAUAGUAUUAAUAGUACGAAACAUGUGUUUUGUGAGCUUCAUAUUAAAUAAGCACCGGAUUUUUUAAUCCAGGCCCACUUAUUUUAUACACCUCCAACCCGCUUGUUUAUCCCAACCAAAACCUUUGGAUAAUUAGUCGAGUAGAAUGGCUCUCUUUGCUUACUCCGUCAUUCUCUAUCGCUUCUUCGUCCCUCUCCUUCUCUCGCAACACUCUCCUUCCACUUUUUCACAUCGCCUGCACUCUCUUGUCUGGAUCCCAAGUUCAUCUUCGCCCUUCUUCUUCUUUUCUCUCUUUGUUCCUCCUUCCUCCUUACACACACACACACACACACACACCUCCCACCUACUCCAUUCGCCUUCGAUCUCUGACAAGUGACAACAAAACCUUCCAUAGGUUGAAGGAGGAAGACGAUGAUUCGAAUUCUUCCAAUUUGGAUUCUGACAAAGAAGGGAGCCGGGCUCCGACGAGGACGGGGAUAGCAAUUCGGAUCUGGGCUCUGACGAGGAGCCUGUUGGUUUAUUACCAUUGAAAAUAUUCAAUCUGGGAUUUUAAUUUUGGUUGGUGAAUCGAUGAGUGGGUUUGUAUGGAGGGUGGGAUUUGAUAAGUUAUAGUAAAUAUUUCUGGUAUUAUUUUGGGUAUUUACCAUUUGGAAGAGAAUUACUCCAGCGUGGAACACAGGUUUACUGUCAAAUCUUGUUCUUAUGUUCAAUGCAUCUGGUUCUUUAGCAUGUAUUUUUCGAACUUGUUUCUUCCUGCCAAAUAACAAAAGGCAUGAAAUUUAUUAUGAAUGCUUUGUGAAUGAGUUGCCUUGCUGAGCAUUUUCACAUUAUUGCCUCUUAUUAUGCAGGUUGUGUUGGCAGCUAAUGACUUGCCUUCUAUCAAUGAUGUAACUUACACUGAACUAAUUGAGAUUAUAUCAAUGAUGUAUCUUCCCUUUUCUUAUCUGGUUCAAUAUCAAACACGGUAUAAAUAAUACGAUCAUUAGUCCGAUACUGCACCAAAUGCCCGACUAAUUUAAUCAGUAUUAUCCGUAAUUUAAUCAGUAUUAUCCAGUGGCUAUUUAUCCUAUCCAACAGAAAUAGUCAGUACAUUCCGAGCUGCCAAACGAGGCCUAAGGUUUGCUGCUGCCGCAUAUAACACAUACAGGUAGAGAGGAUUAGUGCACGCGCUAGGUUUUUAGAAGUGAUCAUCAUAUCAUAAUCUUUGCUACUGUAGCGUGCAUUAGACUAGGUGGUUUUGGAAUGCUGCUUUUGAGUUUUGAAAGAAAAUAUACAAAAUAGAUGCAGCACGUGAAUAUGUUUUUGAGUUUUUGGGUUACUUCAUAUAGGAACGGCUAUCGUUUCCAUCUCAUUGUUUUGAUGGUUCUCAGGUCAAUGCAUAUUCACUACAAGUGUAGUCCUUAUUAUUUUAUCUGGGUUGUCUCGCAUAGUAAUAUUUGCACAGAGAACAUUAUACGAGUGUUGCAGCAAUAGUGUGUGAGGAAGAAAAGAGUUUUCAGCCGUGUGGUUUUAAAAGAUAAAAUUCAGUUUUUCUUUAUUGAUUUUCGUUGUGCUUUAAACCGAGACAAAUUAUGAAAAUAUGCUUUGUCAUUUUUGUAAUUGGUUGACUUUCAUAAACCAUUUCAUAUAUACAUUCCAUGAUCGCGUUAGUAUCUUGCAAAGUUCGAGGAGAUAGUUAUUGACGGCCGGGUUAAUGUCGUGCCACUUCCACUCAAAGGCUAAAGAGAGAUUGAGUAGUAAAGCGCAGAGACAAAACUGCCUACUAGUAUGCAUGUUUAGUUGAGUUGAUGAGUUUUGUAAGUCUUUAUGUACUCAUGUGUUUGUCUUGGCUUGGGAGCUCAGGGAUUUUGCCAAUGGUGGCCUCGUUAAAUCCUGUAACGAUCCGUCCCAAAUUUUAUGAAUUUCGAAAUGAGGGUAAAUUGGUAAUUUCACGUGUGGGAGAUAUUUUGCAUGUUUGUCUUUUUUGGGCUUGUUUAGUGUGUCAGUGGGGUCCAUCCCUUUGUUUUGGUCUCCUGGCCCUUUCUCCUUCUUCCCUCUCCCCGUCACUCUCUAUCUCUCAUCUUCAUUCUCUCUCUCUCUCUCUCUCUCUCUCUCUCUCCCUCCCUCAUUCUCUAUGCUCAUCUCUCUACAACUCUCUCUUUCUUUGAACUCACACACAACACCACCUCCACCAUCACUAGCCUCGCCACUCUGGCGAACCCCAUCACCCUGAGGACCUCCCCGUCGUGACCUUGGACCACCAAGGCUCCUCCUCCUCUUUCCCUCUCACUGUACAGUGUCACUGUCACUGUUCAAAAUGUUCUUCGGAGAACUCUUGCCGAUAUCGACAUGGGUAAGCUUUGGAAACACUCUAAACCUUCUCAUUUUGUCGUCGUAGUUCGUUUUUAUUGUUCUUGUGUGUUAUGGAUGUCGAAGCAUCACACAAACAGCUCGGGGAGACUUCCCCAAAUUCCGGCGAGAACCCAAGCCUUCUAGGCCAUUUUCCAGCCAAUUUCGGCCACGGCUGGCCACGACAUAGGUAUAAUAUUCUUCCUUGUUCUUGGGGCUUCAAUUUGGUAUAUUGAAUGACUAGUUUUAAUUGAGAUUUUGGGAUGAAUGGAGCUCUCCAAGCUCCCGCUUUCUUGUUUCUGGAGACCUGCUGAACCACAACCUGAAAACGGGUCGACCUGACCUGCAACCCAAAACCCAAUCCAAAACACUAUUCUGACCCGACUCGAAUUCGAAUGGAAUAUUCUUUGUGUUGAUUUUCCUAGAAUAUUCCUUGUGUUGAUUUUUUGUUGACUUUUACGAAAUUUUCCCGGGACCCCUCCUAGACUAAUUUCGAUGUCCUGAUUCCAAAUCCUCACUCUGUUUUCCCAAAUUCAAUUGUUUAAGUAAAGUUUUACUGAUUAGUCCUUUUAUGUGCUUAGGUACAAUUGUUAGUGACGACCUCGUCCUCUCUAGUUUGAGCGGCUCUUCGGUGACGAAGUAUCUGUGAGUGGACCCCUUCUAAAAUGCACGAUUUUAUUGCUAGAAAUGCAUACAUGAAAAUCAUGAUUAUAACUAUGUUUUAUGAAAUGUUUAUGGGUUAUCCGAACUAUGCUUUAUAAAAUGUCAUGCUUUAUCGGAUUUAUGUUUGUUGAAAUAUUUAUGAAUAUGGUUUUAUGAUAUGAUGUUUGAGUUAUUGAGCUCUGAUGAGAUAUAUUUUGGAAAGAUUAUGUUCAUAAUUUUAUGUGCUUACUUAGUGGAUAUUCAUAUAUAUAUGUGCCUUCGGGCGGGCAAUGUAGUGCCUUCGGACGGAAGAUAUAUGUACUUUCGGACGGACGAUGUAGUGCCUUCGGGCGAUUGUGAUACCACUACUAAGCACACUAUAUAUGAUAUAUGUUUUAAUCCAAGGUUCUAGGGCAUGCUAGUGUUUUCGGAAAAAACCUAUUAUUUAUUAUGCUAUAUGAGUUUCUAAAACUGGGGGUUAGUACAUUUGAAGAGUAGUUGAUUUUAGUAUUACUUAUAUAUAAACUUGGUCCGCUCAUGCUUUGUUUUACGCCUCCUUCAGGACUUAGAAUCGAGGCGUACACUCCCGCAUCUGUAUCUUCGAGUCCUCUUGGUGUAGGACCCAAUCCUUUGUUCGCACCUUUUCAUAAUAUUCCUUCUACAAUAUUCUUGAUUAGUUGUAUGCUUUGAACAUGUUCACACAUUUGCAUAUUCAUUAUAGUUAAGUUUAUGUGUUUUAUUUUACGUUCGUUCUUUCUUCAUAUUUUUACAUGCAUGUUAAUAUGGCUUCGUCACCUUCGGGUGUCGGUCAGAAUGUGUUUAUCUUGGUGUUUGGAGGAUAUUGGGGUCGGGCAUGUCAAAUCCUACAUCUUGUGUGCAUUUUUUAUUUAUCUUUUUAACUGCAUAUGUGUAGGAUAGUUUGAUAAGUGACUGAAAAUUGAAUUGGAUUUUUAAAUUGAAACCUAUUCACCCCCUAGGUAGUACCACCCUAGAACUUGCACAUAUUAUUAUAAAAAAUAGUAUUACUACCAUCUAUUUAUAUAAUCUCUAAUAGAAAUAAGAUAAACAUGUGUUGAUGGGCUCACCUCUAUUAGAGAGAUAAUACAAAUAGAUGGUAAGUAUAUCAAUUAUUAUGGAUUUGGGUUUUGUCCCGUAAGUGAUGUCUAUAAGAUCUAUAAAGUGGUAAUGAUUAGGAAUGCCAGCGGAGAGGUAAUGGUUAUGACUGUUGGUUCCUGGUUUUGGAGAAUAGGGAUUCUGAUUACACUUUGGUGUUUCAAUCAUUAUCGUCUCCUUUUGAUACGUGCCUUUAACCUUGAAAAUGAGCAUUUCCAACAGUUACCACUACCACCUUGUUCUCCGAUUUGAAACGGUCUAGCUUUUUCCUUGGAGUCUUGAAAGAUAGGCUCUCUAUAACUAUGCGCUCGAUGGCUAGUAUCAAUGCUUGAGUGAUGCAGGAGAGUGAUGUCAAGCAGUGGUGGACAAAGGAGCUGGAGAUUCGCGUGAGUCGUCUGGUUUUUGUAUUACUCGAGUAUUGAAGUUUACAGAUGAGGGGCAACCGGGGCAAGUCUUGUCGUUUAACAAGUCUCGCUUAGAGACUAAUACUCGUAGAAGAAAGGGCCCUGUGAGGGUUGAGGACCUUGAGGUGGAUGGGCUACCAUGCGCAGUUGAUACACCUUGCUUUCAUGUUUCAAGCUUUGUUUCGCUUAAAGAUGCCAUGAGGGGUUAGAGCUCGAAGCUAGGUAAGAUAUGCCAAUGCUAGUACUAGUUAUGUUUGUUUUUGCAAUUUUGUGCAAAUUUGGUGGUAAUUUGUUUCCAUUCAAUAUAUUUCAUUUACUUUUUUUUUUUUUGAAUUGUUAUUAGUACUCCAAAAAUCUCAUUCUACACUCAAAACUUUCUAUAUUAGGAAAUAAAAAUACAUUCGUGAGAAGUGUAAAAUGAGAUUUUUGGAGUCCCAAUAACACUUUUUUUUUUUCCUAUAUAGUUUUAUUUUAUUCCAAAGAGAGAAUAAUUGCUAAUGGUGACCGUUGUUGUGCCCACAAUUUGAACGAAUGUUGCGAGAGGAAUGUUGAAAAUUUGCUUAAUUGUGAAAAGCUUUUCUGGUGAGACUUUGAGAAAGCCAUCACGUGGGCUUUGCAAUUUGGUUUUGUACAGUCAAUUCACUUUCUGUUCCUCACAUCACCUUUGUUGGGUGAGAGUUGCUAUCUGCCCAUUACGUGUAACUUUUUACUUCACUUCCUCUUGCAUUUAUUUUGGCUUCUCAAGCAUUCUUGCUGGUGAGUGCAUAUAUUAAUGUGCACCUAGGUAGAGCCGUUCGACAGAUACAGAAAAAGCUAGCGCAGCAAAACCAUUUGGUGAAGAGGAAAAAAGUACUCUCUUGUUCAUCGGUUUUGGGUGCUGUCAACUUUAUUGAAAGAGCCCAAUCAUCUCCUCUUUGUGACUAAAGAUUGUCACACCAUUUGGAGCAAGAAGGAAACCUUUCUUUGGUUUUAGGGGCUGCUGCUCAUCUGAUAAAUUUCUCUCGCUUUUUUGCUUUUGGUGUUUUGCUUCACACUUCCGUAAGAGCUUUUGUAUGUUUGCAGAGCAAGAACUUGAGAAUUGUUCUUGGCACAUCUAUGUGGGAGAGUGACGUGUAUUUGGGUUUUAGGUUGUGAGAGCUUAAACAAUUUUUUAAUCUUUAUUUGAUAAAGAUCGUUUAGAAAGUGGGACUAAUAUUCUCACCGUUUCCUUACUAGACGUAGACUUACACCGAACUAGUAUACGUCCUUGUGUUAAUUGGAUUUCUGUAUUUAUCAUAUUUUACCUUGUUAAAUAUUUGCCUCAUAUCUGAAGCUUCCGCAAAACAAGGGAAACCAUUAUUAAACAUAGAAUAGUUGGCUAUGUUUGUGUAAAUUCAGGGGAGCUGCAGGUUUAAUUUACACAACUAAAAUUAGUUUUGGGUUUUUUUAUUCUAUAUUUAUAGGAGUGCCUAUCCAAAUGGUAUUUGCAAACAAUGAUGAAAUCCUAUAUAUGUCUGUGUUAUGAAACUUGAGUCAGCCAAACAUGAUUUUGUAUAUUUCUUGCUUUUAUGGUGGCAUUAUAUAUACUAACAAAAAUCAUUAACCUUCCUGCAUCUCCCAGGUUUAUUUCUGCAUGUGUUCCUAAAACACUAGAGAUGUAAGAGUGCGAGUUGAAAGAGUUGGUUUCUGAGUUCGAUCAACUUCCUAUAAUAUAUAUAGGGGUGUGAUAUCUACACACCUUAUUUUACUUCUCACACAUUUUUUUUAUUUUCGGCCAUCAGAUUGGAUGAAUUGAAGAAGAUCAACGGACAUAAAUUAUCAAGGGAUGUGUGAGAAGUAAAAUGAGGUGUGUGGAUAGCGGCUCUAGAUUUGCUGUCCCCAAAAAUAUGUCUCGUUUAUGUCUCCUUGCUAAUAUGUUGACACAUGUCAUUUAACUUAACCUAAAACUAACUCUGUUAAUUUUAUUUAUUUAACAUUUAAAUUAAAAAAAUCCCAAAUAAUAAAAAAAAAAACUGUUGGGUUAAUGAGGUGAGCAAAUGAGAGCUGUGAUUCUCUGAGGUCGUUCCCUUUGGGCAUUUUCCCCAACCUUUCAUCUCUUCGUAUAGGAAAUUUUGAGAAUCUGGAAUCUCUUUCAGUUGAAGGAGGAGCAGAUGAAAAUCUCAGCCAUCUCAACUCCCUGGAUAUUUGGGUAUGUCGAAAUCUUGUCUCUUUUCCCGAGGGGGGUUUGCCCACUCCCAACCUCACUUUCUUUGAUGUCUACGACUGCGAGAAUUUGAAGUUGUUGCCGGACCGAAUGCACACCCUCACCGCCCUUCAAACCUUAUUGAUACGCAGUCUUCCAAAUCUUGUCUCUUUUCCUGACGGAGGAUUGCCCACUCCCAACCUGACUUACUUUAAAGUAGGGGAUUGCGUGAAUUUGAAGUUGUUGCCGGACCGAAUGCACACCCUCACCGCCCUUCAACGUUUGGAGAUAUCCAAUCUUCCAAAUGUGGAGACGUUGCUCAAUGAACAGAUGCUCCCUGCCACUCUUCACGCUCUCGAAAUCUCUUAUGCAUCUUAUCUGAAAACUUUGGACGGAAAGAGUUUUGAGCACCUCACUUCUCUUCAACAGCUACAAAUCGAAGGGUGCGAGAGUCUCGAAUUCCUGCCAAAAGAGGGUUUCCGGCAUCUCUUUCUUAUCUGAAGAUCCGGGGUUGUCCUCCUCUGAAGAAGAGGUAUGGGAACAAAAAGGGAAAAGAUUGGAGAAGCAUAGCUCGCAUUCCUUGUAUAGAGAUAGAUGAUGAAAUCACCAUAUGAGCUUUCAUUUCGUUAACCCAACAAUAAUUAAAGUUAACAGAGUUAGUUUUAGGUUAAGUUAAAGGACAUGUGUCAACAUAUUAGCAAGGAGACACAAAAGAGACACUUUUAGGGCCAGCAAAUCUGGAGCUGUGGAUAGCACACAUCUAUAUAUACUUUGAGUUAUAUUGUUGUUUUGUUGGUUAGAAAGGGUUGUAGGUUUCCAUAUGCUUGUGUUUUAUUACGUCCAAAACGUAGGAGCUUUGAGCCAGAAAUGAAGCAUUUGAGAAUUUUCUUCAAGUGUGAUAGGAAACUGAACUUCCUGCUCAGGUGCUGCUAUGCAUUUGGCAUCAUUGGUUGAAAGAUUUAGUGGUACAUCUGUUUCAAUUUUGGCGUAGGUGACUGUACUUAUUAUCAUUUAAGAGAAUAGGGAUCAUCAGAUAUAGUGGUAAAGCCAUAAAUUAUCACAGAAAUGAGCGAAAUUUAAACAGGUAAAAGAGUAUAUGACUGUGAAGACACGUGAUAUUAUGAGCCUCUAGAAACACACGCGAGCGCGCACAAAUAUAUAUAUAUAUAUAUAUAUUUUUUUUUUUUGAACAAACACGUAGACAUAUAUAUGAAACAAUUGAAAAAUGUAAAAAAAUUCGUGAGAAGGAAAAUAAUUAUUUUUUGGGUAAUAACAAAUAUAAAUUAUGAAAAAAAAAAGAGGCUUAUUUAGACCAACUCUGACUCUUAGAGUAAGUCCUAAAAUUUACCUUCUAUUUCCCCUCAAUUUCCUUCCAACCUUAGGCCAAUUUGGGACUAUAGGUUGGGACUAUAGGUUAGAAGCUAAAAUUGGACCAAAUACCGGCCAGAAAAGUGGGCUGGAUUAGUGGUGUGCCCCACUUUUGCGUGUGAACGCGCUCCAAAACUUGGCAGCGCAGCAAGAAUGACACGCCCAUGCACGGAACGCACUGGGAGAUGAGCAGCUGGUGGUCCCAUGCACAUGGAUCUUGUUGGCCACCCAUCAGAGCCCAAUGACUCUUUUUCUCAUCCAAGGGUUGUGCUUCACUGGACCGUUGGAUCCAGGUUCGAAUUUGUGUUUUUUUUUUAGUUUAUAUUUAUAAAUUUAUUAAAUCUAACAGCUGAGAUUGAAUAUAAACCAAAUCUAAUUAUGGAAAAAAAAAUUUUAAAGUUAAAAUUUAAAUCCAACUGCUAAAAUAAUUUAAAAUUUUAUUUAACUCAAAAUUCACUCAAAAACUCUAUAAAUGCCUAUAUAUUUGUUCAAACAUCCACUCAAAAUUCACCUUUCUCCUACAAUUCUUUCAAUUUUUCAUUCUACCAUCUUCCAAAACCAUGUGUUUUGUGUUUAUUCAUCUCUAUCAUGUGUUUCAUAUUCUUCCAUAGUGUUUCAUGAGUUUUAUAUAUUGAUUUAGUGAUUUUUCAAUAUUGAUCGGGAUUUAAAUAUUUUUAGGUUAAAAUGUUCAUAAAAUUAAUUUAUGAUAAUCUACAUAAUUUUUUUAAAGUUAUUUUAAAAAAAUAAAAUGAUUAAAUUUAUUUUUUAAUAGUAUGGGGGUAAAAAUUUAACCCAUAAGGGUUAAAGUAAAAAAACUACUUCUCAAUUAAAACAUAAAUAUUCUGAGCUAAAAAUUUUAUGUUUUAACUCAAAUGUUGAAGAUGCUCUCAAAGGAGGGAGAAGAAACAGGAAAAAAGGGAGGAAGAGAAGGACGGGGAAAAGUGGGUAGGGAAUGCCUCAAACUUAAAAAAACUCAAAAUGGUAAAAUAUCGAGGAUUUGACAGUCCUCGUUCUCACGUUGAGGCAGAGCCAUAGAGAGAGAAGGGUAGAGAGAGGAUGGAGAACCAUAAGCAGAUAGAGAAGGAUGAGUGGGGCCAUGGCAGUGGAGACGGCGAUGUGGCUGUAGUUUGCUGCUCUGUUGCUUCUUCUUUGAAACCGCUUUCCUCUUCUGGUUCUCCACCCCCAAACUCAAGCUUUGAAACUCUGCAAUUCAACUUUCAACUCUGUAAUCGAGAAGAAGAAAGGUAACAAAAGAGAUGAAAGUACCAGAGGGGCGGAUUUAACUCGUAGGGUCAAUUUCUGACGAUUGAAGGUGCGGCCGCACCUCCUUAGAGCUUUGUGGCUUCCCCACUGAUCAGCUAUAGAAUCUGGUGUUCGGUGUUCCACAUAAACCCAAAAGCUAGAAUCUAGCUAUAGGGAUCAUCACAUCACAUAAAGCUCAGUGUGAAUUGGGAAUUUUCCUAGUAGCUAGUGGUAACUAGAGAUUUUGCACGAGAGCCUGAUGUCAGAAUACAAAGAAGUUCUUGUUCACCAUAUGUAUUCUUGAGAGAGAAAGAGAGAUUUGAGAGAAUAGCAAUCUUAGAGAGAGAAAUGAAUUGUAUCUUGUAUGUAUUGAAUUAAUGAAUGUGUUACAAUAUCUACACAUAUAUAUAGACAAGGCUAUCUUAGUCACUAAGUAAGUUAACAAACUUUAACUACCUAGCAACCUAAUCUACGUACACUUGUCAAUAUCUGAAACACCUAAUACAUCUUUACACCUGAUGGUUAUCUUGUUCGUAAUAACCAGCAAAGUUCAUCAUUAAGGUAUAGGGUUUUUAUCACAAAUGGUCCCUGACAUUGAUCAAACACAUCAUUUUGGUCCCUGACAUUGAAAAUCAAUAGAAAUGGUCCCUGACAUUGAUCAAACACAUCACAAAUGGUCCUUCCGUUAAAAACUUUUUGGGCAAUUUUCAAAGCUUCGUAACUCAAUCGUUUCUUAACCAAAUUUGACCCAUGAUAUAUCAAAAUGAAGAUAGGCAAGUGUAGAACAAGAUUAUACCGAUUUGGAAGCUCAAUGGUUGCCGGAGAUGGCCGGAAAGUAGCCUCAAAUGUGAUUAGUCCGCGAAAAAACUGGAAAACUCGCCUGAAAUGGGGUAAACUUUAAACAUUCAUAACUUCUUCAAUACUCAACGAAAUUGAGUGAUUCAAAAAUGAAAAUCAUACGUCUCAACGAGAAAAAGAGAAUGGUACCUUUAUUGACUACUAAUUUACUGUGGUUUGACCAUAAAAUGGCUUGAACUUGGAUAACCAUUUUCGAGUUAGCCAAUUUCGAGUCGUUUUCCGGCCAAACUAUGACAAGUUAGCCAUCAACAAAGAUACCAUUCUCUUAGUCUCGUCUAGAAGUAUGAUUUUUGUUUUUGAAUCACUCGAUUUCGUUGAUUAUUGAAGAAGUUAUGAAUGUUUAAAAUUUAUCCCAUUUCAGGCGAGUUUUCCAAUUUUUUUGCUGACCAGUCACAUUUAAGGCUAUUUUUCGGCCAUCUCCAGCAACCAUUGGGCUUCCAAAUAGGUACAAUCUUGUUCUACAUGUUCCUAUCUUCAUUUUGAUAUAUCAUGGGUCGAAUUUGGUUAAGAAACAAUUGAGUUACGAAGCUUUGAAAAUUGCCCAAAAAGUUUUUAACAGAAUGACCAUUUGUGAUGUGUUUGAUCAAUGUUAGGGACCAUUUCUAUUGAUUUCAAUGUCAGGGACCAAAAUGAUGUGUUUGAUCAAUGUUAGGGACUAUUUGUGAUAAAACCCUUAAGGUAUAUAUGUGUAUUCUCAUAUUAAAAAUAAAAAAUAAAAAAAGUAAAAAAUAGUGAAAGUCAUACAACGGGGUCAUAAAGUAAUUUCUCUUUUACAAAUAUGGUUUUCGAGCCAUUCCAAGCAUUUCUGUUGCAAGUUACAUAUGGCUAUUUGGAAGAAGCAUAAUAAAAUGAAGUUUGAAAGUAAGCUUGCUUCCUUUUCACGUCCUUGUUAUUUUAUUUUGGCCUGAAUUAAGUAGGUUGGAGUUUUCACUCUUGAUCAUGUGCAUGGUAUUUUGGAUAAGCAACUUGGGGUGUCUCUUGUAAUCUCGACUAAGUCCUGUAAACACCUACAAUUUCUGUUCUUUGGCAUCCUCCUCCAUUUUAUAGGGUCAAAGUGAAUAUGAAUGGCCUUGCUAAAAGUAAUCCAAGUUUUGUAGCUUGUGGUGAGGUUUUUCGAGAUUCUGUGGGUUAUUUUCUUGGUGGUUUCUCCUUGAGCUUAAGGCAUUGUACUUCUUUCUAUUCGAAGCUUCAUGUUGCCAUCUUAGUUGUAGAGUUGGAUCACACGCAGGGUUGGCAAGAUUUAUGGCUUGAAAGUAACUCUUCUACCGUGAUUUCUUGCUUUGCUUAUGGUUCUUUCUCUCCUAUUUGGUCGCUCUAGACUUGUCGGAAAACGGUAUUUCCCGGUUGCGGCACAUGGUAUUCCGUUGUUCUCAUAGAUUUCGAGAAAGGAAUGCAGUUGCUGAUAAAUUAGCCAAUUUGGGAUUUCUCUCGUCUUCACUUGUUUGGCAUGCCACUCCUUAUAGACAUUCUUCUUGUCUGCAUUCAGAUUUAUUAAGUAUGUCGACCCACAGGUUUGUCUCCUCUUUUUGAUAUGUCAUUUUCUUUUUUACCUAAUCUUUUUGGAUUCUCCUUUUUUGUUUUGUAGCUUGUCUUGCAGGUUCUUACAUUUUACGUGUUAUUUUAGAGAGGGUCGGUCAUAAGUCCACCCCGUUUUUGUUUGUAUUUUCUUUUCCAAGAAGGGUAAGUAUAUGUGUGAUAGCCCGUCCCUAAUCUUAAGAGUUUUUAAAGUUUUAAUAAAGGAUUUUACAAAAAUGCCCUUUGAGGUACGCGCAUUUUUUGAGGUUAAUCGUCAUGUCGUGCCAUCUAAGAUUUGUUUUCUUGGCAUAUCAUCGUAGUACUCGUCGCUACGGAUGCGUGGGCGUAGACAGUUCGUGUCGAAAAAGUUAUUGACGUUUGAAAUUUGGGAAUUUUAGGAAUUUUAAUUUUAGUAAAAUAUAGAAUUUCUUUUAUGAAAAUGGACGGCCCAGAUUUAAUGAAGAAUUAAAUGGAUGGCUGGGAUGAGAGAAAGAAGGUUUUGUGUGUGUGUGUGCGUGAGAAGAAGAAGAAUCAGAGGAAAAAGAUUGGGCAGAAAUGCCCAAUCGGGAAAAGAGAGAAGAAUGGAUCAAGAGGGAGUGAGAGAGAGAGUUCAGCGAAUGGAGAGAAUAGAGAGAGAGAAACCAGCCAAUAGGAACAGAGGACAGGAGGAAAGGAAGGAGAGAGUGGCGCGGGGGAUCGGCCGGAUCCCCCUUGGCCCGUUUUUGACCCGUCGGCAUCCAUGCCUAUUUCUGACGAUUUUCACCCAUUUUUCCGGCGAAUUGCUUCAAGAAACUUCAUGGGAAACACUCUAGGAGCCUUCCUCUAUCCAUUCCAUCUCAAAAUUGGAGAGAUUUGGCUUUGAAAAUGGAGAAAACCGCAAGGAGGGGUGCGGCGACUUUGGCUUCGAAUCACCCAAUCCCGAAGCAAUUUCUUUCAAUUGCCACCACCCAUAGCUUCCUCUUGAGGCCUAGAACAAAGCCCAAGCAUUGAUUGGAACGGCGGAGUUGAUUUGAAGACGAAUUGGAACUCACCCAAUUCUAGGGUUCUUCACGGUUUUGACGAAAUUGGAGCCUUUCCAAGCCAAAUUGGCCUUUGCCUCAGGUAUAAAGUUUACUCUACUUGUUGAGAUCUUCAAUUCUAUAUUUUUUGAGAAUUUUUAGAAAUAGUUGGAUUUUCCGGCGAGCCGAGGCGGCCAACCGCCACCCGUGGCGGCGCGUGGCCAGUGGCCCACCAAUGUCAUUCUUAGCAUGUUUUUAAUGUUCUAGGUUCAGUUUUGAUAAUUGAUUGACGUAAAUUGAGUAAUUGAACCUAAGUUAGUUACGAUUCGUGGUGAGGUGAAAAUGUGAAUUGACGAUCCGACCGUUGAUCGUCACCAAACUUUGAUACGUUGUAAUACGUAAUAUUUGAGGAUUAUAGGAACUGACGGAUUGGGAAUCCGAUUUACGGAUCUUCCGGAAACGGAGUUGUAAGUUUAUAAAAUAGAAUGUUAACCGUCACUUGAUUUUGACAACUGGCGGAGAUCCGACCGUUAGAUGGUAAUGGAAUUUUAUGAUGUUGCUCUAGAGAUAUAUUGUGGAACUCUGGAAGUUAUGGAUUGGAAAUCUGAGUUGUAGAUCUUCCGGAUCGAUCUACGUAGUGACAUGUUUUAUAUAAGUUAUAUAUUCUAUCAAUAUGAUUUCUGAGGUUUGAUUUGAUGAUUGUUCUAGGCCCUGAUCGUCAUGACGCCUUGAUGUAUUGUGCUAGGGAGUUGUAGGGCGAACUCCAGGUGAGUGGGCAUUAUUUUCUGUAUUUACCUAUAUACUACUGAAUUUCCCAGAAAUUGAAUUUAAAUGAAAGUAUGUUUUUAAAAUGCCAUGCAUGCAUAUUAUGAAUUAUAUGAAUUAGUAAUUGAUGCAUAUAUAUGUGAAUUGGUGUUGUGGACGCACAUGCGAGUAUCAGGUGAGUGUUAUGUUAUUUAUGUAAAUCAUUGAUGAUGUGAAUUGUGUUGAGAGCUCAUAACAUGCACCCCUGGUGUUAGUGCUUAUAGUAUUCAUCGCACCGUACACUCACCUUGGAUCCAAGUAGGUGCAUGUCGUACAGACCAUGAGAGGGUUCUGACAUGCUAGUCGUACAGAUCACUAGAGGUGGUUCCGACUGGUAGGUGACCUUAGAUUAUGUGCACAGAUGAUUGAUGAGAGAAACACUAGAGCGUAUUAUUACACCAUUCUUAUCGUACAGAUUACUUUAGGUAGUUCCGAUUUAUGUGUAGAGUAGUGCUGUACAGGUCACAGUGGUGACUCUGGUUGGAUUGGAUAUUGAGCUAUAGAAUUAACCGAACAGGACCAACUGCAGGGUCUCCGGUUGAUUCCUUAUUCCACCUGUUAUAUUGAUGCAUCUUUAUUAUGUUUUGAUGCAUAGCAUGGCAUAUUUUCUCGAAAAGUGUUAAAGACUUGUGAUUUGAGUUUUGAGAUUUUAUAUGGUUAUAUAUAUUCUAUUUUUCUGGGAAAGUAUACAGGUUUUACAGCGAGGGGUUAGAAAUGUUUAAAAUGAAAUGUUUUCGAAAAACUUUGUUUUACUAACCCACUUAAUUUUGUUUUGCGCCCCUCCAGGUUCAAGUUAGCAGAGCUUUGGUGGCCACGAGGAAUCCAACAAUGUUCUGACAAAAUUCUCAAAAGUAGGAUUCACCCUCGGGUGUUAUAUCCUAGUAAUUGUAUCUUUAAAGCUUCCAAACUGUGUAAAUGGUUACGUCACUCUCACGUGACGGCCAGCAUGCCCUCCUUCGGGAUGGGGUGUGUCAGUUGGUAUCAGAGCCUAGGUUGCAGUCCUGGACAUCUUGAGAAUUCCCUAGUGUCUUCUGUCAGAACUUUACCACCUCGUAGAGAGCCACUUUGUUCAGAUGAGCUUAGUUUCCCCGAUUUAAUUUAGUUAUAGGAGACUACUACUGAUGUGAUUCAGUCUAUUACCCAAAUGACUCCUUUUGAGAAUGGUUAUAGAUUGAAUUUGAAUCAAUUUAGGGAAAUGAAAGACCGGAUGGAGCAGAUCAAUGGCUUAAUCAUUUGGAAAAGGCAUUUCAGAUUCUGCAAAUUAAAGGAAUCUUUCUCUUGAAGGUAGGUCGAGAUGACUACCUGGUUUCUGAGUAUUGAAAUUGCAUCAUGGUGGAGAUAGGAGUCUUAUACGAUGUCACCAGAGGAAACAGCUGAAUGAGAAUUGUUUAAAGAGUUGUUUAAGAAAAGGUUUAUUCCUCCGGCAUAUAUGGACGGUAAGAAACAAGAGUUUACAAUUUGAGACAAGGAAAAGAAUGAGAAUCAAAGGAAGGAUGACCAAGGUAAAGGUCAUGUAUCUCAAGAACCUCGCAAGACUUAGAGCUUCAAAAGAAGUGGGGUUAAUUCUAGUUCUGCCAUCAGAGAUUUUAGUACCAUUGAUCAGAUACGAGGUGGUAGAUUUACUGGAGAUCCUAGAUUGCAGAGGCGAAGUGACUCUGGUAGAGGGAAUGUACCUUUGUGCUGUAAGUGCAAUAGCAUACACUUUGGAGAGUGUAGGCGAGAAAGUAGAUGAUGCUUUACAUGUGGACAAAUGGAACGUAGAACUGCAAGAUACUUAGAAUCUUUCGGGCUUGAUCAUGGGCACGUUAAACAUUCUUGGUUACUUUGCUAGAGUUUUAAUUGAUUGUGAUGUAGAAAUUUUAUGUUAUUAACGAUGUUGCCAAAGAAAGUAGUGAAUGAGCACGAUCGAGGCGUAUAUAUGUAUUUCUGAUGAAGAGCAAGAUGAUAAUAUUACACCCUUGAGAAUUGUUGCUUACUUAUCGAGACAACAGUGAGUUAUCAUUAUUGCGGGCUGCAGACCAUAAUAUCCAUAACUUAUUUGUUGGAUUCGUUAAGCAGGUAAACAAGUAGGUAAUUCUAUGUCGGUUAUGAUUAUUCAGGGUGUCCAGUGAUGGUGGAAGAAGUAGUUAUGCCAGCGAAUCUUAUCCCGUUAGACAUUGUGGAUUUUGAUGUGAUUUUAGGCACAUAUUGGUUGCAUUAUAAUCGUGCCAAUAUUGAUUGCUACGGGAAAUCAGUUACUUUCCAUCGUCUUGGAUUAUCAGAGGUUACUUUUGUGAGUGAGCAAAGUGGAAUGAGGCAUGCCGUUAUUUCUGUUGUGAGAACAAAGAGAUUGUUAUCAAAAGGUUGCCAAGGAUACCUAGCUCAUGUGGUGUUGCAGGAUCGUACUCCUAGUAUUUUGGAUGACGUACGAGUAGUAGACAUUUUCCUAAUGUGUUUCCGGAAAUAUUUACCUGGAUUGCCACCAGACAGAGAUGUGGUGUUCACUAUUGAAUUGUCUCCAAAUACAUAUUUUAUGUUAUAGAUUGGUUCCUGCAGAGUUAAAAGAAUUGAAAAUUCAGUCACAAGAAUUGGUUGAUAAAGGUUUCAGUCAACCUAGUACGUUACCUUGGAAAACCCCAGCUUUGUUUAUAAGGAAGAAAGACAGGACCUUAAGAAUAUGUAUUGAUAUUAGGUAAUUGAAUUGGGUAACGAUUGAGAGCCGUUAUCCAUUGUUGUGUAUUGAUGAUUAUUUGAUCAGCUCUGAGGCGCCUAUGUAAUUUCUGAGAUUGACUGGAGGUCUGGAUAAUAUUAGUUGAAGAUUAGCAGUGUGGAUGUUCAUAAGACUGAAUUCAGGACUCGUUAUGGUCAUUUCAAGUUAGUGAUGCCAUACAGAGUGACGAAUGCACCUGCUACUUUUAUGAGUUUGAUGAAGGAAGUAUUCCAGUGAUAUCUAGACCGGUUUGUUGUUGUUGCCAUUGACGAGAUUGAUAAGAUUAGAACGGAGCAUGCUAGAUAUUUUGAGUUGGUGUUGCAAUGAUUAAGGGAACGUCGAUGUAUGCUAAGUUUAGCAAAUGCUAAUGUUAGAUAAAUCAAGUGACAUUUUUUAGACAUAUUUUAUCUACGUAAGGUAUUCAAGUGGAUUCUUAAAAGGGUAGCAGCGAUUGAGAAUUUGGAACAAUUGCGAACCGUGACUGAGAUUCAGAGUUUUCUCGGCUUAGCAGGUUAUUAUUGAUAGUUCGUCCAAGAUUUUUCAAUCAUUGCUUUGCCUUUGGCGAGAUUGAUGAGAAAAGAGGUUAAGUUUGAGUGGGAUGAAAAAUUGUGAGUAGAGCUUCAGCAAGUAAAAUAUUCCCUCACUCAUGCAUCUGUUUUCGCACUCCCAGACGAUAGUGGUAAUUAUGUGGUCUAUAGUGAUACUUCUUUGAAUGUUCUUGGAUGCGUGUUGAUGCAACAUGGUAGGAUGAUUGCCUAUGCUUCACGGCCAUUGAGAUCUCAUGAGAUGAAUUACCCUACUUGUGAUUUGGAAUUAGCGGCUAUCAUUCUUACUUUGAAGUUAUGGAGACAUUAUAUUAUUGGUGAGAAAUGCAAGAUUUUUAUGAAUCAUAAAAGUCUCCAAUAUAUGUUUACGCGGAGAGAUCUUAAUCUUAGGCAACAAAGGUGGAUUGAGUUGCUUAGUGAUUAUGAUUGUGACUAGGGUGGUCGAGCUAAUGUUGUGGCUGAUGCAUUUAGUAGGAAGACUCCAGUGAGAAUUAAUGCUUAGUACGCUUGCUAUGUUCAUCUUCUUGUGGAUUUGAGAUCUACUGGAGUAAAGUUGGGUAUCAAAGAUCGAGAAGAAGCCUUACUUGCUAAUUUUCAAGUUAGACCUAUUUGGUAGAUCGUACUCGAGACCCAAACGUUUGAUGAAGAAAUUCAAGAAUUUAUUUAAAGCAAGGGAUAACAGGAAAAAGAAAGACCUCAGAGUUAGAGAAUCUUAUGGCAUGCCUAUGCAAAAGAACAAAAUGUAUGUACCUAAUGUUAUGGAAUUAAAGAAAACAAUUUUGGACGAAGCGCACGGUUCAUCUUAUACAAGGCAUCUUGAAGGUAUUAAAAUGUAACAUAUCAUUCGAAAAUUUUACUAUUGACCGAGUAUGAAAAGAGAAAUGGUGGAGUAUGUAAGUAGGCGUAUCAUCCGUCAGCAGGUUAAAGCGGAAAGAAAUAAGUCAUUUGGAUUGAUGUAGUCAUUUCUUGUUCCACGAUGGAAAUGGGAAAAUAUUACUAUGAAUUUCGUGGACAAGCUUCCUCGUAUACAAAAUAGUUAGGUUGGAAUUUGAGUAAUAAUUGAUCGGCUUGCGACGUCAGCGCAUUUUACUUCAGUAUGAGAACAUCAACCUUUCUAGAAGUGCAACAGUGAUUUAUCUGUCUUAUGGAAAAGAGAUUUGGGCAUACGGAUCUGUUGAACUUCUUGGGUAUGUUGGUCCUUCAGUUUGUUCCCAAGAGGAACGCCAUAAGGCCGUGGAUAGCAGUGUCUUGUGUUUCAAAAUUGUUAGAAUUGUGGACGGAUGGUAUUUUGGGGAGCAAAAGGUUCAACCACGAAAAGUCUGAAAAAAAUUUAAGGCCAUGAGGUAGUGGAGGAGACUACUCGGAAUAUUCAAGUAAUUAAGUCUAAACUGAAAGUGGCCCAGGAUUGUUAGAAGAGCCUUGCCGAUAGACAUGGCACGGAUCGGAUGUAUGAUGUAAGUGAUUGAGUAUUUCUGAAACUUUAACCUUGGAAAGGUGGGGUUCGGUUCGGGAAGAAAGGUAAGUUAAGUCCUAGGUACAUCAGACCAUAUGUGAUCACCGAAAGAGUCGGUGAAGUUACUUACAGGCUUGAGUUGCCUCCAGAGUUGUCGAAAGUGCAUAAUGUGUUCCAUGUUUCCAUGCUUCGAUAUUAUGUUUCUGAUCCUUCACAUAUGAUUUCUCCUUAAUCUUUGGAAGUUAAUCCGGAUUUAAUUUAUGAUGAGGAACCAGUGAUAAUCUUGGAUUGGAAGGACAAUUUCUAAGGAAUUAAACAGUGAAGUUAGUGAAAGUUUUAUGGAGGAAUCAUUCAGCAGAAGAAACUACUUAAGAGACAAAAGAUCGAAUGAGAGAGAUGUUUUUCAGGUUGUUAUAUGGAUAUUGAUGGAUUGUAAAGAUUGUGUAAAUUUCAAGGAUGAAAUUUUUUUAAGGUGGGUAGAUUGUAGAGAUGGCAAUUUUAACCGUGAAACCCGAUACCCGUGGAUAACCGCCCGAAUGGAUUAGGUUUGGAUAUGAAAAUUCGGGUAUGGUUUGGAUAUGGGGAAAAACCGUGAACUUUAUUUGGUUAUGGGUUUGGAUAUGGUUAUAGGGGUAUCCAAUCCAUAUCCGUACCCGAAUCCAAACCGAAUAUUAUAUAUAUAUAUAUUUGAUAUAUAUUAUAUUUUAUUCAAUUAAUUCUUAAAAAUUCAAUUUUGCAACCCGGAUUCACUGAUUCAGCAGUUGUGUAAAAUGACAUGAUUGUCCAUCUCAUCUUUAGAUCCUACGGUGAGGAUGAUGAGUUAGAGGGGUAGAACUAGAAUCAUCUUUUUAUCAUAGGGUUUCAGUCUUUCAGAUUAGGACUUGAAUCUUCUUUCUUGGGCGUAGCCGCGCAGGUAAGGCCAUGCAUGCCGCCGAUCCUGGCACGUGUGAGAGAAAAAGAGAGUGACAAUGAGAGAAAGAGAAGAGAGAGUGGUUGUCCAGAUAAUAGGGAGAGAAACAGAGAGGGAGGGGUUGGGAUGGUGAACAGAGAGGAGUAAGGUCCCCCGACUCCGGGACUCCCUCAGUGUCAGUCCAUGAAUCACUCUGGAUCGUCCGUUCCCUUUUGCGUGUCGGAUGAGUGGCUGGAUUUCGAAAGCUAAGUUCCUUUUUUUAUUGGAUUCUUUAUUGUUAGCAUAUAUUUUCAUCAUUUCAGCCUUUUUGCUGUGAAUUAUAUCCGGAUUUUGUUGCACUGUUUGGUCAGGUUUUGGGGGUUCCUUUAUUUGUUUCAUUCUCUGUCAUUUUCUUUCAUUUUGUUGAUGCAGCAUCUCUCUGUUCUGUGUAUUGUUCUUUGUUUUAAGGUCAGUUUUUUUUUUUGUUGGUUUUCAAUUCGUUGAUCUAUGACUCUGUGUUUAGAUUUUCGUUCGUGUAUGAUUAAAUGGGUAUUGGGUUUUGGUGGUUGAAAAUAUGUUUUUUUCUUGCUUAUGCUUCUUGCUCAUUUUCCUGGGAUUUUUUGUUUUGAGUUGCAAGGGUAAAGAAAACACUGAAAUCUUAGAAAUCGGUUUUGGCAUUUGUGUUAAUGCAUUUCCAUUUUUGGUUUGCAGGAUAGGUGGAUGCAUUGAGACCUAAAAAUAUUUGCGUGAACAUCAUAAAGUUUUCUAAGGCUCCAAACGUUGAAGGGUAAGUGUUUUGAGCUAUGUUCAAUUUUUAAUUUGAUUCUCUACUGUUGGGGAUGCAUCUCUGAUCUCUCCGUUCUGUGUAUUGUUCUUUGUUUUAAGGUCAGUUUCUUCUUUUUUUUUUGGUUCUUUUUGUGGGUUUUUAGUUCGUUAAUUUGUGACUCUUGUGUUUAGAUUUUUCGUUGGUGUAUGAUUAAAUGGGUAUUGGGUUUUGCUUGUUAAAUCAAUAAUUGUCUUCUUGUUUAUUGUUAUAUAUUUAGUUUACAUGUUAAUUGACUCAAUUUCAGUAUUAUACCAUGUCUUUGUUUACAUAUUAAUGGAUUUGGUUGUGUUUGCAGCAAUCAAAAUGUCUAAAAGAAAAUUUAAGUCUCAAGAAGAAACAAUAUGUACCCCAACUGAUUGUAAUCUAGCACCUACAUUACAUCCAAGUGCUGUGCAACAAGAAAUACCAAGUCAAAUUGCUCAGCCCCAAGAUAUACCAACUCCAAAUGAGGUCGCUGGUGAGAUUAAGGAACCUGGGGGUGAUGAUGGUGAAGGUAAUAAUUCGAGACUUCGCAGUUUGGUGUGGCAACAUUACACAAGAACACUAGUUGAUGGGGUGAUGAAAGCAAUAUGUAAUUAUUGUAGCAAGAAGCUUGGUGGGAACACUGUAAAUGGAACCAGCCAUUUGAGGCAUCAUGUGACGAUAUGUCCACGUCGGAGACAAAAAAAAUUGAAGCAAACACUAACCCAAAAAGUAGGAGAUGGGAAAGUAGAGUUGUAUACAUUUGACCAAGAAAGUGCAAGGAGAGCUCUCGCCCAAAUGAUAAUAUUGCAUGAGUAUCCUCUUUCCAUGGUUGAGCAUGUUGGAUUUAGAAACUUCAUGAGUGUUGUCCAACUGUUGUUUAAGGUUGUUUCAAGAAACACAAUCAAGAGUGAUAUCCUCAAAAUAUAUGAUUAUGAGCGUUUGAAAACAAUGCAAUUGUUGGAUGAAAAUAAGAGUAGAAUUGCCAUAACUACUGAUAUGUGGACUGCAAGUAAUCAGAACAGAGGAUUUAUGGCAAUAACAUCUCAUUUUAUUGAUGACUCUUGGACGUUGCAGAGCCGAAUAAGGUGAUAUUUUUAAUACUUUAACUUCUAUUUAAUUGUUGUCUAGCUUUAGAUUUAUAUUUCAGAUUGUUUAUUGUAACCAUCUUCAUUGUAAUUUUUUUUCAGAUUUAUUUAUGUGCCUUGUCCGCAUACCGCCGAGACACUUUCAGAUGUUUUGAUGGAGUGCUUGCUAGAUUGGAACCUCGAUCGUAAGCUUUCUACCUUAACAGUAGAUAAUUGCACUACAAAUGAUAAAAUGAUUGAUGUUAUUCUUGAAAAACUUUCUGGUAGUUCACUUUUGUUGGGGUGGAGGGUUCUUUCACAUGCGUUGUUGUGCACAUAUAUUAAACUUAAUUGUGAAGGAUGGUCUCGAAGUGAUUGGUGGUGGUAUUGAGAAAAUUCGUGAGAGUGUUGUUUAUUGGACAACAACACAAAAAAGAAAGGAAAAAUUUGAGGAAGCAGCACGUCAGUUGAAGCUUCCAGGCACUAAGAAAAUGGUGCUUGAUUGUAAAACUCGAUGGAAUUCCACCUUUUUAAUGAUUCAAUCUGCUUUGAUUUACAAGGAUGUUUUCCCUCGUUUGAAACAACGAGAGUCGCAAUAUAAGUGUUUGCCUGAUGAUAGAGAUUGGGAGAUGGCAAGAGAGAUUUGUGAGAAGUUAAAGUUGUUUUAUAAUGUCUCCGAGUUGUUUUAUGGAACUAAGUACCCUACAACCAAUCUUUAUUUUCCAAAGAUUUGUGAGAUCAGGUUGUCGCUAACUCGGUUGCUUACCUCUAGACGUGAUGAAAUAAAAAAUAUGGCAAGAAGUAUGAUUGAGAAAUUUGAUAAAUAUUGGAGUGUGAUUCAUGGAAUAAUGGCUGUAGCUACUGUAUUGGAUCCAAGAUUCAAGAUGAGGCUGAUUGAGUAUUUCUUUCCGCUUAUGUAUGGGCAAUAUGCUUCGAAUGAAAUUGAUAAGAUUCGCAAAUAUUGUUAUGAUUUGAUAAAAGAGUGUGGAUCUAAUCAUAGUUCUAACAUGGGUCAUCAGCCAUCAUUCACUUCAUCUCAUUUGAAUCAAUCUGACUUUGAAGAGAUGAAUCCUUUAAUGGAUAACUUUGACUUGUUUGUUUCUAGUACUGUAAGUACUGAUAAUGAAAAGUCAGAAUUAGAUCACUAUUUGGAUGAGGCUGUUUUGCCUAGACAUCUGAUUUUGAUAUUUUGGGUUGGUGGAAAUCAAAUGGGACUAAAUAUCCUAUCUUAAGUGUUUUGGCAAGGGAUAUAUUAGCUAUUCCUAUAUCUACAGUUGCUUCUGAAUCAGCUUUCAGUACUAGUGGGAGAUUUGUAAGUCCACACCGUAGUAGACUUCAUCCAAAGACAUUGGAAGCCUUAAUGUGCGCCCAAAAUUGGUUGUGGAAAGAAAUUCAAGGUACUCCAAAGUAUUAAUUUAUUUUCAUCUUAUAUUUGUGCUGCUGUGCAUGUUCUUUAAUCUUAAUUUCGAACUUAUUUUUCAAACUUAAUUAAUUAGUAUGCAUUCAGUUUUUAGAACUAAUUUAAGUCUUCAAUUUCAUGUUUCACAACUAGCUUCUUGUUCUAAUGCACACGUUGGUUGUUGCACUUAUUUUGAAGAAAUGGAUAUGGAUGAGGUAAGUAUUGGCAAUUAUAUUAUAUGUAUAUAAAUAUCUUCUUUGUAGAUUAUAUGUGUACAACGAUUCAUAAUAAUUAUUUCGUCAUUUUCUUAAUAAUGUAGGAUUCAUGCUCCAUUGAUGGGUGUGAAGGAGGAGAUGCAGGAGCACCAUGAAAUAAUGAUGAUGGCAGCCUUGGCGGAACUAGAAGCAAAUUGCAUAUAUCUCGUUCUUUUGUCGUCAAUAUAUUAUUAUGUUUUUUGUAAUUGGAAGUCGGAUGAGUGGUUGGAUUCUUUACUGUUAGCAUAUAUUUUCAUCAUUUCAGCCUUUUUGCUGUGAAUUAUAUCUGGAUUUUGUUGCACUGUUUGGUCAGGUUUUGGGGGUUCCUUUAUUUGUUUCAUUCUCUGUCAUUUUCUUUCAUUUUGUUGAUGCAGCAUCUCUCUGUUCUGUGUAUUGUUCUUUGUUUUAAGGUCAGUUUUUUUUUUUGUUGGUUUUCAGUUCGUUGAUCUAUGACUCUAUGUUUAGAUUUUCGUUCGUGUAUGAUUAAAUGGAUAUAACCGAUAACCGAUUGAAAAUCCGUCACCCGGUGGAUAUGGUUAUGGAUAAUCCCCGAUUGGUUAUUUUACGGUUAUGGGUAUGGCUAAUUUUUGUGGUUAUGGGGAUGGAUAUUGCUUUUCCGUCCCCAAACCAAACCGUUGCCAUCCCUAGUAGAUUGUGACAGCCCGUCCCUAAUCUUAUGAGUUUUUAAAGUUUUAAUAAAGGAUUUUACAAAAUUGCCCCUUGAGGUACGCAUAUUUUUCGAGAUUAAUAGUCAUGUCGUGCCAUCUAAGAUUUGUUUUCUUGACAUAUCAUCGUAGUACUCGUCGUUACGGACGCGUGGGCGCAGACGGUUUGUGAUUUGGAGUUAUAUCGAAAAAGUUAUUGACGUUUGAAAUUUGGGAAUUUUAGGAAUUUUAAUUUUAGUAAAAUAUAGAAUUUCUUUUAUGAAAAUAGAUGGCCCAGAUUUAAUGAAGAAUUAAAUGGAUGGCUGGGAUGAGAGAAAGAAGAUUUUGUGUGUGUGUGUGUGCGUGAGAAGAAGAAGAAUCAGAGGAAAGAGAUUGGGCAGAAAUGCCCAAUCGGGAAAAAAGAGAAGAAUGGAUCAUGAGGGAGUGAGAGAGAGAGUUCAGCGAAUGGAGAGAAUAGAGAGAGAAAAAACGACCAAUCGGAACAUAUGACAGGAGGAAAUGAGGGAGAGAGUGGCGCGGGGGAUCGGCCGGAUCCCCCUUGGCCCAUUUUUGACCCGUCGGCAUCCAUGCCUAUUUUCGACGAUUUUCACCCGUUUUUCCGGCGAAUUGCUUCAAGAAACUUCAUAGGAAACACUCUAGGAGCCUUCCUCUAUCCAUUCCAUCUCAAAAUUGGAGAGAUUUGGCUUUGAAAAUGGAGAAAACCGCAAGGAGGGGUGCGGCGACUUUGGCUUCGAAUCACCCAAUCCCGAAGCAAUUUCUUUCAAUUGCCACCACCCAUAGCUUCCUCUUGAGGCCUAGAACAAAGCUCAAGCAUUGAUUGGAACGGCGGAGUUGAUUUGAAGACGAAUUGGAACUCACCCAAUUCUAGGGUUCUUCACGGUUUUGACGAAAUUGGAGCCUUUCCAGGCCAAAUUGGCCUUGGCCUUAGGUAUAAAGUUUACUCUAAUCGUUGGAUUUUCCGGCGAGCCGGGGAGGCCAACUGCCACCCGCGGCGGCCCAUGCGGCGGCACAUGGCCAGUGGCCUGCCAAUGUCAUUCUUAGCAUGUGUUUAAUGUUCUAGGUUCAGUUUUGAUAAUUGAUUGAUGUAAAUUGAGUAAUUGAACCUAAGUUAGUUACGAUCCGUGGUGAGGUGAAAAUGUGAAUUGACGAUUCGAUCGUCGGAUCGUCACCAAACUUUGAUACAUUGUAACACGUAAUAUUUGAGGAUUAUAGAAACUGACGGAUUGGGAAUCUGAUUUACGGAUCUUCCGGAAUUGGAGUUGUAAGUUCAUAAAAUAGAAUGUUAACUGUCACUUGGUUUUGACAAUUGGCGGAGAUCCGACCAUUGGAUGGUAAUGGAAUUUUAGGAUGUAGCUCUAGGGAUAUAUUGUGAAACUCUGGAAGUUAUGGAUUGGAAAUCUGAGUUGUAGAUCUUCCGGAUCGAUCUACAUAGUGACGUGUUUUAUAUAAGUUAUAUAUUCUAUCGAUAUGAUUUCUGAGGUUUGAUUUGAUGAUUGUUCUAGGCGCCGAUCGUCAUGAUGCCUUGAUGUAUUGUGCUAGGGAGUUGUAGGGCGAACUCCAGGUGAGUGGGCAGUAUUUUCUGUAUUUACCUAUAUACUACUGAAUUUCUCAGAAAUUGAAUUUAAAUGAAAGUUUAAAAUGCCAUGCAUGCAUAUUAUGAAUUAUAUGAAUUAGUAAUUGAUGCAUAUAUAUAUAUGUAAAUUGGUGUUGUGGACGCACAUGCGAGUAUCAGGUGAGUUUUAUGUUAUUUAUGUGAAUCAUUGAUGAUAUGAAUUGUGUUGAGAGCUCAUAACCUGCACCCCUGGUGUUAGUGCUUAUAGUAUUCACCGCACUGCACGCUCACCUUGGAUCCAAGUAGGUGCAUGUCGUACAGACCAUGAGAGGGUUCCGACAUGCUAGUCGUACAGACCACUAGAGGUGGUUCGGACUGGUAGGUGACCUUAGAUUAUGUGCACAGAUGAUUGAUGAGAGAAGCACUAGAGCGUAUUAUUACACCAUUCUUAUCAUACAGACUACUUUAGGUAGUUCCGAUUUAUGUGUAGAGUAGUGCCGUACAGGUCACAGUGGUGACUCCGGUUGGAUUGGAUAUUGAGCUAUAGAAUUAACCGAACAGGACCAACUGCAGGGUCUCCGGUUGAUUCCUUAUUCCACCUGUUAUAUUGAUACAUCUUUAGUAUGUUUUGAUGCAUAGCAUGUCAUAUUUUCUCGAAAAGUGUUAAAGACUUGUGAUUUGAGUUUUGAGAUUUUAUAUGGUUAUAUAUAUUAUAUUUUUUAGGAAAGUAUACAGGUUUUACAGCGAGGGGUUAGAAAUGUUUUAAAUAAAAUAUUUUCGAAAAACUUUGUUUUACUAACCCACUCAAUUUUGUUUUGCGCCCCUCCAGGUUCAAGUUAGCAGAGCUUUGGUGGCCACGAGGAAUCCAACGGUGUUCUGACAGAAUUCACAAAAGUAGGAUUCACCCCCGGGUGUUAUAUCUUAGUAAUUGUAUCUUUAAAGCUUCCGAACUGUGUAAAUGGUUACGUCACUCUCACAUGACGGCCAGCAUGCCCUCCUUCGGGACCGGGUGUGUCAAUAUGUCCCCUCACUCUUUCUUGUAAUUUUUUAUAAAGAGGGAUAAGGUGUAUGUCCUCCCUUUUUUUUUUCUAGUAAUUUGUUUUUCUUGUUUUAUAAGGGAUAAGUUUAUGUCUCCUUAACUAAGGGUAACCUUUUUUUUUUCAUAACAAUAAACUUUGCUCGUACUGCCGAGGUUUUUCAAUUCUUUCUUGUAAUAGCAAAGGAGACAACUUCACAUUUUAAAAGUAAAAUGAAAAAGGAUUUUUCCAUGCAAUAGGACAUUAUUACAAAAGUCGACCAUUUGUGUUUGCGUAGCCGUAAGCUACUACCAAACCAAGAAAUAGAAAAGGGCCAGUCAUUUUCUUAAGAUAACAUUAAUCUAUCUGAUCCAAGAAAGCCUUGAAAUUCUUGUUCGAAGACCCCCCUUCACUCACAGCCUCUCUUGCCAAAUCUUUCCAUUUCUUAGCAUUCCUUCUCAUCUCUUCACCAAUCUCCCCACUUCCCAUGACCAACUCCAAACACCUCUUGAACUCCUCACCCGUAACAAUCCCCUCCUCAUUUUGUGUCACCCUCAAUCCUGUCUUCCAAGUGUCUUCUAUCAACUUGGCAUUCGUCCCUUGGUCCGUCCACUGAGGAAACGCCACGACAGGCACCCCCGAAACCAGGCUCUCCAAACUUGAAUUCCACCCACAAUGUGUCACAAAGCAACCCAACGAAGGACUCGAGAGAACCGCCACUUGACUACACCAUGGCACUAUCCUCCCGAGCUCUUCUAAUUCCUCUCUGCAACUCAACAUCUCUUCUUCUUUCUUCGCCUCGUUAUCGUCUCCCUUCUUCUCGACUUUAUCUCUAAUAACCCACAAGUACGGACGGCCACAAUCCAACAACGCCUUCGCGAUUUCCUCCAUUUGGGCCUUUUCCAACACAGAAAUGCUUCCGAAGGAUACAUAAAUCACCGACCCUUCCGGCUUCGAGUUCAGCCACUCGAGGUACGAAGAGUCCUUUGAUUUUUGGAAAAGAUCGCCUCCAAAUGACUUGUCCGAUGGAACCUUGCUGUCCAAGGAAGCAGACCGAAUCAGUGGCCCGAUUCCAAUCAAAUUGUACUUGUCAAUUGCUUUUAAGGCUUCUGGCUCUAGCGCAUCGAACGUGUUCACUAGAAUGGUCGGAUUGGUUUCUCUCUCCAGCAGAUCCAUCUGUUCUUGAAACAACGGGAGGGCGAAAUUGUACGGAUUUGUAUCCACCAUGAAGGAGGGAAGGUCUCGGCUUGUGAGAGAUAAUGGCAAACCUGGUAAUUCUAUUGAACAUGGAAGGACAUCGUUCGUACCAGAACUAGUAUUAUCCCGGAUGAGAUCUUUGUACCCGUUAAAGUAAUAGUAGUAGAUGUCGAAAACUGUGGCUGGUUGAAUCCAAAGCAGUACGUUUUGGAGGUGAAGUUCAUACGCCACGUCCGCCGCCCAAGGGAGAAAUGUUGUGUAGACUAGGCAAGUGUAAGGGUGACCCUCGUUUGCACUUGAGACUACAAGGUCGGUGAUGGCUUGUGCUCCGCGGCGCCGCAGCUCCAAUGCGUAGUGGUCGUUGUUGUUGGUACGAUUAAACCCGUCGUCGUACCCAUCAGAGAAGAGUGAGUAGGUCAAUCCAUCUGGAAUUGAGUCAUUGCCUAUGCGGUGACGGGCGGAAAGGCAGGUAACGAAGGUGACAUGGGCGCCGGUAGUGUUGAUAAGACGCUUGGCGAAUUGGAGGGACGGGUUGAUGUGGCCUUGUGCCGGGAAUGUGACAAGUAGAAAGCGGUGUUGCACCAUGGCGGCGUAUGCGAUUGCGGAGUUGCGCGGUGGAGCGUGGAGGUGUUGGAAGUAGAAUAAGUAGGUACGUAAUUGAUUGGUAGAAUAUUUGUUUCUGUGGGCUUAUUAGCUGAGUGAAAUUGAAAUUCUUGUGGGAAUAUACAUUCAAGGUGGGGAGUGUGUUGAGAGGAUGUCAAGGCUUAAAUAGGGGUUUGGGGGUAGAAAGGUGACGUUUGUCGUGACGCAUUGAAGACGCUGGAGACGAAGCAAAGAUGAGAAGAAUACUUGUGUUUUGUGGUCUUCUCGAUCAUGCAUAAUAUUAUGAGUAAUACUAGGGAGGUCAUCUAUACUUAAAUAAAAUACUAUAUUUAUCACAUAUUUGUGUAUUGUAUCAUUAUUUGUAUCAUCUUUCUAAUAGAGAUAAGACCAGACCAAGUGGCCCUACAUCUAUUGAAGAGAUGAUACAAAUAUGUGAUAUGUGUAGAAAUCAUAAAUUUUAUAUCAUACGACGUGGCUAUUAAUGACACAUCACAUGAUUUACAAAUUUAAUGUAAAAAGUUAGUAUCCCUAACUUACUCUUUUCAAAUUCGCUUCAUCAAGUUUCUUAGCACAUCACGUGGACUAAAUCCAGUUUGAUGUGGUCAGAUAGACAAAUUAAGUCAUCGCCACAAAACUAAUCAAUACACAUGCGAGUGUUUGAUUUGUCUAGGUUAAUUAACUAUUGAUUCGAUCUGAUUUGUCUAGUUUAAUUAAUUAUUCAAGGCCGAGUGUUUGAGGCCAUGAAUAAUUGAGUUCGAACUAAACAGCCUAUACGGUUCAUCGUAGAUGUGAGCAACUCCACCUUGAGGGCUUGUCCUCAAUACUAGGAAAAAAGAAAACUAAGAACCAAGACACAAUCUGAUGGUGGCACGGUCCUUCACUCUAAAACUAAAGAACUAAAACUAAAAUAAGGGACUUGGAUCCUCUCCUAAGCUAGUGAAGAGGAUCCUCCUGACCAAGUGUUAUGGGCCGUUGGAUUUUCAUCUAACGGCUAUAAUUAUUAUAACUUUAAAAGGACCCACCUGUUUGUAGCCGUUGGAUAAAAAUUCAACAGCCCACAACACUUGGUCAGGAGGAUCCUCUCCAUUAGCUCAGGAGAGGAUCCAAAUCCUAAAAGAAGGACCAAAUUGUUUUCUCGUGGUCCUAAGCCGAAAGAAGGUAUGUUGAAAUAUCUAUCAUCGAUAGAAUAAGAAAAAAAGAGUUUAAAUAUCUUAAUUUCAUUCCAACUAAUAUCGAAAUCUUUUAUGAUAAAAACUUCACACCUGUCGAACUGUGUAAAGUAAUAAUUUAAAAAUGAAGACAAUAUCGAUAUUAUUGGAAGUACAUUUUUCGCAUGUAACAAGGCAAACACAUAUAUGCUCCAUGUGUCAUAAUUUAGUUCGAUAUGACCAGUAAAAAAAUAAGCAACCAUAUAGUUUUGGUGAAAUGGAAUAUGAAAUGGGCCCUACCGCGGGACUAAGACUCCUAAUCCUGCUACUAAUAAACACACAUAUGCUCCAUGUGUCGUAAUUUAGUUCGAUAUGACCCGUAAAAAAAAUAGGCAACCAUAUAGUUUUGGUGAAAUGGAAUAUGAAAUGGGCCCUACCACGGGACUAAGACUCCUAAUCAUGCUAAGAUUAUUUUAAAAGGAAAACUAAUGAAAAAUGCUUGAAAACUUUAAGUUUUAAUGAUAAGGACAAAAUAAAAGAUAAAGUGAAUAGUACUAGAAUUGAUUUUUUAGUGUAAAAAUAUGAUUUUUUGUUAAAGUGAGCAGUACAGGUGCUUUUCGUUAAAGUUCCCUAUUUUAAAUUCCUAAUCCUGCUAAGAUUCCUAGUCAAACUAAACUUCCCUAAUUAAGCUAGAUGGUUGUAGUAGUCUUCACUCAUGCAUGCAUGAUGAGUGCAAAAAUUCGCUUUCUAUUUCUAUUAAAUUAAGUGAAUAGCACAUAACAUGGACUAGUAGGUUUGACGUGGUAAGAGAGAUGAGCGAAUUUAGUGAGCACAAACCUGAUUAAUACACAUACAAAUUUGUGAUUUGUCUAGUUAGGGGCCUAAGGGCUAGGGGGCCGUUUAUCAUAUGCCAAAUUUGAUUGGUCUUGUUAAAUUUCAAGUAGACGGGUCAUGGGCCCACUCCAACAACAUCGAUAUUGUCCUUACUAGGCCACCCGCUCAAUCCGUCAGGUGUGGGGUUUUAAUACAAAAGACCUCGAUAUUAGUUAGAGUGGGGUAAUUUUAUUUAAAGGGCUUGUUCUCAAGCCUUCUGACCGAUGUGAGACAGAGGAAUUAUAACACUCCCCUGCACGUGAGACCCCAUUUUAUGGGUCACACAUGAAGUUCCACACAUCGGCAACCACGUGGAGCCAAGUCGGGGCUCACCCGUUCGUGCGAGGCCAAUGGGGACCCACCCAUUCAUGUUGCAUCUCUUGGCCUAUGUGGAGCCAAGUUGGGGCUCACCCGUUCACGCGGGGUCAAAGAGGACCCACCCGUUCACGUGGAUGUACGGGCCCAUCCCCUGGCUCUGAUACCAUCUUAAAUUUCAGGUAGACGGGUUAUAGGCCCACUCCAACAACACCGAUAUUGUCCCCACCAUGUCAAAUUUCAGAUAAAUGGGCCAUGGGCCCACUCCAACAACACUGAUCUUGUCCCCACUUAGCCACAUACUCAAUCUAUCAAGUGUGGGGUUUUAAUAUAAAAGGCAUCGGUAUUAGUUAGAGUGAGGUAAUUCUAUUUAAAGGGCUUGUUCUCAAGCUUUCUGGCCGAUGUGGGACAGAGGAAUUCUAAUAGGUCUAGCUGCAUCACACUAAAAUUGAUUGGUCUAGCUUUAUGAUACUAACUUUCCUUUAUCAACAAUGAUCAUUAGACACACAAAAUUAACCAUAUUGAUGACGUAUUUUAUAGUAGAGGCAAGUGUGCCAAAAAGUAAAAAAGUGUGGCAUGACCAUUGUCACCCUUUUAGUAAUAGCUACCUUAGCAACGUCACUCUUGCUCUGUGGUUAUUGCCCUCUUUUCUCGUAUUGGCCUAUGUUAAAGAGAAUAUAUCGACUAUGUGACCAAUUUUGUGUCCUAAAUAGUGUUACUGGGUCUUUAUUGUUAAAGCUAUUUUUGUUAAACAAAUUUGACAUUCAUCUAUUUCUUUUUCGUUUUGAAUAAGCAAUGUCCUACACUGUUAUAUUGUUAGGUUUUAUUGACCCUAAAAAUUACAAGAUGUACAUGGCGCGCAGGCCGAACAACUAAUGAGUUAACUACGUCCUUCUUAUGAAUGCAGGCUUACCAACUCACGACCGAGACUAAUUGGGUGAGUAAAAUAGAUGUGGUGGUGGUGUUGAAUGCAUUGCUGACUGCUACGCUUAAGCAACUACGACCGAGGAAAUAACGCCUCUCAGCCUAGGGUUCUAGACCCUGAAGACAAGGUUACUUAAUUCAUUGAGAAGUUCAGCAUCUUCUCACCAAAUUCGAUACCUACAACUAUAUUCGUGAGAGUAUAACUACGCUGAAUCGGUAUCAAGCUGUAAAGACAAAUAUACUCAAAAGAAACGAGUGUCUUUAUGGUGAAUGUUGUUUGGUUGUCGGAAUGACGAACUCUGAAAUGUACUUGCGAGUAACCAAUCAUAGACACCUCACUUCGCUGGGGAAGCUAAUGAAGUGGCAUCUUUCGGUGAAGGAAUCAAAGAUUCUUCAUCGGCUGAGACUUAGAUAGGUAACCAACCGAACUAGAAGUAGUGAUAUUUAAACAAACUGAAGGUAUUCCUAGGUCGACUAGUCCUACGACUCCAGUAAUGUCCACCCGAACUGAAUAUGUUGUCAGUUUGCGAACCCAAUGAUGUUCGAUUUGCCAACCAAUGAUGUUCCAACGAAAUGAAUAUAUGCAGAUAGAGGGGUUAGAAUAAUUAGUAUUUUUUUUUCAAGUUGUGACAAGGAUUUCAUGUAUUGUUGGAAUUUAGGAUUAUUUUAUUGUUUGAAUUUGGGCGUAGCCAAUUAGUAUUAGGGUUUCGUUUUCUUGCUUAUUAGGGUUAGGUUAGUUCUCUAUAUGUAUGAUGCUUUAUAGCUCGUAGAAUAAGUAAUUCACAAUGUAGUAUCUUGGAGUUUUGUAGCUAUUUUGGCAUUCUCCUUUCUUUAAUAAUAUUCUUAUUAUUUUGUAAUCUUGUUUGUUGAGCACUCUGAUAUUCAACUUGGUAUCAGAGCAGGUUUGAUCAUUCGGGGUAUCCAUGUUGUUUGUUUGAUAUUAGUUUUCAGUAUUCGUUUUGAAAAGAAAAAAAAAUUUGAAUAUGUUUGCUCGAAACCAUUCCCAGAUCCGUACAUACCUGAAGCCCUGAACCGUACCCGCAAUCGUUUCCUCAUCAGAUCACCACCACGCUACCACUAGAACCACCUGCUACAAAUCCGACUGAAUCUGCACCUCGCCUGCUUGAAACAUCGCGCCACCAUUUUCUUGAACCCAUUGCUGUAUUCUCUAUCUUUUGUAUCCACCGCCGCUGAACCUUCUGUUGUCCACCGCUGUGCUUGUUCCGAUUCCUUUCCCAACGAUUUGAUCACCUGCACCAUGAUCAGACGAAUUCAUCACCAUCCACCCAUGUUGCCGCUGCAAUCAAGAACUCUGCUGAUCCGUAUUCAUACCAUCACCCAAAUUCAACUAACCCAAGAUUGCAUGCCCGCUGCUCAUCACAUCCUUGUUGCACUGCUGCUCGACCCUGUACUCCGCUUCCGUCGUGAACCCACUAAGCCACCGCGACAAUAGAAUCCCAUCGCCACUGCACUUGCAUCAACCCCAUCUGCACACUGCCUCUGUAACUAGAAACCUAGCACAUUUGCCAUUUGAAUGGAUUGUUUGUUUGUUUGCUUGAAUCGCUUGCCUUGUCGUGUCCGCCUAAUGGAGCUUACCUUGUCGUGUCCGUCUAACGGAGCUUGUCUUGUCUUGUCCACCUAACGGAGCUUGCAUCCGCAUCUGCUUGUUGGCAAACUCAUUACGUGUAUCGCCAUGAGUUUGACGGGGGGUGUUGGAAUUUAGGAUUAUUUUAUUGUUUGAAUUUGGGCUUAGCCAGUUAGUAUUAGGGUUUCGUUUUCUUGCUUAUUAGGGUUAGGUUAGCUCUCUAUAUAUAUAAUGCUUUGUAGCUCAUAGAAUAAGUCAUUCACAAUGUAGCAUCUUGGAGUUUUGUAGCCGUUUUGGCAUUCUCGUUUCUUUAAUAAUAUUCUUAUUAUUUUGUAAUCAUGUUCGUUACACACUCUGAUAUUCAACUCGUAUAGUGUUUGAGUUGUUUUGACUUAAAGGGGGUUUUUCACGUUGUAGAACCUCUUGUAUUUAUAGGACGACAAUACUUUGGUUGAUAGGUUCCAAAACCAAUUCAAACUGCAGCACGCUCUUUGAGCUUUAUCCCAUUUUACUUGCUAGUUAUAUCCGAUGCUUAAGUCUAGUCUAGCUAACAUCUCAUGAGAAACAACUCUAAUUUGGGGCCAUGUGCAUGAUGAAGGCCUACUUCCCUCCUAAGAUGGGACUCUAUCAUUAGUUACAAGGACGAUAGAGUUCCAAACCUAUCCACAUAAGUUAUAAAUCCCAAACCUAUUGGAUGUGCUGCUCACCGUGCCCAUCUUAACAAUCAUAUCUUCUUUUAAUUUGUAGAAUGGGAAAGCAAUCACACUGCCCAUAAUCUUCAAAUGCAGCAUGUGCUUCAAAAGAGUCCAUCAACUACUGAAGCUUUAUUUUUGCUCCUAUUCCAUCGUCAGACCGCGGUACACUAAAUGAUAGGAUGAGACAAACCUGUAGUUGUGUUGAAGGAGUCUGUCAGCUUUGCUUUUGUUGCUGUCAAAAUAUUUUUAAUAAACGCUUCAAGAUAAUUAUUUUGAUGAAAAUCAACGAUAAUAUCUUAAAGAAGUUAAAUUAAAAUCUCUUAAAUCUCUCUCAUACGGCCGAAGUUUUCAGAAAUAAAAAAAAGUUAAUUAACAUCUCUUUAUUCUUAGAGCUAUCAAACAAUCUAAAAUUUUGUUCAUUCAACAACCUUAAUUGUACCAGACCGAUAGUUUAAUAGUGGGUCCAACCUUGUUUACUCUAAAAGACAGAAUGAAACUGUGAAUAGCAUGAGUGCCUCGCAACCGGUUUACCAUCGACCACAAGUAAUCAUUUGCAUUUCUUAGGAUGCUAAAACAAACAAGAAUAAAACCAAAAUAUAAAUCAGAUGGCAACGUCAUACUGCAUGGUUGCCUCUUGGUGUAUAAGCCAAACUACAGAGAAAAUAUUGGAAUGUUCUCUAUUCUCGAACAUAUAAAAAAACGUCAUCCAUGACGAUAUCUUAAAAAUCAGAUUGCAACCAAAAUUUAAAUAAUGUCUUUUAGCUUGUCUUCUGAUUGCGUAUCACGAAAAAACAUUACACCUCACAGCAAAUGAAAUUUUAGCACGUGUGUAUUCAUUCUGAAUAACGCCAUAAGAGUUCAAAGUUUAAAUGAGGGAUUCAACCAGGUUGUGCAAGACAAGAAAUCUUCUGUAUUUAUUUUGUGUGUAGCUUUUUUUAUAGUUUUUAUUCUUGAUCGAUUGACACAUGUUAAAAAGUUUAAUCUUUCUUAACUUUAUUGUCUUAAAUUUAACAUGUAUUAUUUAAUAAUAGAGAUCAUAGACAGACCAGACACAAAAUAAAUGUAGAAGAUUUGUUCUCGUUGAGGAGCUAAGCACUCAAGAUUAUCUAAAGGGAUGACGGAAGGAAAAAUAGUUAGAAUUAGGACAAGUAAAUGGUGCAGUUUUUCCAAUGUGGUAAAAAAAUACAAAAAUGGUUACGAUUAUAAUAGAUAAAUAGUUUGUUGACCAUUUGCAUGCGUAAACAGUUGAUCCUGAAACAUCUCAACAAUUAAAUCUAGAGAACUUUAACAAAAAGUUCCUGCUACUGUUUAUUUUAACGAAAAAUCACAUUUUUACACUAAAAAGUUAAUCAUGGUACUAUUCACUUUACCCUUUAUUUUGUCAUUAUCUUUAAAACUCAAAGCUUUCAAGCCUUUUUCAUUAGUUUUCCUUUAAAUCUAAGCUGAAGAGGUAGAUGUUGUGGGUCUUCAUCAGUCCAUUAGCAAGGUCAAUGCGUCCGUUGGCAAGGUCAGUGCGCCUACUGGCCAAGUCCAAUGGCAUACAUGCCUAAUGCCUUCUUGGUAUCUAUGAUUAUAUUGAAAUAGAUAAUCAUCUAAAUUAAAGAUAUAUAGAGGUAGAGGGUACUGAUUCUUCAUUUUGAAUGAAUUAGAAGGGGAUCAGACAUAAAGGAAAAUUCUUUCUUUUAAUCCUACUACAUUUUUAGAAACGAUUGAAAUGAAUAAGCUUUUCUUCUCGAGCAAUUCAUCUCUUACUUUCAAAUUUGUCACAUAUUUUUCAUUUAUUCAUUCAGCUUACCUUAAAAAUGAUAACUUAUGUAUUCCAAUUCAUUUCUCUGUACCAAACAAGGCUAUAGUUCUCAACUUAAGAAAUGCUUAGGGUCGACUCUCUCAAAGUAGGACUCUCAUAUAUUUUUUGUCACCUCACUGUAACGUCAAUUUCUAUACCAACAUUAUAAUACUAUGCUAAAAGCAUAAAAUGACAGAGAGUCUAUGAAAAAUCUCACGAGUCUCUUUAGCAUUUGUGAUAGUAACUUAUUAAACCAUUAAGAUUACUGUUGUCUCUUUAGCAUUUUUGACUACUGUCAGUUCUUCCCUUUACCUCGGUGGACACUCAAAAUACUUUUUCUUUUAGGAUAACUAAUAAAAAUGAUUUGAAAACUUUGAGUUUUAACGAGAAUGAUAAAAUAAAGGGUAAAGUGAAUAGUAUCAAGAUUAACUUUUUAGUAUAAAAAUAUGAUUUUUCGUUAAAAUGAAUAGUACCAUGAGCUUUUCAUUAAAAUUCUCUUUUGUUUUUGGGGCAAAGUGGACACCCAAUUAAAUCCAAGUAUGUGACUAGAGCAAAGUUCCUGUGGUAUUUUUCUCAACAAGGCCUUUGGUUUCUUGUGUAAGAGAGAGGCUGUAGACAGAUGGAUGUCUCCUUCCGUUUCUUUUGAGAGCACUAUUUGAUGCCACUAAUUAUCCAUUGAGGCUCCUUUUUGGAUAAAAUGUCUGGCCCCAGUAGGAUGAGAAUCUUUUCCGAGUUUUUUUGUGAAGGUUAUAGGAAUCCUCAAAUCAUAUUCGUUUAUCAUAUAUUAUGCGAUAAAAAAUUAUUUUAAAUAUUUUUAUUUAAAAUUAAACAUGAACAGUAUUUGAAGAAAACUGACCACACAAUAUACGAUGAAUAUACAUAAUUUGAGGAUCCCAGGAUCCUUACAAAGGCGAUCCGGAGAAGAUCCUCAUUCGCCCCAAUUAUCCAAUUUGAUAAAAGUUGACAGAAUUUAACAUUUAAGAUCAGUUGAAGGAGAAAUUUUUGUUAAUAUUUUAAGUGUCAUAAUAUAAGUAGUUGGAAAAAAAAAAUUUCAAAUAUUCAACCAGUAUCCAACCACAUCUAUUAUGACAGUGAGUAUAUAUCAAAUUGGAUACUGGUUGAAGGCUGGAACAUUGUCAGUUUUGUACUAGCUGAAGUUCCCAGACUCGGGUUUUAUUGAGAUUGCAAAUGCAAUUUUUUUCUGAUUUUGUUAUCGUCUUGAGACUUGUCCAUAUACAAUUAUCUUUGGACGUUUUCUCUUAUAUGUUUCUCGAUAUCCCUGGUACAUGAAGGUUUCCAAUCCAUAAUAUACUUUGGUGGCUGAGAUUUUAGGGUUCCAACCUUUCCUUGUUAUUUUAAAAAACAGGCGUUGCGUCCACUUCAAGGGUGUAACAUUUUAUUCACUCAGCGUAAUUCAAUCACCGUAAAUAUGUCAUGAUUUGAACUGUUCAAUAUUUUAAUUAUGAUUUAAGAUAUCUUAUGAUGUUGGUACCAAUUACUAUUUCAGUUUUGUUUCACUUUGUUAUCUAAAAAAGUUCAUGCUUUGAGGAACAAAAAUUCAUUUUCGAUUUUAAUCAAAAUAAUCUUGGAAAUGUAGAACAAUCAUGCUUUGAGGAACAAAAAUUCAUUUUCGAUUUUAAUCAAAAUAAUCUUGGAAAUGUAGAACAAUUUAGCUUAUGGGCUUUACAAACGUGUUUUAACAAAAUAAUCUUGGGAAGUUUUUUUAUUAUUACAAAUCAUAAUUUUUAUACACAAAAAAUGGACAAAUGAGUACCACAAUAAUCUAGAGAAUUAGAAUAAUAUCUUAUAUGUUGUGGUCUAUAUUUAAUUGACAAGGGAAGGGAGCCGGCGGCACAUAGAGACAAUAGAAAUAGAUGUAUUUGUAGGAUUGUGUAGAAGAAUGUGUGUGUUAUUCUCCCUACGCAAUGCCUUUAUUUAUAGUAAUAAGAGAGAGAAGAAAUCCUUCUCCUCCAAGAAAUACAAGUCCUAAUAGGGAAGAAUAAUAAGAAUCAAAUCUAAUAUAGGAUUUACACAAUCACACUUAAAUAAGAAGUUUAUAACACUCCCCCUUGAGUGUAUAAAUGCUCAAGUAGAUUCGGCAUCAUGUAGAGCUUGAGGAAGUCGACUCGUCGGCACUGAUUCUUGGAACAUGUUGUUCUCAAUAAGGUAGGAACUUGCAUAAGUAAGUAAGUCUCACAAAAAACCCUAAGGCUAUAGUAAAAACCCAUAGGGACAAAAUCCAUAGUCUAAGGAAAAAUGCGUGAGUAAUGCAAAGUUAAAUGAAACAUCUACGGGCAGUGGCGGAUCCAGGAAAUAAUGUUUGUGGGGUCAUAGCGCGUGCAGCGCGAAAUUUUUUUUUAGCCUCGUUUGGUAUUUCGGACUGUACUGACUAUUUCAGUCGGAUAGGAUAAAUAGUCGUCGGAUAGUACUAACUACAUUAGUCGGGCGUUUGGUGCAGUGUCGAAUUAAUCUGUGCAUUGAACAAUACUAAAUUUUUUUAAUAAUUUUUAACAAAAUAAUUGGUGUUAAAAUGAAAAAACUCACAAUAUAAACAAAUCAUCAAUAUAAUCAAAAUAAAUAUGAAUUGAAUUUCAAUUAAAUUAAAUAUAUUCUACAUAUACAAAAUAUUCAAAAUAAAUACUCACAAUAUAAACAAACCAUCAACAUAAUCAAAAUAAAUAUGAAUUGGAUUUCAAUUAAAUUAAAUAUCUCAUCUUGCAUUCUACAUAUAAAAAAUAAUGAAAAUAAAAACUCACAAUAUAAACAAAUCAUCAAUAUAAUCAAAAUAAAUAUGAAUUGAAUUUCAAUUAAAUUAAAUAUAUUCUACAUAUACAAAAUAUUCAAAAUAAAUACUCACAAUAUAAACAAACCACCAACAUAAUCAAAAUAAAUAUGAAUUAGGGUUGGAGGAGGAGGAGAAAACAAAAGAAAUUUGGGGGUUUUAGAAAGAAGGGAUUCGGAUCUGUGCAAAAUAGGGCUGAUAGGACACACUGGGUAUUUUUUUGUUUGUUCAGACCUGCCCAGGACACGCUGGGCAUUUGUUUUUUGUUCAGACCUGGCCCAAAACGACGUCGUUUUGGCCAGGUCAUUUAAAAAAAUUUCCUGGGCCAAAACGACGCCGUUUUGCUCGUAUGUUUUGAAAAAAAAGAAGCGCGCAGCUUCUUCUUCCUCUUCCUGCAGUGCCGAGCUUCGUUCAGGAUUUUUGUCGAACACUUGGCGUGCGACUCCGACCCCGACGACCCCGACGACCCCAGCUCCAAGAGGUCGCGUAUGGGAGCUUCAAGGUUGUUUCCAUGGUUUCCAAGGGGUCGUGCGACCCCGACGACCCCACUGUGGAUCCGCCCCUGUCUACGGGAUGUCAUCAGAGAUAUGAUCAACGCAAGGUGGGUGCCUCGUCAAAACCUCAUUAGGUAGCAAAAACCCUAUGGGAAAAAUGCUCCUAAUCAUAGGGAAAAAGAGUACAUUAAGAUUAAGUAAGUAUACUUCAAGAUACUCCCCUUGAGUUUGACACAAUUCCAAAGAGAAUUAGCAAUGUUACAACUCAGAAAGUUUACGCAUACCAAUUCCUUGAACAAGCUUCUGAAAUGUCACAUUCGGUUGUGAUUUGGUGAAGAGGUUGGCUAGAUUGUCUUGUGAACGGAUUUGUGUGACUUCAAUCUUCUGAUGCUCUUGCUGUUGAUGUGAGAAGAAGAACUUAGGCGCAAUAUGCUUGGUGUUGUCUCUUUUGAUGUAACGCUUCUUGAGCUGUUCGAUGCAUGCUGCGUUGUUUUCAUAGAUCGUCGUCUAGACAUCAAUGACAGGGUAAAGAUCGCAGGAGCUUCGAAUAUAGCCCACAACUGCUCUCAACCAAAAGCAUUCCCGAUUUGCUUCGUGUAAGGCGAGAAUUUCAGCAUGGUUAGACGAAGUGGCAACUAAGGUCUGUUUAGUUUACCUCUAAGAGAUUGUGGUGCCUCCAACGGAAAAGACAUAGCCCGUUUAAGAAUGCGCAUUUUGCAGAUCAAAUAAGUAUCCUGCGUCGGUAUAACCAACAAGGCGAGAAUCGACUCGAGAUAAGGGGGUGAGGCAUCAUUCAAGGAUCUAUAGGGAUAUAAUAAAUUCAGAUAUGUAGUACGUUUAAGGUAGCGGAAAAUCUCUUUAACACUAGUCUAGUGUCUACAUGUUGGUACAUUAGUGUAUCUUGCCAAAAAAUUAACAGCAAAAGAGAUGUCGAGUCUAGUGCAUUGAUCUAAGUACAAUAAAGCGCCUAUUGCAUUUAAAUAAGGAACUUCAGGCUCCAAAAUCUUUUCAUCAUCCCCUUUCAGACAUAAGGGAUCUCGUUUUGCAUUUAGCGAUCGAACGACCAUAGAAGUACUCAAAGGCUUCGCUUUAUCCUUGUUAAAGCGGCGCAACACCUUCUGGGUGUAGCUCGAUUUAUGUACUAAAAUUCCACCCAAACGGUGCUCUAUCUCGAGACCGAGACAGUAUCGAGUAUUUCCUAGAUCUUUCACCUCAAAUUCCGACUUCAGGUGCGCAACAGUUCUCGCUAGCUCUUCAAGAGUUCCAAUGAGAUUCAUGUCAUCGACAUAUACUGCAAUUAUCGCAAAAUCGGGAUGUGACUUCUUAAUGAACACACAAAGGUAUAAUUCGUUGUUCACAUAUCCUUGACUAGUCAAACACUCACUCAAACGUUUAUACCACAUUUUUCCGGAUUGCUUCAAACCAUAGAGUGAACGCCUCAGCUAAAUUGAGAGCGUGUUUCGAGGUUUGGAAAUAUUUGAUCCAGUCAAUGUAAGUCAUUCGGGAACUUUCAUAUAAAUUUUCAUAUCAAGAUCCCAAAAGAGAUACGCAGUUACUACAUCCAUCAGAUGUAUACUCAGUUUUUCGGAAACUCCCAAACUGAUAAAGUAGUGAAAAGUAAUCACAUCUAUAACGGGUGAAUAAGUUUCGUCAUAGUUAAUCUUAGAGCGUUGUGAGAAGCCUUGCGCAACAAGACGAGCUUUGUAACGUAUAAUUUUGUUCUUGUCAUUAUUCUUCCGAACAAAAACCCACUUGUAGCCAAUGAGCUUCAUAUGUGGAGGAGUAGGAGCUACAGGUCCAAACACCUUACGUUUUGCAAGCGAAUCGAGUUCGACUUGGAUUGCUUGUUUUCAGUUUGACCAAUCGGUUCUACAUCGACAUUCAUCAACAGAACAAGGUUCAAUGUCAUUGCUCAACAUGAUCUUAAUAGCUACUACAUAUACUAAUGUAUCGUCGACGAUCAUCUCAUUUCUACACCAAACAUCAUCCAAGCUGGCAUAACGGAGUGAAAUCUCAUGAUUCUCAGGAGGUGGAUUCGUUUUUUCAAGGACGCUUCCCUAAUCUAGAAUUUCCUCGUAAGUUGGAUAAAAUGAGUAGGCGACAGUUGGAUUCACGGUAAGUUCUUCAGGUCCAUGUGCCUUAGGUUUCCUUUUCCAGGGGUGUGAAUCCUUUGAACCAAAUGGUCUACCAUGCUUUUGUGUAGGGGUAGAUGAUUGGCUAGCCAUUAAUGUACUUUUGGUACAUCCAUCUUUGCAAGCACAUUUGCAGUUGGAAUAUGUGAUCUUGUCACUCGCGCUAGAUCGGUGAAAGCAUCUGGCAUGCUUUGAGCUAUGCUCUGGAGAUCUAAUAUGUGUUGCACUUCAGUCUGAGAUUGAGUGGUGCAGAGAUUUAAAUGAGACAAAGUGGGAGUCGUCCAUAACAAUUCGCGUCAUUUUUCAGGAACGUUGACGUUCUUAUCUCCCCCUAAUGACGGGAAUACUAUCUCAUAGAAGUGACAAUCCGCAAAACGAGCGGUAAACAGAUUGUCUGUCAAAGGUUCUAAGUAAUGAAUAAUCGAAUGAGAAUCAUAUCCGAUAUAGAUUCCCAUUAUUCGUUGAGGCUCCAUUUUUGUACGUAAGGGUGACGAAAUCGGCACAUAGACCACACAACAAAAAACACGCAAAUGUGAUAUGUCAUGUUCGUAUCUGAUAACCAACUGAAAUACGCUAUAUGGCUGGGUCAUAACAGGCCUCAGGCGAACCAACAUGGUUGUGUGCAAUAUUGCAUGGCCCCAAGCAGCGAUCGGGAACUUAGUACGUAUGACCCACGAUCGAGCAAUCAUUUGUAAACGCUUAAUGAAUGCCUCUGCCAAGCCGUUCUAGGUGUGAACAUGGGGUACUGGAUGUUCAACUUCAACCCCAACCAACAUGUAAUAGUUAUCAAAAUUUUUAGAUGUGAAUUCUUCAGUAUUAUCAAAUCGAAUUGAUUUGAUCAAAUAAUCAGGGUGGUAAGCCCCGAGCUUGAUAACCUAAGCCAACAGUUGGGAGAAUGCAGCGUUCCUUGUAGACAACAAGCACACGUGUGACCAACGUGUGGAAACGCCAACCAAAAUCAUAAAAUAUCUAAAUGGUCUGUAUGGAGGGCGAAUCGGUCCACAAAUGUCCUCCUAAAUCCUUUGUAGAAAAUAGGAAGAUUUAAACAAUUUUGUCAUAAGAAGGCUUAAUAAUAAGCUUUCCCAUAGAAUAGGUUUGACAUGCGAUUCCUUGAAUCGAACCUAAACGUUGGGUUAGUAUAUGCCCGUGUGAUGAUUUGAGGAUAUGGCACAUCACUAUUCGUCUAGGGUGUCCCAAACGAUCAUGUCAAAGUGUAAUUUCGUGUGCGGUCCCAGAGAUAGGAUCGGUCACAUAGUGGCUUUCUAUAGGGCGUAUAAUCGUAGUAUACAAACCACUUGGGAUACGCUCCAUCUUCUCUAGAAUAUGCUUCUGACCAUAUUCGUAAGAAGUUAUGCACAGAAAUUCAACUCUGUUUUCUACAUAGGUUUCAGCGUGGUAAUUAUUAUCUCUAAUGUCCUUGAAACUCAACAACUUUCUUCCGGAACGUGGAGAAUAGAGUGCCUCAUCAAUGGUCAAAAUUGUACCAUUGGACAACAUUAUACGUGCCUUACUGUAUCCUUUGAUCAGGUUGGUUGGGCCUGAGAUGGUUGUCAGAGGUGCAUUCUUAGAGCAAGUCCACCCCUAAGGACUUUGCGUCAGCACCCAACGCAUUUAUCCACUCAAGUGAACAGUAAUAUACUGGAGUGAACAGUAAUAUACUAGAGUGAACAGUAAUAGGCCAAGGCAUCUCCACCCCUAAAAAAAUGCGCUGGCACCCAGCGCAUUUAUUUGGUGUGUUUUUUUUUUUUUUUAAGUUUAUUUUAGAUAAGAUUUUUAACCAACUUCAGAUAAAAUUUCAAAUAAACUUAAAAAAAAAUACACACUAAAAUAAAAUUACAUACUCAUCAAAUAAACUAUAAAAAAAACACACUAAAAUGAAAUUACAUAAACUCAUCAAAUACACUUUAUUCUUCAACCACAAGUUUUUUGGUAUUUUUUUUUCACACAAAAAGUAUAUGAAAACUUUGGUAGAAAGUGUAGAAAAUAUUGAAAUAUGGUGUAAGGUGGAAGGUGAGAGUUAGGUAUUUAUAGAAAAAAUAAAUAUUUUUUUUAAUAUUUUUUGUAUUUUUUAAUAUUUUUUCUGUAUUUUUUAAUAAAUUUUAAUUUAGUUAAUUAACGUGGACCGUUGAUUUGUGAUCGGAUAGUCUAUUUUAAAAGUAAAAUUUAAAUUUUUUUUACCGUUGGAAAUCCAACAGUCUAGAAAAACUAGCCGUUGGAAAUCCAACGGCUAUGAGCAUGCCACGUCACUGAUGGGAUCCAGAGCACAAGUGGGCUGACAACCCCUCUGUAGCCUUUCGGCUACUCGCGCCCAAGCACGCUUGUCGUGCACGCACCAGCCAAAUAGGUCGGCUUCUUGGUCUAUCAAAAUUGGGUUGGCCUGUUGCCUGGCAUGGGCUGGGUGCUAGGCAACUUUGUGGGCUGAAGCAAUUUGACUGAGGGCCAGGCUGUUUUUUGUGUUGGGGGCUGGGCAAAGCAAGCCUCGGUGGUCUUGCUCUUAGGUAUGAAGUUAGUGAAAUAGAUAUGUUCACGCAAAACAGUAUGCGUGGUUACACUAUCUGCUUGACAACCAACUUUCCCACUAGUCAUACCUAGAAUAAAAAUUAAUUUGAAUUGGUCACAUGCAUAAAGUUCUUAAAACAAAUAUCCAAAAACAAAUCACCAUCAAAUAAUCCAAACAUAAAGGAAAGUUGUCCAAAAUUAAACCAAAAACACAAGGGGGUUCGGCCCCUAGGUGGAAUUAUUCGGCCCCAUUGCCUAAAUUUCAACUAGAAAAUAGUUUAUGUCUAAGAUUCUAAUCUUCCAUAAGGGUAAUAACCUCUUGAAAGUUAGAAACCUUCAUCUUUGUACUUUCUGGUUCAUCCACUUGCACAACCUUCUAGGGAGCUCGGCAAACAUGGGACCAAUGGCCAUUUGAACCACAGCAAUAGCACAUGUCCUCAUCCAUGGUUUCAAGUACUUUACCCUUAUUCUUGAAGUUUAGGGUCUUGGGUGCUAGGUUAAGGCGUUUCUGGGCUCUGUUUCCUCCCUUAGAUGGGCCUUAGCUCUGUUGACCUUAACGGGGUGGCUUCUGGCUGCCCCUACCAGGUUUAUUUUGGCAUUUUGGGCAUUUGUUUGUGCUAUGGUUUGCUUCAGGCACAAUAGUCACCCUAGUAGCUCGAGUUUGAUGAUUUUUCAUUAGCAGCUGAUUCUGCUUUUCAGCUAGAAGUAAAACAUAAAUCAAAUAUGAAAACUUAGUGAACUUCUGAGCCCUAUCUUGUUGCUACAGGACAAUAUUAGUAGUAGAGAAGGUCGAAUAGGUCUUCUCCAGGAGAUCCUCUUUGGUCAAGGUCUCGUUACAUAACUUGAGAAGUGAUCGGAUUCGACAAACUUCAUAAUUAUAUUCAUUCACAGACUUAAAGUCUUGGAAGCGGAAAUGCUGCCAGUCAUGUCUUGUUUCAGGCAAGAAGAUGUCCUUUUGGUGAUCGAAACGAUCGGCCAAAGCGACCUAGAGUGCUCGUGGAUCCUUCUCAACAAAAUACUCGGUUUGCAGUGGGUCAUGAAUAUGUCUUUGAAUGAAGAUCAUGGCAAUGGUUUUCUUAGCUUCGCCAACUGAGUUAUCCAUCUCAUCUUCAAUGGUGGGACACAAAUUCUUUGCAGUGAGGUGGAGCUUCACAUCUUGGACCCACAUGAGGUAGUUUUUUCCAAUAGACCUCCAAAGUGGUAUAGUCGAGUUUGUUCAAAUUUGACAUGUUCUUAUCACAAAAUAGAUAGGCAAGAUGUGGUUAGUGUAAUGGUGAAAAAAUCAAUCCAUUCACAUUGGUUUAGAACAUUUAGGUUCUAAUAGACAUGUAUUGGUUUAAAUUCGCAUGAAAAAAAACUUCGGGUUUUCAUGGGUGAUGUUUUUAAGAAAAACUUCAGGUUUUCAAACAAGGCAUGUUUUUAGAAACUUCAUGUUUCGAAAUAAUUAUGAAUUUCAUGUUCAUAUGUUCCUGUAGAUAAACACAAAUAUAUAUAGAGAAAUAUGUAACAAGAAAAUAUGCAAAUAGAACUUCAUGUCUAUAAAUUAUAAUAAAAUUAAUUAUUUGGACUUUGGGCCAAAUUUGAAUGUGUGGGUGAAAAUUUAUAAAACCCAAAUUGUCUAAAAAAUUAAACAAUUAUUCGGGGUCCAAAAACAGGGACCAUAAACCCAUAGGUGGGUUGAGUGAAUUUGUACCGUGGUCCAGGCCCAAAAAUUGGGCUGGGGUUAGGCACCGACUAAUCGGUCCCCAAAAUAAAUUUGGGUUGUGGGCCCAGUAGCGGCAAGGGGUUGCAAGAAGACCGGGCCUAAAGCAUAGGACCAAACAGGGUGCUGAUCAGGUGUAGUGGGAAACAAGCUAGGGCUGUAAGCCCACUCAAAGGCAUGCUCAUGUGCUUCGCGGUAUAGUGCACCGGUGUUCCAACUUCAAGUUGGGAUCACAUGCAUGCGGGCGUAAGGACACCAGGGCCCCUACGGGCUAGUGUCACACUUGAGUCGAGCCAUGGUCUUGGGCCGCAUCUGUGAGCCCAGUCACGAAAAAAAAUAUUUUUUUUUCAUAUGCCGAGAGGGCCAGCCCAAUUGGGCUUAGGUUGCAACAAAAGGAACACCCCAGCUUCGCUGGGUGUGGUCACCAAGGACGAAGGUCGGCGCCGUCGUUUUAGGCUGUCGUGUUUUGAUCAAAAGAACUCGAAACGAGUUGUGAUGUUUGACAUGGAACCUGGAUGGUGUGAUGGAGAAGGUCUCGACAUCCAAAAACCAAAGAAAAACCUAGGAUUCGAAUUUGGGUUUUCAAAAUCCGGGGAGAUUCAUACGAAUCUCGGCCAAAAAAAGGUCGGCGACGAUUGCAGGUCGUCGGGGAUGGCAGCUGUAGUGGCUGGGCAUGGCUGCAGGCCAUGCUUGUGAUGCUGUGAAGGGUGUCGGGGUUUUUGGGCUGGGUUCUAAAGGUUUGGAGCUUCGAGCUCCUACUGUGGUUCGGGUUUGGGUUCAAAGAACCCUAGAAAUUUUUUAUUUUUUUUCUUUAUUUCCAUAUUAUAAUUCAAUGCAUAUUGAAAAAUAAUUUAAUGCAUGAGCAGAUAUUUGAUGCAAUUCAAGGCAAUAUCAAAUUCACGUAAUUCAACAAUUAUGGGGAAUGUUCAUGCCAUCAGGGCUGCAAAAAUAUCGAGAUAAAAACCGUUGUUUUGGAAGAACCUGAUUGCGUGAUUAUAUGGAUGAACUGGUUUGAUGUAGAAAACUUCCAUGUCAGAUUCCUAAGCACAACAGUAGGAGCGUGCUAAUAACGUGUUGUGGCCUAUAUUUAACUGACAAUGGAAGGGGGCCAUAGGCACAGAGAGAGAAUAGAGAGAGAUGUGUUUGUAGGAUUGUGUAGAGGAAUGUGUGUGUUAUUUCCCCUACACAGUGCCUUUAUUUAUAGUAAUAUGAGAAAGGAGAAAUCAUUCUCCUCCAAGGAGUACAAGUUCUGAUAGGGAAGAAUAACUAUAAUCAAAUCUAAUCUAGGAUUUACACAAUCACACUUAAAUAAAAAGUUUAUAAAAUUAUACGCUUUACAAGCGUGUUUUAAUUUUAAUUUUCUUAGUCAAUCAAUGGAGUAGUGGUGCUUCAAAUAAUAAUAAAGUUCAUGCUAAAAAAAUGUAGAUUCAUUUCUUUAUUUCAAGAUAAAUAAAAUUGAAAAUGGUGUUGGCUGAUUUAGGCUGCUAAGAAUCAAAAUCAUGUAUUUUAAAACCCUUGAAUUAGAAACAUAAACUUGAUGUCAAACUCAAAUUCACCAAUGGACAUCAAUGGUAGAGUACAUUAAAUAAUUGGGAGUUUUAACGAAACACUCCCGGUACUGUUCACUUUUAACGAAAAACCAUAUUUUUACCUUUUCCUGAUACCAUUCACUAUACCUUUAUUUGUCAUUUUUCAUUAAUACUAAAGUUUUUUUAGACUUUUCGUUUGUUUUCCUUAAAUAAUUUCCAAAUAGACAUUGUACAACUUACAAACAAGUCCUAGAAAGGGCUAGCGUACAAAAGGAUGCCACUUAUGAAAACAAAAUAUGAGUAAUAGUUCAUCUCUACAAUGUUUACAAGGUUUCAACUAAAAAAAAAUUAUCUUCAGAGACCCAACAGUAGCUAGUAGAGAAAAUUCUAGAAGCCUAGGUGAGGAAUGACCUGUCGCUAAUGCCCCAAAGGCACCCAAUCACCCACACUGCCAAUUUAACACCACAAAAUAGAACUUGUUCACCCCUAGAUCAUACAUGUACAGACUUUCAAAAGCCCCAAAAAUAAACAAAGUUAAACCUCAAACAUAUAACAUCAUAAUACCCAUUACAAAACUAAAAUUUAUCACUAUUUUUUGCUCAAAAUUUAUCACUAUUUAACCUACCAUCCAAUUGAAGCAGCCAAACCUCACAACUAUAUGCACCACCACACAGGGACAAGAAAGAAUAUAGUUCCAAUGCCGGCAAAUGAAGACAUGAAUCGAAAACCAAAGAAAGAGGCGAGGCAAAGCUCCGCGUGGAAACCAAAGUCUUAGUUCCAUACACCUUCAGCUGAAUGAGGGACGAUUCGUUCUAAGUGUGGGUAGUAGACACCAGAGCUUGGUCAGACUUCUUAAUCGAAUGUGGCCAUUUUGACGGCAAAUGAGUCUUGAGGACUGGAUUUGUAGUAUGGGUUAGAUAUUUGUGGUUCAUUUGGGGCUAAUUAGGAUCUGGUGCACAAUAGCACGAAUAGGGGGAAUUAAGAGGAUAGCCAAAAGAGGGGAAGUCAAGUUCCCGAAUUGAGACGUAGCUCAAGCCCACAACCACCAUGAAUCGGGAUUGAGGCAAAUCAUCAUCUUUGGAGAGAUGGGGCAAGCUACCAUCAUGGGAGAGAUGAAGCAAAAGAGCACUUAAGAGGAAGUGGGGAGGAGAGAGAGAGAAGGAGAAAGGUAGAUGAAGAAACGGGAGGGGCAAUUGUUAUACACCAAUGACAUCUGAUGCACUCCCAAAACACGCACAUUCAUUUCAAUUCUCUAGGAUUCAUUGGAGGCUGGCGUCUCCUUUAGAGAAUCAUGUCGUACGUUUCUUGCAAUUGUUAUACACCAAUGAUAUGUCAUCAUCUCAUGCACUCAAAGCUACUCUUCAUUUUGCUUGGCGUCCUUCUAGCCCGUGGCGUUUGGUGCAUUUGGGAAAGGUCUAUUACGACAUUCACUUUGAGACUGAAGAAGAUAUGCCCCGAGUUUGGAGAGGAGGAACCUGUACAUUCCCAACUAGUAUUUUCAUAUUAUCGCAACGAAAGCUGGUUUAUAAUCUUAGUGAAACUCUUGCCCAUACUCAAUCUCAGGUUUGGGUACGUAUCCAUGGUCUCAGCCAGAAAUAUACUGGGGCACACGCGCACACAAAACACCCUCGCGACACCUAAUGGAAAUAGCGAGAGGUGUAGGCACUCCUCUUCAAUUGGAUAGGUCUACUAAAGAUUGAGUUUAUGGCUACUAUGCCAGAAUUCUUGUGGAUAUGGAACGAGCAAUCGAAAAGAUUCUGAUGCAUUCUCGAAUUUAAGUAUUGUUCCUCGAUCUUCCGAGUAAUCUUCCUUCUUCUCUCAUGUGUGACAAUUUAACAAUGGAUUUGCUCAGUCAUCAACAGUUGAAUAAACAAGACAAUUGCAAGUAGGUUCCAUCUGAAGGUCGCAAACGAAGUCAUCUAGGUGAGAAGAAUCGUGAUCCUUCUCCUAUUGGUCUGAUCAAACCCUAAAUAUUGUCAACCAAAUUCUCGAGGAUGUGAUCAACGAAGAAUUAAAACGCAUUGUUGUUGUGGUGGUCACAGAGAAGGAGGAUGUUGUGAUUACAGAUAUUGAAAAAGAUGAUGAUCAAGCUCGUUAGAAAGUUCUUUUAAAAUGACUGAAAGUGCUUUGAGAUGAAAUGUUUCUGGUUGAAUUGCUUCUUGCAAAAAGCACCACUUAUGUGCUUCUUGCAACAAACAUUUCAAGUGUUUUCUUUCAAAAUUUACUUGUACUUUUAUUAAAAUUAAUUCCAAAAAUAUUUUCAAUAAGACUGCAUUCAAUUAUUUUAAAAUAUUUUUCAAACGAGCUAUUAGUUAUUGAAUAGGUUUCCCAUGUUGGCCGUGUUAGUGACGAUGGGCCUUAACUAGGUUUCCCGUCAAAGCAGAACCGAUGACCUCAAGAAAUACAUAUGUGGGAGUUCAAACUCAAAUUGAGGGCUCCAAUUCUUUGCUUGCUUUCCACUAGACCAACAUUUCUCCAUAAGUGAAUAUGGCUAUAAUAAACAUCAACUUGGCUACCGCUUAUGUAGAACAUAAUAUAUUGUGAAAUACCUCAUGUAUUUAAAAAUAAAUAAAAAAUUGGUUACUAUUUUUACAUAUAUUUAAUACAUUUAUUAUCUAACGGUUAUAUAUAAUUCAUGUGAAUAUAUGUUUUUUGUACAAUCAAAAUGUGACCAUUGAAAUGUCGCAUUGUUGCUAAUACAACUUUGAUCUUGGCCCAAAUGGAGUUGGUUUAACUUUCCACAAAAUGAAAUCCAAACGUAACCCCUUACUUUCCCGCCAUCAUCUACCAUCCUCUCACACCUUUUUGCCGCCAAAUAUCUCUUUUUCCAUCUCUCUCCUUCGCUAAACGGUUUAGCCUAAACCCUCUUCUCUUCUCUCUCUCUCUCUCUCUCUGAUUCCUAGAGUCUGAAGCGGCCAUGGAAGAAAACCAAACUUCCAUGAAAUGGAACCGGCCUUCACCUGUAAUGUUCAUGAGCACCGGCGCCAAAUCUCAGAUCCAUCUCCACACCCACUAUACGGUAAAGGCUUCGCUAAUUUUCUUGGUAUACUAGACCAUGUUCUGGGAACACUUAAAAACUCUCCAUUGGAUUUUCAUAAAGAAAUUUGUCUUUUACAAAUGUGACAUUCGAGUCAUUCAAUUUCCUGGCAUUUUUUUUGCAAGUAACAUUAAAACAAAGUUACACCAUAAUUUAUUUUUAAAAAGAUUUACUUAAAUGCAGAAGGGAGAGUACAUUAUUCUAACUACAAUUUUUAUUUGCAAUAACAAAGGAGACAACUACACAUUUUAAAAGUAAACAACAACAAAACAACAAUAAAAAAACAUUUUCUCACUAAGUGAGGUCCGCUAUAUGAAUCCUAGAAUGUCAUUACGUUCUGUUCUGUGUCAUGUCUUCCGUUAGAUCUUAGUACUCUAAAUAUUUUCUUAGAGUCUUUUCCAAAGUUUUUCUAGGUCUUCCUCUACCUCUUCGGCCCUGAACUUUUAUCUCGUAAUCGCAUCUUCUAACAUAAGCAUCAGUAAGUCUUCGUUUCACAUGUCCAAACCACCAUAACCGAUUUUCUCUCAUCUUUCCUUCAAUUUUGGCUACUCCUACUUUACCUCGGAUAUUCUUAUUUCUAAUCUUAUCUUUUCUCGUGUGCCCACACAUCCAAUGAAGCAUUCUUAUCUCCACAACACCCAUUUUAUGUAUGUGUUGAUGUUUCACCGUCCAACAUUCCGUGUCAUAAAGCAUUGUCGGCCUUAUUGCCGUUCUAUAAAAUUUUACCUUGAGCUUCAGUGGUAUAUAACGGUCACAAAACACGCCGGAUGCACUAUUCCACUUCAUUCAUCUAACUUGUAUUAUAUGGUUGAGGUCUCUAUCCAACUCUCUGUUCUUUUGCAAGAUAGAUCCUAGGUAGCAAAAGCGGUCGCUCUUUAACUCAUUUGAGCCUCCGUUUGCACUGAACUUGCACUUCAUAUACUUUGUCUUUGACUGACUUAGGCGAAGACUUUUAGAUUCCAACAAUUUCUCUCCAAAGGUUAAGCUUUGCAUUUACUCCUUCCUGAGUUCAAUCUAUCAACACUAUAUCGUCUGUGAAAAGCAUACACCAAGGAAUAUCAUCUUGAAUAUGUCCCGUUAACUUAUUCAUUACCAAUGCAAAAAGGUAAGGACUUAAACAUGAGUCUUGAUGUAACCCUACAAUUAUGGGAAAGUUUUCAGUUUGUCCUUCAUGAGUUAUUACUGCAGUCCUUGCUCCAUCAUACAAAUCCUUUAUAGCUUGGAUAUAUGCUACUCGUACUCCUUUCUUCUCUAAAAUCUUCCAAAGAAUGUCUCUAAAAUCCUCCAUCAUACACACUAAAAUCCUCCAUCAUACACAUUUUAAAAGUAAAAUAAAAAAUAUUUGUCCAUGCAAUAGACAUUACAAUUACAAAAGUCGACCAUUUGUUUAAGAAAACAUCAAUGUAUCUGAUCCAAGAAAGCCUUGAGAUUCUUGUCCGAAGACCCCCCUUCACUCACAGCCUCUCUUGCCAAAUCUUUCCAUUUCUUAGCAUUCCUUCUCAUCUCUUCACCAAUCUCCCCACUUUCCAUGACCAACUCCAAACACCUCUUGAGCUCCUCACCCGUAACAAUCCCCUCCUCAUUUGGUGUCACCCUCACUCCUGUCUUCCAACUGUCCUCUAUCAACUUGGCAUUCGUCCCUUGGUCCAUCCACUGAGGAAACGCCACCAUAGGCACUCCCGAAACCAAGCUCUCCAAACUUGAAUUCCACCCACAAUGUGUGACAAAGCAACCCAACGAAGCACUUGACAGAACCUCCACUUGACCACACCACGGCAAUAUCCUCCCGAGCUCUUCCAAUUCCUCUCUGCAACUCAAUAUCUCUUCUUUCUUCGACUCAUUAUCGUCUCCCUUCUUCUCGAUUUUAUCUCUAAUAACCCACAAAAACGGACGGCCGCAAUCCAACAACCCUUUUGCGAUUUCCUCCGUUUGGGCCUUUUCCAACACACAAAUGCUUCCGAAGGAAACAUAAAUCACCGACCCUUCCGGCUUCAAGUUCAGCCACUCGAGGUACGAAGAGUCCUUUGAUUUUUGGAAAAGAUCGCCUCCAAAUGACUUGUCCAAUGGAUCCUUUCUGUCCAAGAAAGCGGACGGAAUCAAUGGCCCGACUCCAAUCAAAUUGUACUUGUCAAUUGCUUCUAAGGCUUCCGGCUCUAGUGCAUCGAACGUGUUCACUAGAAUGGUCUGGUUGGUUUCUCUCUCCAGCAGAUCCAUCUGUUCUUGAAACAAUGAGAGGACGAAAUUGUACAGAUUUGUAUCGACCAUGAAGGAGGGAAGGUCUCGGCUUGUGAGAGCUAAUGGUAAACCUGGUAAUUCUAUCGAACAUGGGACAUUGUUCGUACCAGAAUUAGUAUUAUCCCGGAUGAGAUCUUUGUAGCCGUUAAAAUAAUAGUAGUGGAUGUCGAAAACCGUGGCUGGUUGAAUCCAAAACAGCACGUUUGGGAGGUGAAGUUCAUGCGCCACUUCCGCCACCCAAGGGAGAAAUGAUGUGUAGACUAGGCAUGUGUAAGGGUGACCCUCGUUUGCACUUCAGACCAAGGAAGAAAAAAUCGAUAAUAUCGCGUCAAUAUUAUCGUUUUUUUGGAGAUCCGAAAUUUUUUUAACUAUCCAAAUAAUUUUCGUCAAAAUAUCACAAUAUUAUCGAUAAUAUCACGAUAUUUUUAAAAUUAUCGAUAAUAUCGUAAUAUAAUAUUCAAAAAUAUUUAAAAAUGUUGAAAAUCUCAACAUAUACUACACUUGAUCAAAGCCCCAAAGGCUAACCAAGACAUGCUUUUCUCACCAUGUGAAUGUGCCUUUUAUAGGCGUUCUUGGCUUGCUCACUGCCCUCGCUGGGCGAUGUGGGACUCGACCAAGGAAAAAAAAUAGGAAUUUCGGCCGAAAAUCCACACCCACUUUAAACGGCCAUAACGUUGUCAAAACGAAACAAACUCAAGCAAGAAAAAAACGAAAGUUGUAUCCCUCGAAGAGACGAAGAGAAUGGUACCUCACACGACGUCUGAAUCGUCGUGGUUUGGCCGGAAAAUGCCUCGAAAGUCACUGAGGUCGCCGGAAACUGGGUAAGAUUCAAAUGAGUAUAACUUUUUCAAUACUCAAGGAAAUUGAGUGAAACAAAAAUGAAAGUUGUACUACUCCACGAGACGAAGAGAUUGAUACCUUGCACGCCGAGCAACUCGCCGUGGUUUGGCCGGAAAUUUCCUCGAAAGCCACUGAGAUCGCCGGAAACUGGGUAAGAUUCAAAUGAGUAUAACGUUUUCAAUACGCAACGAAAUUGAGUGAAACAAAAUGGAAAGUUGUAGCCCUCGAAGAUACGAAGAGAAUGGUACCUCACACGACGUCUGACUCGUUGUGGUUUGGCCGGAAAUUUCCUCGAAAGCCACUGAGGUCGCCGGAAACUGGGUAAGAUUCAAAUGAGUAUAACUUUUUCAAUACUCAACGAAAUUGAGUGAAAAAAAAAGGAAAGUUGUACUACUCGACGAGACGAAGAGAUUGAUACCUUGCACGCCGGCCAACUCGCCGUGGUUUGGCCGGAAAACCAAAACGUAUUGCCUCAAGGGCUGGUACAUGUGAACUUGUGACUCCAACUAGGUAAGAGCCAGAUCUAAUUUGAGGCCUUCUAUCCUAUAUUUGUGGACAACCAUCAAAUGCUAAAGAUUAAACAAACAUAAUAUGUUUUACUGCUUAGCAAAAAAAGCUACAAACCCUUUGCUUAUCAGCAAAAAAAGACAAGUCCUUGCACUAGAUAUACUUUCAAAUUACGUUGAGUAGCAACCUGAUAUAUGUAUUCGGACGAAUUAUAAAACAAUUGACACACUCCUGACUUCCAAAAUUCAAUUCUUUUACUUUAUAUAAACUUGAAAAAACAUAAUCGGCAUCCAAAUUAAAGUUUAGUCUUAUUCAAUGUAUUGAUUUUCAAUCGUUAAUUGAUAUACUAUAAUUUGGAACUUCAACGCCUAGACGCAUGCUUAUGUGUAAGAAAUUUAAAGUGUCAAAUUCGGCACAUUAUUCUUCAUCAUUUUAUUCACUUCCCUUUUUUUUUUUUUAAUAUCCUAAAUAAAACCUCCAAAUAUUGUACUAAUUCAUUAUAUAUAAAUGAUUAUGGUGUGUUUAGACUUCUUUCAUUAAUUACUACAUAUUUUCUACACUCACAAUGUUUGUCAGCUCGCUAUAUAAUCAACUUGAUAAUGUUAAAUCCAUCAUGCAAUGCAUUUCUUUCCAAUUUUUUGUGAUAAACUAAUAGAUAAUUGACUAAAUAAACAUCCUACAAAGUUUCAAUAAAAAUUUCCAAGUUUUUCUUACAAUUUCCGUGGUUUCCAUGUAAUUUUUAUCGAUAUCGAUAUUUUACCGAUAUUUCCAUCGAUAUUUCCGUGUUUUCGGACUACCGAUAUUUCCGAUAUUACUGAUAUUUUCUUCCUUGCUUGAGACUACAAGGUCGGUGAUGGCUUGUGCUCCGCGGCGCCGCAGCUCGGACAAGUAGUUGUCGAUGCUGUCGCCGGGCAUAAACCCGUCGUCAUACCCAUCAGAGAAGGGCGCGUAGGUCAAUCCAUCUGGAAUUGAGCCAUUGUCUAGGCAGUGACGGGCGGAGAGACUGGUAACGUAGGUGACAUGCGCACCAGUAGUGUUGAUAAGGCGCUUGACGAAUUGGAGGGAAGGGUUGAUCUGGCCUUGAGCCGGAUAUGUGACAAGUAGAAAGCGGUGCCGCACCAUGACGGCGAAUGAGAUUGCGGAGGUGCGCGGUGGAGCGUGGAGUUGUUG